UCCUCCCCCAGUUUACCUGUCUCCACCUCCACCCUAUCAUCACUACUACGGUUCUCCUUCUCCUCACCACUACUAAGCAAGUGCAUAAGUUUUGAGGUAAUAAUACCUAUCCAAAACUUUAUCAACACAAACUGCCAUGUAUAUCAUGCUAAGGACGUACACUUGAUCCAUGAAAAUGACUAGUAGAAGAUUUUUUUUAAGAACCAAAGAAAUACAUUAUUUUUUCGGUCUGUUUUCAAGAAUUUGAGCAGUAUACAGAUUAAAGAGUGUUUUUUUUUUUGUAAACUUGCUUGUCAACUUAAAAAUGCACAUAGCUGAAAGCCAACUGAAUAUUUGCAGGCAAAGGAGAAGGCAAUCGGUGUUUGAGACCUUCAAGAAGAUGUAGAAGAAUAAGAAUAAAAGCCCAAUGCGAGGAUGAUUCCAAGUUUCUACGUUACCAUUUCUACAUCUAAAUUGACUUUAGCUCCUGAGUUCCAUGUUUAUGGGGUUUGUACCGUUUUACGUACCAUGCAGUACAUGCUUGCAAGGUUUUCUGUCCUGUUGGCAAACUGCAGGUCCAUAUAAUAAAUGAAUACUAUUUACAUUACGACACUUUUCUCUUUUUCUCUUAUAUUUUGUCUUUAAUAUUGUUGAUCAUUUUUUUUUUAUCAAAAGCAUCAAAUGCUUAGGUAAUUUGGUCUAAUGCUAAUUGUUUUACUUUUAUUUUUCACCUACACCCCUUUUCAACUCAAAGGAUGCUAUAGUUUGUGAUAAUUGUUUAAGACCGAAGCAUGAUACUAAUAAAUAUCUCAUUGAAAGUCAAGGAAACUAACAUUAGGAAAAGUUUAAAUCUUGAUUUGAUGAAACUAUUUAUUCGUGGAAUUUAGAGAUACAAAACUCAAAUUGUGACGGUGUUGUUGCUAAAUUAUUAAGGACAUUAUCACCAUUAUUUUUCCCUGAUCACUAGUUUCAACUGCAAUGAUCUCAAUCUUUUUGUGACUAAUUCUUUCCUUAAUAAUUUAUAAAGACAAAACUCACAAAGAAUAUGUGACUAAUUCUUUCCUUUCGUCUUCUAAAGAAAAUGCCAACUGUUAGUUUAUCAAGGGGAAAAAGGAUCGACAUCAGUUAUUAUUGAAACUAGUAAGGAAUAAAUAAUGGUGAUAAUGUCCUUAAUAAUUUAACAACAGCACCAUCAGAAUUUGACUUUGAGCUUCGGUCUUAAACAAUGAUCACAAACUACAGCAUCCUUUGAGUUGAAAAAGGAAGUAGGUGAAAAGAAAAGUAAAAAAUACAAUUAGCAUUCCCUCAAAUUGUAGAAAGUUAGGUAGCAUUAUAGACAAGUUGAUAGCGGCAAUUUUACAUUUCAAACUUCACCUAUUCAAUAACUAAUUCGAUGGCUUGCUACAUGGUCAAUCUUUGGACCCCUUCCUGCCUCCAGAUAUCCCUUUCCUCAAUCAGGGGCUUCUACAAUUACCAGUUUCAAUUGUAUGGUAUAGUGUAAAUAUCAACAAAUUAGAUGUAGAUGCUAACAUAAUAAAUGUGAAUGCUAAGACAGCAACAUACAAUCGAACCUGCAAUUGUAUGAACCCCAAUCUCGCUUCCUAGUCCACCAUCUUUCUCUAGGUAAUAAUCUCCCUUCUAAUUUAUUCACAAAAUGCACCUUUCAUCACCUCCAAUAGCGUCGACAUGAUCUUUACCCUAGAAGACUAUUCACCGACUCUCAAUUGACGUCAGAAAAUCUAAGAGUAAUUCUACUUUACCCUAAGAUUGAUAUCAACAAGACAAGGACAAUUUAGAAUUAUUACACGCCUCUUCUUAAUAGGAAAAAGAAAUAGAGAAGAAAGUCAGGCCAGGUCUAAUUUCUUUUCAAAGGCAAUACAACAUUACGAAAUCAAGCAUUCAUUCAUACAAAUAUUUCAUAGUCACCGGUUUGCUGAGUAGAAAAAUUUAGACAAAAACUUAAUAUUAUAUUGUUUAAGAGUUAACAAUUUAGAGCUUAAUCUCCUUGUACUUUGGAGUUAACAAUUUAGAGCUUAAUCUCCUUGUACUUUGGACUAAACUUGAACGUGAAAGGAAAUCCCAAAACCAUAUUGGGCAUGAAUUCACACUUAAUAUACCCAAUAAAAGAUGGCGACUGGUGAAAGGCAGUGGAGACUGGUGGAGAGAUUUGAGGAAUAGAAGCAGACGGAAAAGCAACAAAUUUUUGCCGAAAAACGGUCACUUUCAUGGUUAAUUUUGCUACUCUCCAAUUGUACUUGACCAAUUACAACAAUUUCAUGGAGUUUGAUACGUGAAAAGAAUUUUUUAUAAAUUUUAUUUUGAUCCAUAAUGUUAUCUUUACAUAUAUAAAACAUUUUACAAUUUUGAUUUUGGCGCAGCUAACUUUUGGUUAACAAAAAUGCUCAUGUUUAAAAAACCAGAAAUAAAACAAAACAAGAAACAAAAGAAAUAAGAGGGUAGCAUAGACAUUUUGGAUUUUUCCGUUAAUUUGGAUGAUUUCCACCCACGUUCUAAUUUAAUCCAAAACACAAAGGAAUUACGUAGAGGUUUUAAAUAAUCAGGGAGCUUCAUGAUCGAACCCCAAACCACGUGAUAGCAUACAAGAGUUCUAUUUCACUAUCGGUAGACAAAGACUUUCUAUGGUUGAUGUACCGUAGGAAAAAAUCUGCCUAUACAACGUGAUAGCAUUUUUUCAAAAACACAAGAUGGAAAAUUGCCCCCUUAAACGUGGAAAUUCAUGAUCUUUCCUCGAACAAAGAAUACUCACGCCUAUUCAAGAUGGAAAAUUGCCCCCUUAAACGUCUAUUUGUCAAUUCUUGAAAAAAGAAUACUCACGCCUAAAACACGGCCUCUUCAUCUGCAGAAUUCUAAAAAGUUACGUAAACUCUAUAAACAAGUUGAUAGGUACAAUCGUACCCAAGAUCAAGUACAGAUAGUUGUACAUUCACUGCUGCAAUAACUAAUCUGAUGACUUACAAACAUAUCAUGGUCAAUCGUUGAAUGGUAAUGAGUCUUUUGUUAUGCAUUAGUAUUAGUGUGUACACUCUAAUAGAUUGAUACUUAUACUCUUUAAAUUAUCAUAAUAAUACCCUUAAUUAACUUUAACUCUUAAAAAGAAUACGUGUUAAUACACGAGAGUGUGUAACCUGAAUUGUUACUUAUACAUUAGUGUGUAAUAGAUAGGGAUGGCAGUGAGGGCGAGUGCCCGCGGGGGGCUCUCGGGGCGGGGGCGGGGGAGAAUUUUUUCCCCCCGUUUAGAAACGGGGCAGGGGACGGGGGAGUAUACCCCCGCCCCAUCCCCCGCCCCGCCACCCGCAAAAAAAAUUAUAUAUAUAUAAUUAUAUAUAAUAUGUAAUUUAAUUAGUUAUAAACUUAUGAUAAUGAUAUUAUUAGUUAGAUGUAUUAUAUAAUGUAUAUUAGUGUAUGUAAUAUAAUUAAUAUUAUCAAUUAUACGAAUAAUUAGACAUGUCCACUAAUAGAGUUUAUUAAUUAGUUAUACUAAAUUUACUAAUACAUUUGUACUAAAUUUCUAAUUACACUUAAUAGAAUAACACUUUUUUCUAAAAAAAAAAGCACAAACACAAUAAUGAAUUAGUGAUUGUAUUUGUACCAAAAGUGAAAACUUAACUAUUUUAGUUGUAUUUAUUUCAUCAUGUUGGAUUGUAUUCAAAUAAUUUUUGUUUGAUUGUUUUUAUGAGUUUCAAUUGUAAAAUUAAAAUGAAUAAUAACUUGAUGAUGUGUUGAUAUUUUAGUACUUGAUUAUUUAUUGAUUUAACUAUAAUAAAAUUUUAUUUUAUUAAAAUUUAACUAUAAUAAAAUUUUAUUAACCAAACGAGUUAUUAAUCCCGCGGGGGCACCCACGGGGGAAGCGGGGCGGGGCGGGGGAGUGGGAGGCGGGGGACGGGGCGGGGGUGGGGGGAGUUGUAGGUAGCGGGGCGGGGGAUGGGGGAGGGGUCCCCCGCCCCAACCCCGCCAUCCCCCGCCCCGUUGCCAUCCCUAGUAAUAGACUGGCAAGCAUUGUGGUGGUCAUUGAGAACUUACUGGAGAAAUAGUCCUAUAAGCUGUUCAAUGAGCAAUCACAACUUGCUAAUUGGAUGACUAAUAUAGCUCUAGCUGUAAUGUUUUAAUUAAAUUACAUCACUAACGUUGGGAUGACUUUUUAACCAAAAAAAAAUGCCUUAGUUCAAGCUUUUCCCUUUAUUGUGCAUUUUUUAAAGCAUUUGAUAGGCACUGCAAAUCUGUCAUUUUGGACAUUUUAUUAUUGACUAACAAUGAAAGCCGUGACGUCUACCCAUAACCAACACAAGAUUAAAUUAAUAUUAGAAAAAAUAAUUGAGUAAUUGGAAAAAAAAAAAGAGACUCAUUUUCAUUGAAACCCACCGACAAACUAAACGUGUCCAUGGCUUUUGAAUAGUGCAUUCAACGUUUAAUUGUAUAGUCCAGUUCAUUGCAGAUUACAUGGAGUAAAGAUUGUGCUCUUUCCUUUUUCACCCCUUUUGGAAUCGAUACUGUGGAGAAUUGGGUUUUUCCCUUCUUUUUUUCUUUUCUUUCCUUCUGUGCUUUGCAAAACAUAGGUAAAAAUAUGAAAUCCGAAGCAUUCUUUAAUUGGGAUUAAGUAUUGUUGUUGAAAUUAAAAAGAAAAAAGAAAGAACAACAAAAUUCCCAAUCUGGGUUGAUUGUUGAGCUCUAGAUUGGUUGCAUCGUGCUUCCAUAGAAGCUCUCUUAGUGUGAUACACUGCUUUCAAUCAGUUUAACACGGGAAAAAAAAAAAAAGAGAUGAAAAGCAAAUUUGGUGGGGAUAAUUUCAGAAACCUCCCCUGAAGAUUUUGACUAUUCUACUGGUCUCCCUUCAGAUUUUAAAAAUUACACUAAUCUUCCUUGAAGUUAAUUAUCUUGUAACAUUUAAAUUCAAUCAAUAAUUUAAAAAAUGAUAUUAUGAGAGAGAAAAUAAUGAUUUUAUCAUUGCCCCCCAUCUUACUACAUUAUUUAAUUAAUUUAAUAGCAACCCACACAUUAAAGAAAAAUAUUAAAAUUUGUUGUUUAUCAUUAAAGAUCAAAUCGCUUAUAACAUCAAAUAAUAGUAUAUUAUUUAUAUUUUUCACUCAAUAUAAUAUCCAAAUUACUCUUUUCAAUUACAUACCCAUUGUUAGACAAUCAACAACAAAUAACCAAAAAAUUUGCAACCAAAAUAUUACAAAAAAAUAAACUUUAACAUAUAAAUAUUCUUAUCAACAUAUUAAAGUUAGUUACUGAAAUUUUUAUGCUGUUAAACUUCACUCUUUUUGGUUACAGAUUUUUUUGAUUAUUUGUUAUUAAUUAUGUUUGAUGAUGGAUUUAUAAUUGAAAAGAACAAUUUGAAACUUACAUUAAGUAAAAUAUAUAGAGUGAUAUACUAUUUUUUAUAACAUAUGUGAUUCAAUCCUUCUUGAUAGGAUUGGUAAUAGAGGUAGAGGGGGGAGCCGGCUGCAUCCGGUCUACUUUUCAUAGAUAGUACAAUAUUGCGAAAUCGAUCGCAUUCACGCAAUAUUAUUUCCAAGUCAUUGCAUGGCUAAGCUGCAAAAAAAGUACGAACACAUGUUAUUAUAUAGCUUACGAUUCAAAACUUUAGAGCAUAACCCUCCACCUAACACAAUUGAAUAAUGAACAUUCACGUUUGUCAAAUCUGUCAAAGCACAGUUUGAGGACAACCCAUUCCAACCUGCAAAAGAUUUUUUACUUUUCUAAAGUUGUUGAGAGCUGUAAAAAGACUUACCAUGCUUGCAUCCUCCGAGCCUUGGGAGUUAAAAAUGAAGGCACUGAGUGCUAUAAAAAGGGGAAUAGAGGCUGCCUAGAAGCAUAUCAGCCUAAAACAAGAAUUUGUAGUUAAGAUGGGAAGCAAAGCAAAAGCAAUGGGGUCUGGGCUGACUCCUCUUCUUGCCACUGUUUUAGUGGUGUUUGUUGCUCUUGGCUUGCCCUCACAAACUGCAGCUGAUGAUCACUACAAGUAUUCAUCUCCUCCUCCUCCUUACCACUAUCCCUCACCACCACCACCAGUGCAUAUACCUCCACCUCAUCCUGUUUACAAGUACAAAUCUCCACCACACCCCCAGUACAAGUAUAAGUCACCACCACCACCUCCUCAUCCGGUAUACAGUCUCCUCCGCCACCACACACCCAGUUUACAAGUACAAGUCACCACCACCACCUCCUCAUCCGGUACCACACCCAGUUUACAAGUAUAAGUCUCCUCCGCCACCAGUUUACAAAUACAAGUCUCCUCCACCACCACCUCCAGUGUACAAAUACAAGUCUCCACCACCACCAGUUUACCACUACAAGUCUCCACCACAGUUUACAAAUACAAGUCUCCACCACCACCCCCAGUUUACAAAUACAAGUCUCCACCACCACCAGUUUACCACUACAAGUCACCACCACCUCCUCCCCCAGUUUACAAAUACAAGUCUCCACCACCUCCUCACCACUACUAAGCAAUUGCUUCUGAGGUAAUAACACUUGUUCAAUAUACCCACUUCUGCAUGAUAAAGCAUAUCUCUAUCAACACAAACUGUCAUGUCUAUCAUGCUAAGUGCCUUCACUUCAUCCACCAAAAUGACUGCUAGAAAAUUUUUUUUAUGUUACCAAAGAAAGGCAUCAUUUUUUCCCUCUGUUAUCAAGAACUUGUACAGUAUAUAGAUUAAAGAGUAUUUUUUUAACUAGCUUAUCAACUGAGAAAUGCAUAUAGCUGAUAGCCAGCUGAAUAUUUGCAGGCAAAGGAGAAGGAAACCAGUGUUUGAGACCUUCUUGAAGAUGUAGAAGCAUAAGAAUUAAAGCCCAAUGUGAAGAUGAUGAUUUCAAGUUUUUCUACGUUACCAUUUCUUUAUCUAAAUUGGUUGUAGCGCCUUAGUUCCUUUGUUUAUGGGAUUUGUAUCGUUUUACGUACCAUGCAGUACAUGUCAUGUUUGUAAGGUUUUCUAUCCUGCCGGCAAACCGCAGGUUCCAUGUAAUAAAUCAAUACUAUUUAUAUUACGACACUUUUCUCUGUUUCUCUUAUAUUUUGUCGUCUUUAAUAUUCUUAAUCAUAUUUUUAACAAAAAUAUUCAAACACUUAGGCAAUCUGGUCUAAUGCUAAUUGUAUGUUUUACUUUUCUUUUUCACCUGCUCCCCUUUUCAACUCAAAAGGAUGCAAUAGUUUGUGAUCACUGUUUAAGACGGAAGCAUGAUACUAAUGAAUAUCUCAUUGAAACUCAAGGAAACUAACAUUGCGAAAAGUGUAAAUCUUGAUUUGAUGCAACUAUUUAUUCGUGGAAUCUAUAGUUACAAAACUCAAAUUCUGACUGCGCCAUUGAUAAAUUAUUAAUGACGCUAUCAUCAUUAUUUAUCCCUAACUAGUUUCGACUACAACUGAACCCAAUAUUUUCCCCAUGAUAAAAGUUUUUGACUAUUUUACUGGCCUCUCUUCAAAUUUUAAAAAUUACACUAAUCUUCAUUGAGAUUAAUUAUCUUGUAACAUUUAAGUCCAAUUAAUAAUUAAAAAAUGAUAUUAUGAGAGAGAAAAUAAUAUAAUUUUAUCAUUGCCCCCCAUCUUGCUAUAUUAUUUAAUUAAUUUAAUAGCAACCCACACAUUAAAGAAAAAUACUAAAAUUUGCUGCUUUUCAUUAAAGAUCAAAUUGCAUAUGCCAUAAAACAUAGUAUAUCAUUCUAUAUGUUUCACUUAAUGUAAGAUCCCAAUUGUUCUUUUCAAUUACAAACCCAUUGUCAAUAACAAAUAACCAAAAAAUUUGCAACCAAAAUAUUACAAAAAAAAACUUCAACAUCAUAAAUAUUCUUACCACCUCUAGUGCAUUCACCCUCAUAAAAUAAUUCAAGACCCUACUGUCAUAAAAUGACUGAUCAACUCCCGUAAACCUAAUUUGACAACAUUUAAAUGGAGAACUUUAGCUAAAAGAAUUAUGGUCAAGCUAAAGAAAAAACCAGUUAUUUUCCAACAUAUGCAAUCAUUGAUCAGGGAAAAAAAAAAGAGCAAAAAGACAUCUUCAAUCAUUUAAUAGCUUACAGGGCAAAUUAACCCCUAAGCGAAAACUGGUUGCUCUAGAAUCAAAAUUUUACUUUAGUUACCCAGGCAACUUUUUUGUUGCUUUUUUUUUUUUUUUCCUUUAGUUUUGCCCCCUCUGUCAAGCUUAUAAAAUUAUUAAGAUAAUAAAAGUGCCUUGAAUAGUAUUAAUAUAUCCAUUGACUUGAGCUGUCGUCAGUUUGCGAUUCCAUGAGGCCUUUUCAAAGUACUCAGAAAAUGGGGAGUCAUGAAAUCCAUUUGUUCUAUUCAUUGCUAAGAUGCUUUUCUCUAUAAAGAGACUUCCUAACGAAAAUACUUUGUAGAUUUCUUUACUCCAAGUGGUGCAUGGAAAAUUAAUAUUUUCAAUUAUCAAAUAAAAUUCCCUUUUUUCGGCGUAGAUUUCAUCCAUCCAGCUGUUAACACAUUCUAUAAAUCCGAAUUGACUAAUCUUUUCGUUUCCAUUUUCCAACUUGCGAAUACGGCAUAUAGUGUCUGCUAAACACUAUAUAUUCUCUGCCAAAUAUGAAUACAUAUCACUUUUCUGAGCAAGUGCAGAGUCAUUAUCAUUUUUAUUCCCACCUAACAAAUUAGGGAUAAAAAAGUUAAUAAUCUUUACAUGCUAUCAGGUCACAAGUUAAUAAUCUUUUAAAGAACAUGUUAAAUUAAUUUAUUGGUAUGAAUAGUAGUCAAAGAAGUAUGUUAAAGUUAGUAAUCUUUAAAAUAAUAUGUUAAAAUCAUUCGUACAAAUUAGUCAGAGAAGUAGCAUAAACACCGCGAUGCAAUUAAUACUUUCAAUCUCAAGGUCUCUAUUAUGGAAAUUUGCAUCGGUCAAUAUACACUUGGCAUAAUAUAAUCUCCCAACUCAUUUCUUUACAAAUGCACCUUUAAUCACCACCAAAAGGUGUGGACAUGAUCUUUACCCUAGAAAACUAUUCACCGACAGGCAAAUUGACGUCAGAAAUACUGAGGAAUUCUAGUUUCCUUCGGGUUCAUGCCAUGUUGUAUCCUUCAACUGUAACUCGAUUUCUAAGCUGUAAUUUGUGACAUAAUAGUCCUUAAACUAUGAAACCCUUCUUACUUAAUUACAAUGGUUAAUACAAUGCCCGUGACUAGACAAGUAUGAAGCAACCAUAACAGAAAAAAAAUCCAAAAUUAGAGAAAAGAAAGAAGUUUCGCGACCACCACCAGUUUACAAGUCACCUCCACCACCUCCUCCAGUUUACAAGUCACCUCCACCACCUUACCAUUAUUCCUCACCACCACCUCCAGUGCAUUCACCCCCACCACCACCAGUUUACAAGUCUCCGCCACCACCUUACCAUUAUUCCUCACCACCACCUCCUGUGCAUGCACCUCCACCACCAAUUUACAAGUCACCUCCUCCAGUUUACAAGUCUCCACCACCACCUUACGAUUAUUCCUCACCACCACCUCCAGUGCAUUCACCCCCACCACCACCAAUUUAUAAGUCUCCCCCACCGCCUCCCCCAGUAUAUAAGUCACCACCACCACCUCCUCCAGUAUACAAAUCACCUCCACCACCUCCUCCAGUUGACAAAUCUCCACCACCACCAAUUUAUAAAUACAAGUCUCCUCCACUACCUCCUCCAGUGUACAAGUCAUCACCACCACCUGCUUACAAGUCUCCACCUCCUCCAGUUUACAGUUCCCCACCACCACCAAUCUACAAGUCUCCACCUCCACCCUACCAUUACUACUACAAUUCUCCUCCUCCUCCUCGUCACUACUAAGCAAUUGUAUCCAAGUUUUUGAGGUAAUAACGCUUAACCAAUAAAUUAACUUUCGCAUGAUAAACCUUAUCUCUAUCAAGACAAACUGCCAUGUGUAUCAUGCCAAAUACGUACACCUAGAUCCAUGAAAAUGAAUGGUGAGGAGGGCCAUUUAGGCUCGGAGCGCCCUAGGCCUAGUUCCCCACCAUUUCCUGAAGUGCCGCCUCGGGUAUUAUCCUGGAAGGCGAUCGCGGCCCAUUUACCACCUCGGCUACAAUGUCAGGUCGUAACACCGAGGUGGACAUUGAAUGACAACUACGAAAAGGGGAGAUGUGAUCUCUGACACCUGAGCAAAGGCUGCUCUGACCCGCCGCCUGAAUCUGACAGAAUGUCCCAUCACGUCUCUUCAUGGAGACCGGUCAAGUCCACCUGAUCCACUGACUAUCUCAGAUCUUUUGGGACCCGUGCAAACAUCUCCUCUCUCCUAUCAGUCCCCUAUAAAUACACGAUACUUCUACUGAAAAAGGAGAUGACCAAUUUCUGGUAAAACACACUCCACUCAUUAUUUACUUCUCUAUAUCCGAACUGACUUAAGCUUCGGAGUUAUACCGGGGGAUCCAGCCCCUUUCUUAUCCAAGCAGGUGACUUCGUCCAAGAGAGUUGCCCAAGGUAAAGAUAUUCUUCCAAUUGAGGUGACUCACUCCUGCGGGUCGAAAAUCACCUCUUCAAUUGGCGCCGUCUGUGGGAACCGCAAAGAUAUUAGAAGAUGAAGCCUGCGCGUUCUAGAAGCAGAAAAGCUCUCACUAUCGAGGCUGGGCAAAGCAAUGCAGCUCAACAAGAAAAUAUUUCUGAAGGGCAGGAGUCCCCAAGGACUCAGCCCGCAAACGAAAAAGCCAUAACCCGUAUGGCCGAGUUUGUGACCGAGAACCCCAACAUCUUUGAAGAGUUGGGAAGAUACCUGAAGAGGCAAGGCAAACAAAAGGCCGAGUCCUCUAAAAGGAUGUCAGAUGGGUCUCUUGAGGACUCAUCUGAGGAGGAGUCGGAUGGAAGGCACUUAAGCCGAAGUGCCUCAAAGCGAGCAUUUUCUAAGGCCACUUCUAAGGUAGCCUCCCUGACCAAGGCGUUUUCCCGAGGGCUCUUGGGCCGACGACCCGAGGAAGAACCUCGGCCCUUGGGAAUACCCGGGGUGGACUGCAUGAGGGCUCCACCGUUCACGGAUGAUAUAAACGAGGAAAGGCUUCCUCCCAAUUUUAAGCUCCCCGCAGUACAAUCUUACGAUGGCCGAGGUGAUCCCGAGAAUCACAUCCAUACCUUCAUCUCGGCCUUCCAAAUAUACUGCAUCCCAGACCCUGUCAUAUGUCGGGCCUUUCCAGUAUUCCUCAGAGGAACUGCUCGAAAAUGGUUCUGAGCUCUAGAACCUAGGAGCAUUUCGACCCUGGGUGAAUUAGUGGAGAAGUUUCUCCACCGAUUUGUCUCCUCCCGACCUACGACUAGGACCUCGGCUUACCUGCUCACCGUGCAGCAGAACCCGGGAGAGUCACUCCGGUCGUACGUCCGGAGGUUCCAUGAGGAAAGCGUUCAGAUACCUGACCCCAAUGAGCAGGUAACCCUCGCUGCCUUUACCCAUGGACUCGUUGCCGGGGAGUUCAAUACGGGGAUCCAUAAAAAAUACCCCCGCACACUGCAUGAAUUGUGGUUGAAGGUUGAAAAGGGCAUACAGGCCGAAGACCUCCAUCGCAUGAAGAAAGAGGUCCAAGCCACCCGUCCAAGGGCUGAGCCCAGAAAGGGAAAAGACGCUGGCCGAACUGAAGUAGGGUCGGGAAGUGGCUUCCGAAGUCCUGGCCGAGACCGCCGCAGCGUGUUCGACAGGAUAUCCAAGGGGAAGUCACCUAUUCCCGAGUCCGAGUUGACUCCUUUAAAUACUACCCGAUCUCACGUGUUGUCCGUGAUGGAACAAAACAACCUCGGCAAGGGCCCGCCGAGGAUGUUUGGAAGCAGAGACAAGAGGAACUCGAACCUCUACUGCUUGUAUCAUCGUGACAUUGGUCACGAAACUGAGGAUUGCAACGAUCUCAAGAAGGAGAUCGAGAACCUCAUUAGACGGGGACACUUGAAACAGUUCAUCCGCAGAGGUGGAGGUCACCAACGUGACGAAAACCGGCAUGACAAAUGAGGUGACCAACGCCGAGAUGAGCGGCGGAGCUCCAGAAGCAGUUGCCGACCUCCUGAGGAUCCCAGGGAGACGAAAAGGCCUCCCCCAGACGGAUCUUCGGGACAUGGGCCAACCAUUGCCCGGGUCAUUAACACCAUUGCCGGAGGUCCGACGGGAGGGGACAGUCAGAACUCCCGGAAGAGAACCUAUAAGCAGGCUAACCCGGAUCAGGCCGAGUCGAGUUCUCGCCUGUCCGAGGUGAUCACCUACGGGCUCAGUGAUCCCAUCCCAGCUGCAUCCAGCAGUCAUGAAACCUUGGUGAUUGAAGUCCUCACCAAUAACUACAUUGUGAAAAGGUCUACAUAGACCCGGGAAGUUCAGUUGACGUCAUGUACCUCCGUACCUUUGAGAGCCUUAAAAUGGCUAAGGGGUGCAUGACCCCGCUGAGAACCCCUCUUGUAGGGUUCGGGGGACACGUGGUGCACCCCGAAGGGAUGGUGACUCUGACAGUGACCAUAGGGCAUCACUCUCGCUGUAGAACCGUCCCUGUCAAUUUUGUGGUGGUUAAGGCUGACUCCCCAUACAACCUACUUUUAGGUCGGCCUACGCUCAAUGCCUUGCGGGCGGUCUACUCCACCUACCACCUGAGCUUCAAGUUUCCUACCCCAGCAGGGGUGGCCGAGGUCAGCAGCGACGUCUGUGCUGUCCGGGAGUGCUACCUCGCCACCCUACAAGCAGCCUCCCCGUCUACCUCCGGUGCGAGGUCCGAGAAGAGGUCAAAUAUCCUCUCAAUAGAUAGCAUCGAUCCUCAGUGAGCUGAGAAGGUCCCGAGGCUGGAGACUGGGGAUGAGGUGGAAGAGAUUCCCCUGGACCCCACGAAACCUGAUCAGACAGUUCGCGUUGGUACCCGAUUGCCCGGUCCUAUCCGAAGAGGUAUGAUGGACCUCCUCAGGGAAUACCGGGACGUCUUUGCUUGGGCCGCCGAAGAGGUCCAAGGAGUCCCGCACCAUCUCAUGAUGCAUGACUGAACGUCGACCCCCAAGUCCGUCCGGUCAAACAGAAGAGAAGGCACAUCGGCCCUGAGCGCAGCCAAGCUGUUGGUGAGGAAGUGGACAAGCUUUUACCCGCUAAAAUAAUCCGAAAAGUCCAAUACCCGAUCUGGUUGUCUAACUCGGUCAUGGUCAAGAAGGAUACGGGGGCUUGGAGAAUGUGCGUCGAUUUUACCGACCUCAACAAAGCCUGCUCCAAGGAUUGCUACCCCUUGCCCAAAGUCGAUACUUUGGUAGACUCAGCAAUGGGCUACGAGAUCCUCUGUUUCUGGGAUGCAUUCAAAGGCUAUCACCAAAUUGGGAUGAGUCAAGAAAACCAGGAGAAAACGGCCUUCUACACCGACCGCGGCACGUACUGUUAUACUACCAUGCCAUUCGGGUUGAAGAAUGCCGGAGCCACUUAUCAACGCUUGGUCAACCAAGCAUUCAAGUCUCAAAUCGGCCGGAAUGUUGAGGCCUAUGUAGAUGACAUCCUCCUCAAAAGCCAGACGAACUCCACCUUCCUGGCCGACUUGAAGGAGGUCCUUGACAUCCUGCGGAAGGUGAAAAUGAUGCUGAACCCCAAGAAAUGUGUUUUUGGGGUCACCUCGGGGAAAUUUCUAGGUUACCUCGUCUCAAGGCGAGGUAUCGAAGCAAAUCCGGAUAAGGUGCGAGCCAUCCAGGAGAUGUCUCCACCCCGGUGCGUCCGCGAUGUCCAAAGGCUGACAGGGCGAUUAGCCGCCCUGAAUCGGUUCUUAUCGCAGUCGGCAGCUAAAGCACUGCCCUUUUUCAAAGUGUUGAAGAAAGCUGACCAUUUCUCCUGGACGGAAGAGUGUCAACAGGCGUUUGAGCAGUUGAAGGAUUACCUUCACUACCUUCCAACGCUCACCUCACCUCGUCCGGGGGACAAAUUAAUCUUAUACCUUUCUGCUGCGGCCGAAGCGGUGAGUGCCGUGCUGAUAAGGAAGGAAGGGGUCCAAAUGCCCGUCUACUACGUUAGCCGAGUCCUCCGAGGUCCAGAGACCAGGUACACACAAGCAGAGAAACUUGUGCUAGCCCUGAUCCACGCCGCCCGCAGACUCAAGCCCUACUUCCUAGCUCACCACGUCUGCUUGAGGACUGAUCAACCACUUCGGCAGAUUUUGACACGACCAGAGGUUUCGGGACGUCUUACCAAAUGGGCCAUUGAGCUGGGGGAGUACGACCUAACUUAUGAGCCUCGCACAGCGAUCAAGGCCCAGGCUCUCGCAGACUUCGUAGCCGAGCUCACCUUUGACGAGGUGCAAGGAUCCGUCCCGGCUGCCACAUCGGCCACAGUUGAUGUGGCCACCACUGGGCUCCAGCGGUGGAUCCUACACGUGGACGGUUCGUCAACAGUGAGGGUAGUGGAGCAGGCUUGCUCCUCGAAGACCCCCAAGGAGAAAUAUGCUAAUAUGCCUUAAGAUUUGACUUCGCUGCUUCAAACAAUGAAGCUGAAUACGAAGCCGUCAUUGCUGGACUGCAGCUAGCUCGCAAGCUCGGGGCCGCACACAUCUUGGUUUAUAGUGAUUCCCAACUCGUCGUGUGCCAGAUAUUAGGUGAGUACGAAGCCAGGGACGAGGUGAUGCAUCGUUACCUCUCCAAGGUCCUCCAGUUGGCGACUCACUUCGAGUCUUUUGAAAUUCAAAGAAUACCGCUAUCGAAAAACAGAAGGGCUGACGCCCUCUCCCGGCUUGCCUCAACCUCUUUCUCUGACCUGAACAAGACGGUUCUCGUUGAAGUUCUAGCCGAACCAGGAUAUGUAGCCGAGGUAGUAUACCCCGUCUACCCUGGGGACACCUGGAUGGGUCCCCUGACUCGAUUUUUCAGCCAGGGUGAGCUCCCCGAAGACCGAGCUGAGUCACGGAAGCUCCAACGAAAAGCAGCACGGUACAUUCUCCGACAAGGCCUUUUAUACAAAAGGUCUUACCUCGGCCCUUAGUUGCGAUGUAUCACGCCCGAGGAAGGCCAGAGAAUCCUCCAAGACAUACAUGAGGGGCUCUGUGGUGCUCACGUCGGCUACAGAAUGCUGGUAAAAAAGGCUUUGUUACUUGGGUAUUUUUGGCCCACUAUGAGGAUAGAUGCCCAGGUCAUGGUCCUUUGCUGCCCCUCCUGCCAGCAUCACGCUCCUGAGCACCACCAGCCGACCAAUUUAAUGAUCCCUAUCACCUCGUCAUGGCCAUUUGAGCAAUGGGGAACGGACAUAAUUGGCCCCUUUCCCAGAGCUCCAGGCAAUUAUACCUACGUGGUGGUAGCAGUGGACUACUUCACCAAAUGGGUCGAAGCUGAACCCCUAAAAAAUAUCACUGGUGCGGCAGUCCAGAAAUUCUUCUGGAAGAAUGUGGUUUGCCGCUUCGGCCUACCCCGGGUGAUCAUCUCGGAUAAUGGCCGACAGUUCGCCGAUAAUCCUUUCAAGGCCUGGUGUGAGAACCUCGGGGUCAAACAGCAUUUCACUUCGGUGGGACACCCCCAAGCCAACGGACAAGCCGAAAACUUCAAUCGCACGCUCCUCCAUGGCCUCAAGACCAGGCUCCACCAGGCUGGAUCGUUUUGGAUGGAAGAGCUCCCCAGUGUGCUGUGGUCCUACCGAACUACGCCGAGAUCAGCAACCCAGGAAACCCCGUUUUCCUUAACCUACGGGUCAGAAGCUGUUGUUCCAGCCGAAUUCAUCACCCCGAGUCCACGAAUGGCCGCAUAUGCUGCCGAAGUCAAUGAAGAAGAACGGCGAGUUGACCUCGACCUCGUCGAAGAGAAGCGUGAUAUGGCCGCGGCCAAAGUUGCUGUUUACAAAAAUAUCGUAGCUGGCUACUACAACGCUCGGGUUAAACAUUUGCGGUUCAGUCCGGGAGACCUGGUGCUCAGGAAGAACUCAGUCAGCCGGGCUGAACCUCAGGGUAAACUAACCCCCAAGUGGGAGGGACCAUACCGUGUUGUUGAGUCCAGCCAAAAUGGAUAUUGUAAAUUGGCAUACCGAGAUGGGUCUCUGAGUGCCCCGAACUUGGCAUGCUGAAAAUCUUAAGUUGUACUACCCUUGAGGGUAUGUGCUUUUAAUCUUGAGUUAUUUCACACUUAUUUUCAUUUCAUUAUAAGUGAAAAAUAAGGGGACAAAGUAGCAGUAAAGAGGAAAACCGAAUUUAAUUAAAAAGAAAGCAAGAAUAUGAACUCAAUUCCAUUGAAUUACAUAAAAGUAGAAAGCCGAGGUCACCUUUAAUUAGGAAGAAAGCAAGAAUAUAAACUCAAUUCCAUUGAAUUACAUAAAAGUAGAAAGCCGAGGUCACCUUUGACCUCGGCCUACAAUGACAAAAAAAAAAACAAGUGCCUCUAGGCACUCCCUACCCUGACAUCCUGGCCCCCCGUGGUCGCGCCACCCGUUUCGGCACCCUGUCCACCCUCAGCUCCUCCACCGGCCUGGUCGUCUUCAGUACCAUCUAGUUCAAACUCCUGGAGCCAUUUGUUGAAUUCGGCUCGGACUUCGGUUAGGUCUUUCUCAGUCCGGAUGCCCUCAGCCAUGCUGUCGCAUAGCUCCUUGGCAUCCUCGUUAUAGUGCGAAGUGCUCUGAAGGGACUCCAGUUGUUCAGAGGGAAGAAAGGAUGCCGCGUCAUUAAUAGCCGACGUGUACCCGAACAUGAAGCUUGGCCGGGUGAGCUCGCCGAGGUCACGGAUGAAGGACUCUGACGUCCGGAAGGCUUCCACAGCAGUGACCCCGGCCUUGUCCAUGGCCUCCCUGUUUGACUGUUCUUCUUGGGCCCUCCUUUUUUUCUCCUCAUCAAGAGCAGUCACCAGGGAAUUGUUCGCGACCUCGGCCCUUUUGUUAGCCGCCUUGGCCUUGUCACGCUCCAACUCGGUUGCCUUCAGUUUUUCUUCCAACUCGGCAAUUCUCUUCUGGAGCUCGGCAGGAGGCUCAUAGUUUUCCAUGAACUUUCCAUACCGUUGAAUCAUCUCGACAAAAAAAGCCGUGGUAGAGGCCCAUGACACCGAGGCGCUCUGCAUCAACUCCCCUGCGGAGAGCUUCCUAGCAUAAGUGCUAUCUCGUGGCAGCACUGAAUGCACCAAGAGCUCCUGAGCGACCAAAGGGUUCUUGCAGCGAUCGUUGAAAUUAAUCUCCCACUCUGGACACCAGUGUGAUCCGGGGUGUCUCUUGUCCUCCUCAGCUGCCUUGAAAGGCACAUGAUGGAGUUUGAACAAAGAUGACCCCGUGACGGGGUUCUCCGGAAAUAUGGUCACACCCUGACCCCGGGGGGGAGUGGCAAUCGUGACCCAGCGAGAAGGGAUUCCCACCGGAAUUGCCGAGGCUCGGGAACCUCCCGGAGUGGCCGAGGUGUGCGAGCCCUCGCCCACGAUCACCACGGCAGGCUCGCGGUCGCCCGACGCCGCGGUGGUUUUCUUAGCCGGCCUGGAAGAGGACCCUGCAGUGUCCUUGCGCUUUUUGGGAGCUCUUUUGACCACCUCGACAUCUCCCGAGGUUAUCAGGUCGAAAAUCUUCGUCACUGCAAAGUAGGAGACGAAGUCAGUUAGAAUUCAAGAGGGAUAAACUAAAAGGGAAGAAAUGGAAAAAUACAAAGUCUGUGAAGCCUAGUCGAGAGUAAGACAGGCUGGUCAGAGCUCGUCAAGGCUCAACUGAUCCCGCCUUCCACGAGCACCACUUCGGGAAAAUCCCAGCAGUUUAUCCUGAGGCCCGACCCCGUUAACUUCUGGAAGUUACGCUCUUCUAACUUCCCUGGAGAUAUCUCCUUGAUCGAGGUGGGAGGCCUCCACCAGAAUCCGCGAGGGAAGUCAUCGGCCGAGACGAAGAAGAAGUUUUGCUUCCACUCCUUUAUUGAGUUCGGAGCAUCAACCACCAACUUCGGAACUUUGUUUCCGAAGUAGAACCAUCCUUUUUCACUUCUGCUGUUCUUGAGUGAGUAACAGCGGCGAAAGAGGUUGACCUAAGGUUGUAUCUCCUGAUGUCGGCAAAGUAGCUGGAAGCCAACGAGAAUGCGAAUAGCGUUAGGGGUGAGUUGAGUGAUUCUCACCCCCCAGUACCUCAGGCAGUCCCGAAGAAACCUCGUCGUGGGCACUCUGAGUCCGGCCUCCAGCUGUUCCUGAUAGAUAGUCACCUUGCCCUUUGGUGGCAGUGCGGCUGACUGAUGCGGUUGGGGUAUGUAAAUACUAUAAUCCCUUCUCCAGGGAUACCUGCGGACCACCUCGGCUAUUGAGGCUUGUCCCAUACCACUACUGAAGAACGGCAUCUGGCCGUAGUCGAGAGUUGCCACGUUUGGAGGAGUGGAAGGUUCUUGUACUCCCUCGUCUCUAGGGAUCUCAAUCCCGAGGUCAUCGUUGUAUAGGACCUCGGGCUGGACCUCGAUCUCCUCGGGCUGCACCUCAACCGCCUCAGCUCGGCGUGAUGCCUCGGCACCUCCACCCUCAGCUUGGUGAGAUGCCUCAGCACCUCCGCCCUCGGACGCGGUCCUUUCCUGGGAGGGGUCAGGCCUCUCUGCCUCAGUGAGGUCAGGUCUCACUGUCUCUUUGUGCGUACGAGCUGUUCUAGCCAUUGUAUCAGAAGGGGAAGAAGUGAACUUACUUAGAAUCUGCGACUGGAAGAAGAUGCCGAAGUAGACGUGGUUUAGAAAGGUUGCCGAAGUGAAAAGAGAAAGAAACAGAGUUCUGGGGUGAUUCUUGAUUUUUGGUGAAGAGUAAAACGGUGAAAAAAGACCACUAUUUAUAGGCCACCAGGGUGAAACCCAAGAGACGGCACCCUCUCUCUUCAUUAAUGGGAGGACUGUUCGUCUGCCAACACAGCUGACAGCCGUCCCUUCAGUUAUCACUCAGUCCCAUCUAUGCGGUCAUGACGUGUCCGUGUUCCGUGUUUUAUACGCUUCUCAGCUUCGGGAAGUAACGACCACGGCGGAUGCCCAUCUCGCCCUUCUCAAAGCUUGGGGGGCUUAGUGAGGAGGGCCAUUUAGGCUCGGAGCGCCCGAGGCCUAGUUCCCCAUCAUUUCCUGAAGUGCCGCCUCGGGUAUUAUCCUGGAAGGCGAUCGCGGCCCAUUUACCACCUCGGCUACAAUGUCAAGUCGUAACACCGAGGUGGACAUUGAAUGACAACUACGAAAAGGGGAGAUGUGAUCUCUGACACCUGAGCAAAGGCUGCUCUGACCCGCCGCCUGAAUCUGACAGAAUGUCCCAUCACGUCUCUUCAUGGAGACCGGUCAAGUCCACCUGAUCCACUGACUAUCUCAGAUCUUUUGGGACCCGUGCAAACAUCUCCUCUCUCCUAUCGGUCCCCUAUAAAUACACAAUAUUUCUACUGAAAAAGGGGAUGACCAAUUUCUGGUAAAACACACUCCACUCAUUACUUACUUCUCUAUAUCCGAACUGACUUAAGUUUCGGAGUUAUACCGGGGGAUCCAGCCCCUUUUCUUAUUCAAGCAGGUGACUUCGUCCAAGAGAGUUGCCCAAGGUAAAGAUAUUCUUCGAAUUGAGGUGACUCACUCCUGCGGGUCGAAAAUCACCUCUUCAAAUGGUAGAAAGUUUUCUUAAGAACCAAGAACAGCAUUAGUAUUCCCUCUGCUUCCAAAAACUUGUGUAUUAAAUAGAUUAAUGAAUUGUUUAACAUGCUCAUCUACUUGAAAAUGCACAAUACCCAUAACCCACUGAAAUUUUUGCAGGAAAAGGGAAAGAGAAUCUGUGUUUGAGAGCUUCAUGAAGAUGUUGAAGAAUAAGAAUAAAAGCCCAAUGCGAGGAUGUUUUCAAGUUUUUCUAUGUCCACUUUAAUUUGUAAAUUGAAUUUUACAACUCAAUUAAUUCCUUGUUUGUGAGGUACGUAUUGUUUUACGUACCAUGCCGUACAUGUUUGUAAGGAUUUCUAUCCUAUUGGCAAAAGUCGGUUCCAUACAAUUAAUCAAUUCAUUUCACUUCUAUUGGCUCUACUAUUUAUGCAUGUUACGACACUCUUUCCCUUAUAUUUUGCCUUUAAUAUUAUGAGUCAAUAGUAAUAAUGGGCCUUUUUCUUAAAAUUAUACUAUUAUACAUAGGUAGUUUGGUCUAACGCUAAAUUCAUGUUUGUCUUUCUUUUAUUCCCUUUACAUCUCAAAGUAUACUAUAGUUUGUAAUCAUUGUGGUGAUGAUAUUACCAGCUGGUACUUAUAGUUUAAGGCAGAGACAUGAUAUUAACAACUAUCUCAUUGAAACAUAAGUCAAAAUCAUGACAAGUGUGAGUCUUGGUUAAUGCACAAUUUGUUAGUGGAAUUUAUAUUUAUAAAACUCAAAAAAAAUUUUUGACAAUGCUAUUACUAAUUAAUUAAGGACUUCAUUGCUAUAAUUUAUCGCUUACUAGUUUAAACUAUAAAUGAUCUCAAUACUUUUCUCCAUGAUGUCGAUUUCUUUAGACUACGAAAGGGAAAAAUUAGUGACAUAUCCCUUACUGAUUACAACAUCAGCAAAAAUUAGUUAUAAACUUUUCCGGUGGUUUUAAAUCCCUCGGGCACUAAGGUUUUUUGCACAUCGAGUGAAUUAAGGAACAUAGGCAAUUCGUUCUGCAUACCAAGUCCUUGUUUAAGAUGCACGUACUAAAAUGCAUCCACUUCAUUAAUUUGGAAAAUUGCCAUAGUUUUUUUUAAGCAUUUUGAUUUUUUACAUGAUUCAAAAUUUUCUUAUUGGAUACAAUCACUUUGUGUCAAGAACACAUUUUCAAUCAUCUUUUUUAUCUUCUCAAUAAGAAAAUAAAAAUUUAUUCAUGCUUUUCUAACAUAUCCAAUCAUUGAUCUGAAAAAUAAAGAAUUAAAAAAAAAAGACAUUUUCAAUCAUUGCUUACAGGGCAACUUCCCCAUGUGAACCUCUUCAAACAAAGCCAAUAAUAUGAAGGAACAUCUAAAUACACUUUUGCCCUAAAGGCUGGUUGCCUUGGGGUCAAAAUUUAACCUUCGGGAGUAUAAUUACCCGCCAAAUUUAUUAUUUUUUAUGGGUAUAUAGUUCCAAUUUUGCCUCCUGUUAAGCUUAUAAAUAUAUUACGACCCAGAAAAUAAAGGAAUCUUGAAUAGUAACAUGUCCAUUGACUUGAGUUGUCAUCAAUUUGGCUACUUCGAUUCCAUGAGGCCAAUCCAAUUCACACUAGCUAGAGAAAAUGGUGAUAAAGGCACUUAGAAAUUUAUAUGUAAUAUUGAUUGGUAGUAACUGAUAAGUAUAUAUUUUACGUGUUUUAAAUAUGUUUUAUUAGUUAGUUUUGGUGUGUUUUAACUACUUUUAUAACUAAUUAACUAGGAAUCUAGUGAAAAUAUGCAUUUUGUGGUUUGAAGUGUGAAAAUUGUAUUUCUAUGGAUUUUAAUGGUGAAAACUUCAUGUUUUUGUAGGUUUAAUGAUUCAAUCAUCAAAUGACAUGAUUUGAGAAGAUAAUUAGAUGAUUGAUGAUGUUUUGAAGUGAUAAAAAGAGAAUACAAAGUGCAAGAGAGGAAAUGCAAUCAAGAAUAAAAGAAGAAAAUUUUUGUAGCUUUGACAUAUUGUGGUAUUUUGGCAAUAUAUUGAGCUACAAUGAUUGGAUUAAGGUGAUUCUUAAACCAUUUGAAGCUAAGAUAUAGAUCUACAUUUGGUAUGAAGGCAUCGAAACCCAUGUCAGUCAUUUUCCUUGUCAAAAUGUUGAAAUACAGAAGUGCAACUCUGUUCUCGAAAGCUAAAACAGAGCUCUGGCUAGUCGAGGGUAUUUUCAUCAUUUCUUAGUCCACAGAGCUCCAAAUGAGAUGAUUCUUAAGGCAUUAGAACCCUAACUCAAAGAGCUACAACUUUCAUAUUUUGUACAAGAGUUAGUUCGGCCUCCAUCAUUCAGAAAAUAGUAGUUGAAGUGGUGCCAAAUGCAUAGAAGUGAAAACGCGAGCUAUCAAUACUCGACCUGAAGUCGCGUAUUCCUGAGGUCAUGCAUUCUCUUCUAUUUUCUGCAACUUGCCCUGCUUUCACAUAAUUUUUUCAUCUCAAUUCCAACUAUCAAUUUCGGCUAUAUCUGAUCAAGAAAAGUGUGGAAAGUUUGAAAGACAACUCAUAGGAGUUUCAAGAGUCAAAAAUUACAAUUAGAAACAACUCAUUUGGCUCUUGAAUCCUCUAUAAAUAGAGGCCUUUGAAGAACAUUUUCACAACUUUGGAAGGUUAGAGAAACUCCACAAAAACAUAGUCUUCACUAGAAUUUCCUUAGUUCAUUAGUUAGGGUAGUAUAGUAUAGUUAGUGUAGCUUUUCCUUCUUGUAUUUAUAGUUAGGUUUGAAUGAAGAUUCAGGAGCAAAGAUAGAGAGGUUGAUCUCAUGUGACAAGGGUGAUAUCUCUUCUACUACUUUCUCUUUUGUAUUUGAUUUCAUAUUUAACUAUACUACAAAUUUGGCUUUGUUUUUUUUUUUUAUCAUGUUUAGUUAAAGUUUAUGCCUAGAGUAUGGAUGACCUUUCUAUAUCUUGUUUGUGAUAUUUAACUGGUUAUUUGAUGAUGUUAUUUUUGAGCAAGUUAUUUAUCACUUUUGCUUUUCUAAUCGUGAUUAACUGGCCAUUAGUUGUGAUUAUCUAAAAGUGUUAAGUUUGUAAUGAGAAUUGGAGUUUAACACUAGUUCAAGGAAGUGAUAAAUUUAGGGAGUUCACUCAUGAGAGUAGAGGAACACCUUUGUGACCUAAGUGACUUGUUUCAUAUAAUUUCAUAGAAAAAAUGAACUUGUAAUUAAUUUCAUAACCACGAGAGUAAGUAUGGUUUAGCUAUAUGUAUAGUUGAUUCACUACGAGAGUAGGUUUCACAUACAUUAGAAAAUUACAUCAUAACUAGUCAAGAUAAUAUCAUUCAUUUAAUCAGUAAUCUCAUUUGCAUGAGUAGUAAGGCAUUCCAUAUCUCUAGGAGGUUUUUAGUAUUAUUUUCAUUACUUUUAUGUUUAUGGUAGUCUAGAUAAUAAUGGAGUUCAAAAACUACUAGUAAUUGAAAAUUUUCCCUGUGGGAUCGACCUUUAAUACCCUAUACUCGCUCUCGACUCGUAUACUUGCGAAAAAUCACGUGUGCGGUAUUUAGAAUUUAUAAAUGUAAAACUUGACUGUAGAUGAACUAAUUGAUAUAUGUAUACCCCGCACUCGUCAGUAACCAGCUUGUAUUGAUCCCAUUAUUGUGGAUAAUUGUGCUCUUAUGAAAAAAAAUUAUAAAAAAAUUAGCAAAAUUUAUGAUAACAAAUUAAAUUUAUUCAUACAAAUCAGUGAAAGAAGUAGAAUUUUAAAGACCAUGAUGAAAUUAAUACUUUCAAGGGCUCUAUUAGGAAGACUUCACUUGUUGGUGAAACUACACUAGCACAGUUAUAUGCACAUUUACUGUUUUGGUAUCUAAUUUCCUUGCCUUAAGUUGGGUGCAGAUGUUUAUAUUACAAAUAGAUGGUAUCAUAAAAUUGUUGUAUUCACGUUUGUUCUUUUUUUUUCUUCCUUAAGUUUUUUUCUUUAUUCUCGUGACUUCAAAAAUACGAACUCAAGAAAUUGGCUGCUUAAUCAAUAUGUCAUACAGGCUUCGCUAGUGAGGUAUAACUUCACAACUAGAGUCAAUAGAAAUUAUCAAAUGAUUUUUUAACAUCCAAAUUAAGCAAUAAAUUUUGUUUUCAUUUUAUGACAUAUAAUAGUACUACUUCAUGAGAGAUUUUAUAGUUUCUUUUAGGUAUCAUACCUACAAGUGAUAUUUGUCAUUGGAUAGUGACAGAAGUGUUAAUGAUUGUAAGAUUAAAUAUUGUUAAAUAUUGAAAUUUAAACUAUUUAUCUUUAUUGAAAGAUACAAGUUAAAGAAUCGUUCAAGGGGGCAAUUUUCCAUCUUGUCUUUUUGAAAAAACGCUAUCACAUUGUAUAGGCAUGAUAGGUUCAAAUUUGUCAUUAAAUUUAUGAUUGAUUUCCCUUUUAUUCAAGCCAAAUAUUGUUUUAAUUAUCAAAUUCUACUUAUAUUUGGUUAAUUGUACUAAUUGUAGGGCGGUAGAGCAAAAGUUGCUAAAAAUAGGUGAUUUUCUGCAAAUUGGUUGUCAAGGCUGAAGGAUUUGGGAUUCGCAUGUUCAAGGCCUGUUUCCAAGUUUGAUUCAAACUCUGGACAGUUUUAGAGGAAGAUUUGGAAGAUUUGAAAUUUCAUUAUUAGUUUUAUGGUUGAAUUAGGAAUCUUGGAAUAAUUUCUUUUGUGAUUUAUUUUUCUAUUUAGGAGACUAGUUGUUAUUUAGUAGUAGACUUCAAUUAGAAAACAAAGAGAAAAAGAAGGCCGGAAUCCCGCUUGAUUAAUACCUUGGCCAGGGAACAAUCUCGGUGGGGAGGACGGCCACUUAGCCUCUCAAUUCAUCUUGCUUUUCGUUAGUUUGAGAGGAAAACCAAUUGCAACUAGAUUCAAUGGAGUCUGGCAGAAUUUCUUCUAGGAUGCGUAGCUAAAUCCUCAAUUUUUAGUCGAAGGUCAAUUUGAAAAUUCGGUUCCAAAUAUCUGUGAAAUCGAAUUAUUUUACUUAUUUCUUUUAUUUAUUGGUAUUCGCACGUUUUCUGAUUUAACUUUUUAUGAUUGUUUUGUUAUUUGAAUGUCAAGGGUCCGAUAUUCGAAUUAACUUAAUAAUCUACUGCCAAAUUAACCGGUUAAAUCCGUAAUUGUUUGAUUGAUUAAUAUCAGUGGCGACUAGCGUGAUUGGUCCCAUGUUAGGAAAACGUCUGAUCUAAUUUAAACAAACCGUCGUAGCGUGUUUGUUGAUUAGGGUUGGACUUUUCUAAUUCUUAAUUCAAUUGAGAAAUUAAAUCUCCCGGUCGUACCUAAGAUUAUUUUUUUGUUAGCGAAAUAGUUAAUGGUCGUACCUUGACUAUCGAAAAAGUAAGGAAGAGUUGAUUGUUUAUCGCGUGUACGACAACUAUAAUCAAUCUAUUAAUGAGUAAUUGAAUUAUCUUUGCAUCAGUAAUCAGUUGAAUGGACCGUGUCUGAAAAGUUGUACCUUUGGCUAGAGUCUUAUCUGUUGUUGAUUCAUUCAUAUCUAUCUUCAUGCGUUGUUUUAAUUUAGUUAAUUAGUUAUUUUUAUAAAAACCCCUCAUCUCUGGACUCUAAAAGAAAUAAAUUAUUUCUAGUUCCUGUGGAUUCGAUCCUACUCACCGCUAUAUACAAAAUUUGUAUUUUUUUGAAUAAAUAAUUAUUAUUACACAGGCUUGACACCUGUCAAGGCAAAAUUUCCUUAACUUCAUCAUCUGUAGACGUAAACUUUCUACGGGUGAUAUAAUAUAAGGAAAUUUUGCCUAUACGAUGUGAUAGCAUUUUUUCAAAAAAGACAAGAUGGAAAAUUGCUCCCUUGAACGGAAAAAAUCAUGAUCUUUCCUCAAACUAGUCUACUAGUCAAUUCUUUACAAAAGAAUACUCGCUCCUAAACAUAGCCUGUUCAUCUACACUGUCCCGCAGAAUUCUAGAAAGUUAGGCAAAACUAGACAAGUUGACAGGUAUAAUCAUACCCAAGAUCAGGAACAAGCAGUUGCACAUUUCAAAAUUCGCUGCUGCAACAGCUAAUUUGAUGACUUACAACACUACACGGUCAAACUUUGAAUGGCAAUGGAUCUUUUGUUGUACGUCAUGAUGUAAUUUUCAUGUUACAUACAUUAAUAGGUUGAUAUCUAUAUUCUUUAAAUUAUCAUGAUAAUACCCUUAAUUAGAUUUAACUGAUAAAAAGAACACGUGUUAAUAUACAAAAGUGUGUAACGUGAAUGUUACAUUACUGUAUUGCAGAAGACCUAUAGUCUCUUCAUAUCUCUUCCUGCACGUAUCAAUUCGUUUCCUCUAGAUAAUAAUCUCCCAACUCGUUUCUUUACAAAUGCACCUUUUAUGUUUUAUUACCUCCAAAAGCCUUUACAGGGUCUUUACCCUAAAAAUCAAUUCACCGACUCGCAUUUGAUGUCAGAAAUUCUUAAGACGAAUUCUACUUUACUCAAAGAUUGACUGUUAAUAAUGAGACAGCGACCAUUUUGUAUUAUUAGACCGUCCUUCUUGAUAGGUAAAAGAAAUAGAGAGGAAAGUGGGUCCGUAUAUGGUCUUUUAUUCAUAGAUAAUACAACAUUACGCCAUCGAGCAUUCACACAAUAUUUCAAAGUCAUAGCAUGCCUAAGGCCCUGUUUGAUAGCUCAAUUUCGUAAUUAAAUUUAAUAGAUUCAAAUUUUAACACAUUUAAAUCAUUUGAUAACAAAAAAUUGAAUAUUUAAAUUAAUUAAGUAACACUGAACUUUCUAAACAAAACUUGCUUUCAAAAUUAAGUGAUAAGUUAUUCACUUAUCUUUGAAUGUGAUAUGCACUCAAAUAUAUUAAAUUUAAUAAUUUAAUGGAUUCAGAUUUCAGAUUUCAGUUUUAUUACACACCCUAAGUUGCAAAAUAAUACCAAAACUUGUUAUUAUAUAGCUUGAGAUUCAAAAAUUUAGAGCAUAAUUCUCAACCUAACACAAUCGAAUAAUGAAUAUUCACGAUUGUUUCAAAGUACAAUUUGAGGACAACCCAUUCCAACGCGUACACGAUUUUUAACUUUUCUAAAGUUGUUGAGAGCUGUUAAAAGAGAUUUACCAUGUUUACAUCUUCCAAGUCUUGGAAGUGAAAAAUGAAGCCACUGAGUGCUAUAAAAAGGGGGCUAGAGGCUGCCUAGAAGCAUAUCAGCCUAAAACAAGAAUUUGUAGUAACAAUGGGGAGCAAAGCAAAAGCAACGGGGUCUAGGCUGACUCCUCUUCUUACCACUGUUUUAGUGGUAUUUGUCGCCCUUGGCUUGCCCUUGGAAACUGCAGCUGAUUAUUACAAGUAUUCAUCUCCUCCUCCUCCUCCUUACCACUAUUCUUCACCACCACCUCCAGUGUAUUCACCUCCACCAACCCCUGCUUAUAAGUUACCCCCACCAUCUCCUCCAGUUUACAAGUCCUCACCACCACCUUACCACUACUCACCACCUCCGGUGUAUUUACCUCCACCAUCUCCAGUUUACAAGUCACCACCACUACCCCCUCCGGUAUACAACUCCCCGCCUCCACCAGUGUACAAAUACAAGUCCCCACCACCACCUCCUCCAGUUUACAAAUCUCCAUCGCCACCAGUUUACAAAUACAAGUCACUCCCACCACCUCCUCCGGUAUACAAGUCUCCUCCGCCACCUGUUUACGAGUACAAGUCUCCUCCACCACCUCCUCCAGUGUACAAGUCCCCACCACCUCCAGUUUACAAGUACAACUCACCUCCACCUCCUCCCCCAGUUUACCUGUCUCCACCUCCACCCUAUCAUCACUACUACGGUUCUCCUUCUCCUCACCACUACUAAGCAAGUGCAUAAGUUUUGAGGUAAUAAUACCUAUCCAAAACUUUAUCAACACAAACUGCCAUGUAUAUUAUCAUGCUAAGGACGUACACUUGAUCCAUGAAAAUGACUAGUAGAAGAUUUUUUUUAAGAACCAAAGAAAUACAUUAUUUUUUCGGUCUGUUUUCAAGAAUUUGAGCAGUAUACAGAUUAAAGAGUGUUUUUUUUUUUGUAAACUUGCUUGUCAACUUAAAAAUGCACAUAGCUGAAAGCCAACUGAAUAUUUGCAGGCAAAGGAGAAGGCAAUCGGUGUUUGAGACCUUCAAGAAGAUGUAGAAGAAUAAGAAUAAAAGCCCAAUGCGAGGAUGAUUCCAAGUUUCUACGUUACCAUUUCUACAUCUAAAUUGACUUUAGCUCCUGAGUUCCAUGUUUAUGGGGUUUGUACCGUUUUACGUACCAUGCAGUACAUGCUUGCAAGGUUUUCUGUCCUGUUGGCAAACUGCAGGUCCAUAUAAUAAAUGAAUACUAUUUACAUUACGACACUUUUCUCUUUUUCUCUUAUAUUUUGUCUUUAAUAUUGUUGAUCAUUUUUUUUUUAUCAAAAGCAUCAAAUGCUUAGGUAAUUUGGUCUAAUGCUAAUUGUUUUACUUUUAUUUUUCACCUACACCCCUUUUCAACUCAAAGGAUGCUAUAGUUUGUGAUAAUUGUUUAAGACCGAAGCAUGAUACUAAUAAAUAUCUCAUUGAAAGUCAAGGAAACUAACAUUAGGAAAAGUUUAAAUCUUGAUUUGAUGAAACUAUUUAUUCGUGGAAUUUAGAGAUACAAAACUCAAAUUGUGACGGUGUUGUUGCUAAAUUAUUAAGGACAUUAUCACCAUUAUUUUUCCCUGAUCACUAGUUUCAACUGCAAUGAUCUCAAUCUUUUUGUGACUAAUUCUUUCCUUAAUAAUUUAUAAAGACAAAACUCACAAAGAAUAUGUGACUAAUUCUUUCCUUUCGUCUUCUAAAGAAAAUGCCAACUGUUAGUUUAUCAAGGGGAAAAAGGAUCGACAUCAGUUAUUAUUGAAACUAGUAAGGAAUAAAUAAUGGUGAUAAUGUCCUUAAUAAUUUAACAACAGCACCAUCAGAAUUUGACUUUGAGCUUCGGUCUUAAACAAUGAUCACAAACUACAGCAUCCUUUGAGUUGAAAAAGGAAGUAGGUGAAAAGAAAAGUAAAAAAUACAAUUAGCAUUCCCUCAAAUUGUAGAAAGUUAGGUAGCAUUAUAGACAAGUUGAUAGCGGCAAUUUUACAUUUCAAACUUCACCUAUUCAAUAACUAAUUCGAUGGCUUGCUACAUGGUCAAUCUUUGGACCCCUUCCUGCCUCCAGAUAUCCCUUUCCUCAAUCAGGGGCUUCUACAAUUACCAGUUUCAAUUGUAUGGUAUAGUGUAAAUAUCAACAAAUUAGAUGUAGAUGCUAACAUAAUAAAUGUGAAUGCUAAGACAGCAACAUACAAUCGAACCUGCAAUUGUAUGAACCCCAAUCUCGCUUCCUAGUCCACCAUCUUUCUCUAGGUAAUAAUCUCCCUUCUAAUUUAUUCACAAAAUGCACCUUUCAUCACCUCCAAUAGCGUCGACAUGAUCUUUACCCUAGAAGACUAUUCACCGACUCUCAAUUGACGUCAGAAAAUCUAAGAGUAAUUCUACUUUACCCUAAGAUUGAUAUCAACAAGACAAGGACAAUUUAGAAUUAUUACACGCCUCUUCUUAAUAGGAAAAAGAAAUAGAGAAGAAAGUCAGGCCAGGUCUAAUUUCUUUUCAAAGGCAAUACAACAUUACGAAAUCAAGCAUUCAUUCAUACAAAUAUUUCAUAGUCACCGGUUUGCUGAGUAGAAAAAUUUAGACAAAAACUUAAUAUUAUAUUGUUUAAGAGUUAACAAUUUAGAGCUUAAUCUCCUUGUACUUUGGAGUUAACAAUUUAGAGCUUAAUCUCCUUGUACUUUGGACUAAACUUGAACGUGAAAGGAAAUCCCAAAACCAUAUUGGGCAUGAAUUCACACUUAAUAUACCCAAUAAAAGAUGGCGACUGGUGAAAGGCAGUGGAGACUGGUGGAGAGAUUUGAGGAAUAGAAGCAGACGGAAAAGCAACAAAUUUUUGCCGAAAAACGGUCACUUUCAUGGUUAAUUUUGCUACUCUCCAAUUGUACUUGACCAAUUACAACAAUUUCAUGGAGUUUGAUACGUGAAAAGAAUUUUUUAUAAAUUUUAUUUUGAUCCAUAAUGUUAUCUUUACAUAUAUAAAACAUUUUACAAUUUUGAUUUUGGCGCAGCUAACUUUUGGUUAACAAAAAUGCUCAUGUUUAAAAAACCAGAAAUAAAACAAAACAAGAAACAAAAGAAAUAAGAGGGUAGCAUAGACAUUUUGGAUUUUUCCGUUAAUUUGGAUGAUUUCCACCCACGUUCUAAUUUAAUCCAAAACACAAAGGAAUUACGUAGAGGUUUUAAAUAAUGAGGGAGCUUCAUGAUCGAACCCCAAACCACAAGGCGAUUUACUAUAUUUUACUCUUAAAUUUUGGUUUCAUCUCAUAGCAUACAAGAGUUCUAUUUCACUAUCUGUAGACAAAGACUUUCUAUGGUUGAUGUACCAUAGGAAAAAAUCUGCCUAUACAACGUGAUAGCAUUUUUUCAAAAACACAAGAUGGAAAAUUGCCCCUUAAACGGGGAAAUUCAUGAUCUUUCGUCGAACAAAGAAUACUCACGCCUAUUCAAGAUGGAAAAUUGCCCCCUUAAACGUCUAUUUGUCAAUUCUUGAAAAAAGAAUACUCACGCCUAAAACACGGCCUCUUCAUCUGCAGAAUUCUAAAAAGUUAGGUAAACUCUAUAAACAAGUUGAUAGGUACAAUCGUACCCAAGAUCAAGUACAGAUAGUUGUACAUUAACUGCUGCAAUAACUAAUCUGAUGACUUAUAAACAUAUCAUGGUCAAUCGUUGAAUGGUAAUGAGUCUUUUGUUAUGCAUUAGUAUUAGUGUGUACACUCUAAUAGAUUGAUACUUAUACUCUUUAAAUUAUCAUAAUAAUACCCUUAAUUAACUUUAACUCUUAAAAAGAAUACAUGUUAAUACACGAGUGUGUGUAACCUGAAUUGUUACUUAUAAAUUAGUGUGUAAUAGAUAGGGAUGGCAAUGGGGGCGGGUGCCCGCGGGGGGCUCUCGGGGCGGGGGUUGGGGCGGGGGGGAAUUUUUUCCCCCCGUUUAGAAAUGGGGCAGGGGACGGGGGAGUAUACCCCCGCCCCAUCCCCCGCAAAAAAAAAAUUAUAUAUAAUAUGUAAUUUAAUUAGUUAUAAACUUAUGAUAAUGAUAUUAUUAGUUAGAUGUAUUAUAUAAUGUAUAUUAGUGUAUGUAAUAUAAUUAAUAUUAUCAAUUAUAUGAAUAAUUAGACAUGUCUACUAAUAGAAUUUAUGAAUUAGUUAUACUAAAUUUACUAAUACAUUUAUACUAAAUUUCUAAUUACACUUAAUAGAAUAACACUUUUUUCUAAAACAAAAAAGCACAAACACAAUAAUGAAUUAGUGAUUGUAUGAUAGGGUGUAAUUUUACUAUUUAUUUUAUUAUUAAUUUCCCCUAUCACCUGACCUGAUGUGGAUUAAUUGCUGGAUUCUGCUCACUUUUAGUACUUUGUAUUUAUUUCAGGGAGUAGAACGGAAAUUUGAUAACAGGUGCUAAUUUGGCAGAAAAAGAGUCCAGAUGAUAGAGCUUGCCCCAAGGGCAUUUUUGGAAAGGAGAACUUGUGCCCAUCUUGGUAAUUUGGGAGAAAAGGGAAACAGACAAAAUGGGUCUAACAUGGAUUGGAAGCGGCCGCACAGUAGCAGGGAAGAGGGCAGACGUAAAAGCAAUUGCAGGGGGGAAAAGGAGUUUUUUUAGUUUUUAGCUUAGCAUCUGAUUUUCCCUGGGAGACUUUUGUUAAAGAUUUCCUUUUGGCUGAUAUUACGCAUGGCAGAUGGCUUUUAACUUAUUCCUCCAUCUUUGACUUUUCUUCUUUAGCUUGUGGCAGUGGAUUGCUACUUACGAAUGUCAGCACUUAGCCAUUCGUGGCUUUUGAUCUUUUCUUCCUUAGAAAUUCUGAGUAACCUCUUUUCCUUUGUGCGCCAGACGAAGUGAAAACUAUAAACUUUUGUAGUUUUUCUAUUCAUUCAAUAUAUUGAGACGAGUUGGAUUCUACCAAAUUUCAACGGACAUGGCCGCUGGUUUCUCUUCAAUUUUAUAUGGGCUUUGUUCAUCCAACAUGAACUAAUUUCACCACUCUAGUCAAGGAGCAACGAAGGCUCUGAUUUGCCUAAAAAUUGUGAGAUCGUUUUAAUUUAAUCUUUUCCUUUUAUUUAUUGGUAUCCGCACAUUUCUUGAUUGCUAUGCUUAUGGUUAUUUAAUUAAUUGAUUGUCUUGGAUCCAGAUAAUUAAUUGAUCUGAUAGCCUAUUGUCAAUUAGGGCAUUUAAAUCCGUAAUUGUUUAAUUGUCCUGAAAUAGUGACAACUGGCACGAUUAGAUUCGUGCCAGGGGGGAUAUGCGGGCUAAUCUAAAAUAACCCUGGUAGUGUGUUAUUUGGUUAGAAUAGGGCUCCUCUAAUACUAAGGCAAUUGGGGAAUUAAAUUCUACGGGCGUACCUAGGAUUAUUUCUUAAUUAGAGCAGUGAUUAACGGGCGUACCUUGAUCACCGACACAGUAAGGAGGGGUUGACCGUCAUCGCUUGUUUGGCAGUUAUAACCUAUUUAUCAGUAAAUAAUUGGGAUUGCCUUGCAUCAAUGAUCAAUUAGGUGAACCAUUGUUGAAGUUACUUCUUGGUUAGAUCUUUAGUUAAUAUUACCUUGAUUUUGGUGAAUUGCCAUUUGAUUUUUAGUUGCCUACUUUAUUUUAUUUUUAAUUGUUUCCUUGCUUUAAUUGAGUUAGGCCUUUAAUUAUUGUUAUUCUAAGUUUAGUGAAUUGUGGUUUAAUUCCUAAUUAGUUAUUUAUUUUUACUUUCUUAUUUGAAUUUAUUUGCUUGUUAUCAUUCCUACGAAAUCACCCCCCUGUGUUACUUUGGAUUUCUUAAGAAACAAAUAUACCCAAUCCCUGUGGAUACGACCCUACUUGCUCUGUUCACGAAUUCAUAAUUAUUUGUGAAAAGAAAUAACCAUUCCACUCGGGUAUAUCGGAUCAAGCAAAUUCUUCGGGAACAGGGUGAAUCAAGUAACCCAAUGCACACCUAGAGUCCCUGCUCCAGUACUUGGAAUUGGGUUUUGGUCAUUUUAACUGGCAAUUAGGUUUAAUUUUAUUAUUGCACAGGCUGACGACCCUGUCAAUUUUUGGCGCCGUUGCCGGGGACUGGCGUUAUUAUUUGUUUCUUUUUAAAUUCAUUCUUUGUCCUAAUUUUCUGGUUUUCUUCUAGUGUAUGCCUCGAUCUUCUCGUACAGGUAAUUUGAUUUUUGACCCUGAGGUAGAGAAGACCGCAUGUAGAACGAGAAAGGAAACCAGACAGCUCAGAGAAGAGCACUCCAGUGCUACAUCUCAGAGACCCGAGUCAGAAGUUGAACUAACAGAUUCGUUUGGUAACACUUCGAGUGACUCUGACCAGGAGGAAGACACCAUGGCUAAUGCACGAACAUUAAGGGAGUUGGCUGCUCCUGAUUUAACUCAGCAGCCUUUAUGCAUUACUUUCCCCACUUUAAAUGAUAACAUUCCAUUUGAACUAAAAUCUGGUCUGAUUCAGCUUUUACCCUCUUUUCAUGGUUUACCAGGUGAAGAGCCGUAUAAGCAUCUGCAGGAGUUUGAUGUCGUGUGUAAUAGUAUGAAACCCUCGGGAAUCACAGAAGAGCAGAUAAAAAUGAGGGCAUUCCUCUUCUCCUUGAAAGAUUCUGCGAAGGACUGGCUGUACUACCUGUCACCAGGUAGCAUCACCACGUGGGACCAAUUGAAGAAAAAAUUUUUGGAUAAAUAUUUUCCUGCGUCCAGGGCUGCAAGUCUAAGGAAAGAAAUUUGUGGGAUCAAGCAGCAUCCAGGGAAGUCACUUUAUGAGUAUUGGGAACGGUAUAAGAACUUGUUGCGCAGGUGCCCCCAACACCAAAUAAGUGAGCAAUUGAUCAUACAGUAUUUUUAUGAGGGGCUCCUUUUUAGAGACAGGAGCAUCAUUGAUGCCAGGGGGGAGGGUUGGGAUGGGUGGUACGGGGGGAGGGAGUGUAAGCAAGAGGUCUCGGGUUCGAGUCCUCCCGCUUACACACAAAAAAAAAGAUGCUGCAAGUGGAGGGGCACUGGUAAACAAAACCCCUCAGGAAGCACGGGAGUUAAUAGAGGGGAUGGCAGAGAAUUCACAACAAUUCAGUACAAGAGAGGAUGUCCCAAUACGUAAGGUGAAUGAGGUAGAGACACCCUCUAUGCAGCAGCAGCUAACUGAGUUGACCGCGUUUGUUAGGCAACUGGCUGUGAGAAAUGCAUCACAAGCCAGGGUGUGCGGGAUUUGCACUGGUAUGGGUCAUUCUGCAGACAUGUGCCCAAUGAUUCAGGAAGAAACUGCAGAACAGGUGAACAUGGCUGACCACGCGCCCGCGCCAAGGAAGCAGUACGACCCUUACUCAAGCACCUACAACCCCGGGUGGAGAGAUCAUCCCAACCUCAGUUAUGGAGAAAAUAGGCAGCCCAACAUUACACCGAACAGGCAGUCUAACUUUGUGCCAAAUAGGCCACCAGGGUACCAGCAGCAAUAUCAACCCCGACCACCUCCGUCCCCAAGCUCUGGCCCAUCUUUGGAGGAGAUGAUGAAACAAAUGAUGACAACUAUGGCUCAAAAUCAGCAAAUGACGGAGGCAACCAUUAUGCAAAAUCAGCAAAGGACGGACUCCGAAAUGAAGGAUAUAAGGAAUCAGAUAAGUCAAAUGGUCACAACAAUCAACCGUUUGGAUUCCCAGAACCAAGGUAAAUUGCCAUUUCAGCCCGAAUUAAAUUCGAAGAACGUGAGCGCAAUGACCCUAAGGAGCGGGAAAGAAAUUCAGGGGUCUGAACCUGUGAUCCCUAAGGAUAAGGAUGAGGAAAAGAUCGAAAAUGAGCUUGAAAGGGAGGACAGCAAUGGUGCAGAUCUAAAGGUACUUCCUGACCCAAUAAUUACAGCUAAAACUAACCCGCCUCCUUUUCCUAGCAGGUUGGAAAAAUCGAAAAAAGAGGAUAAGGAGAAGGAGAUCUUGGAGGUUUUUCGCAAGGUUGAGAUAAAUAUCCCCCUCUUAGACGCAAUCAGACAAGUACCAAAAUAUGCCAAGUUCCUAAGGGACUUGUGUGUCAACCGAAGGCAGUUGAGGGAAGAUGAACGGGUUAUUGUUGGGGAGAAUGUGUCAGCAGUCCUGCAGAGAAAGCUCCCACCAAAGUGCGGGGACCCAGGUAUGUUUACUAUUCCCUGUAGGAUAGGUAAUACUGUGAUAGAAGGGCCAUGUUGGAUCUGGGAGCAUCAAUUAAUCUCAUACCUAAAUCUAUCUAUGCUUCUCUAAAAUUAGGUCCAUUAAAAGAAACUGGAAUAAUCAUUCAAUUAGUUGACCGAACUAAUGCAUAUCCUGAUGGGUUGGUUGAAGAUGUGUUGGUAAAAGUUAAUGAUUUGAUGUUUCCAGCUGAUUUUUAUGUACUUGAUAUGGAUGAUGAUCACUCCCCUGAUCCCUCACCUCUGUUAUUGGGUAGACCCUUUAUGAGCACAGCACAGACGAAAAUUGAUGUUAAUAAGGGUAUCUUGUUCAUGGAGUUUGAUGGGAAAAUUGUGCAUUUCAAUAUCUUUGAUACUAUGAAAUAUCCCUCAAACUCCAACUUUAGCACAGUUUUCUCUGUGAGUGCUAUUGACCCUGUAGUGCAGGAAGUGUUUGAAACUGAUGGCAGGGAUGAGUUGGAGGUGGCUUUGACCAAGCACCUCGAGUUGGAGACAACUCCUGAGGUGGAAUGGAGCGAGGACCUAAAAUGCACAAUAGGUGCAUUACACUCAUUGCAGUCCACCACGAAAAGGUAUGAAGUCUUACCUAUUUUUACUCCCGAACCUCACCAGAGGGUGUUGCCAUCUGUGGUGCAGGCACCUGUACUAGAAUUUAAACCUCUAUCAGAGCACCUGAAAUAUGCAUAUCUGGGUGAUAAUGAGACACUCCCGGUGAUUAUCUCAUCGACACUGUCAAAAAUCCAGGAGGAGAAACUGAUCCGGGUCCUUAGAGAGCAUAAAGAGGCGAUAGGUUGGACAAUCGCAGAUAUUAAGGGGAUCAGCUCGGCCAUCUGUAUGCACCGGAUUAGACUAGAAGAGGAUGCCAAACCUGUUAGGCAGGCUCAAAGGAGGCUCAACCCCCUAAUGAUGGAAGUUGUAAAGAAAGAAAUUUUAAAAUUGCUAGAUGUGGGGAUUAUUUUUGCAAUAUCAGAUAGCCCUUGGGUAAGCCCGAUCCAGGUAGUCCCAAAGAAGGCAGGGGUGACGGUGGAGGCAAACCAAACGGGUGAGCUCGUGCCAGUGCGCAAACCCACUGGAUGGAGGCAGUGUAUAGACUACCGUAGGCUAAACGCCGUCACCAAAAAGGACCAUUUCCCUCUCCCUUUCAUUGACCAAAUGGUUGAACGUUUAGCUUGUAGAGCUUAUUAUUGCUUUUUGGAUGGAUUUUCAGGAUACUUUCAGAUAGCAAUUGCUCCAGAGGAUCAAGAGAAGACAACCUUCACGUGCCCGUUCGGGACCUUUGCUUAUAGACGAAUGCCAUUUGCGUUGUGCAAUGCACCUGCAACAUUCCAGAGGUGUAUGGUAAGUAUUUUUUCUGAAUAUGUGGAGAAAAUUAUUGAAGUUUUCAUGGACGAUUUCAGUGUGUAUGGUGAUAGUUUUGAUACGUGUUUAGAUAAUCUGAAAUUGAUCCUGAUAAGGUGUAUAGAGACUAAUCUUGUGCUUAAUUGGGAAAAAUGUCAUUUUAUGGUUGAGCACGGGAUAGUCCUGGGUCAUAUUGUAUCGUCUAAGGGCAUAGAAGUUGACAAGGCUAAAAUAGAUAUUAUUUUUGCAUUACCUUACCUCGCGAGUGUGCGGAAGGUGCGUUCUUUUCUUGGACAUGCAGGUUUUUAUCGAAUGUUCAUCAAGGAUUUUUCAAAAAUUGGAGCCCCGUUAUUCCAACUCCUACAAAAGGAUGUGACCUUCGAAUUCGAUGAUAAGUGUGAGGAAGCCUUCAACAAGUUGAAAGAAUUGUUGACCUCACCCCCAAUUAUCCAGCCCCCUGAUUGGAGUCUACCAUUUGAGAUCAUGUGCGAUGCCAGUGAUCAUGCCGUAGGGGCUGUAUUGGGGCAAAGAGUAGGGAAGGCAGCUCACGUCAUCUACUAUGCAUCCCGAGCAUUGAAUGGAGCCCAAUUGAAUUACUCCACUACUGAAAAGAAGCUUCUUGCAGUUAUUUUUGCUUUAGAAAAAUUCAGGUCAUAUUUGCUAGGUGCUAAAGUAAUUGUAUUUUCUGACCAUGCAGCAUUAAGGUACCUAAUGACCAAGAAAGAUGCCAAACUGAGGCUCAUUAGGUGGAUAUUGCUACUGCAGGAAUUUGACCUGGAGAUACGGGAUAAAAGGGGCUCAGAGAAUUUAGUAGCUGACCAUCUGAGUCGUAUACCCGUUGGAGAGGAUAAUGAACCAUUGAGGGAUGCGUUCCCUGAAGAGCACUUAUUUUCUUUAAAUUCUCAGUUGCCUUUGUAUGCCGAUCUGGUCAAUUAUUUGGUAACUGGUAAUUUUCCUGCAGGUUGACCAAAAUCGAAGAGGGAUAAAUUGAAGAGCGACGCCAAGUAUUUUAUUUGGGACGACCCGUACCUAUGGAAGAGGUGUGCAGAUCAAGUGAUGCGGAGAUGUGUAAGUGAAAUGGAAUUUCAAUCGAUUUUAGCUUUUUGUCAUACUUUUGCCUGUGGAGGUCAUUUGGACCCAAGAGAACUGCUCAUAAGGUUUUAGAAAGUGGAUUUUAUUGGCCUUCAUUGUUUAAGGAUGCCUAUGUGUUUUGUAAGUCAUGUGAUCGCUGUCAAAGGGUAGGUAAUAUACCCCGUAGAGAUCAAAUGCCCCAAGUCCCGUUGAUUUUUAUUGAAAUUUUUGAUGUCUGGGGUAUAGAUUUCAUGGGGUCUUUUCCUACUUCAUUUGGUUUUUUAUAUAUUUUGCUGGCAGUUGAUUAUGUGUCUAAAUGGGUGGAGGCUAAGGCCACUCGAACUAAUGACUCGAAAGUAGUUGCAAAUUUUGUCAGGUCUAAUAUUUUUGUGCGAUUUGGAAUGCCUAGUGCUAUUGUCAGUGAUAGGGGAACGCACUUUUGCAACAAAAUCAUAGCUGCGUUGUUUCGCAAGUAUGGUGUACUCCAAUGGGUCUCAACGUCGUACCACCCUCAGACCAAUGGUCAAGCGGAGGUGUCGAAUCGAGAGAUCAAGUCUAUCUUGGAGAAAAUGGUGCGCCCCGAUAGGAAAGACUCGAGUCAAAGGCUGGAGGACGCACUUUGGGCCUAUCGGACGGCGUACAAGACUCCUAUAGGGAUGUCACCGUACAGGUUGGUAUUUGGGAAGCCGUGUCACCUUCCAGUGGAGUUUGAGCACAAAGCUUUUUGGGCGAUAAAGUAAUGCAACAUGAAUUUAGAGGAAGCCGGUGCCCAACGAAAGUUGGAUUUGCAAGAAUUAGAAGAGAUCCGGAACGAGGCUUACGAAAAUGCACUAAUUUAUAAGGAGAGAAGCCGGAUAUUUCAUGAUCAACAAAUUUCAAGAAAAUCCUUUGAAGUUGGUCAGAAGGUCCUACUAUACCAAUCCAGGCUCAAGCUAUUCCCAGGUAAACUACGUUCCCGUUGGAUUGGACCUUUUCUUGUUACUCAUGUUUUUCCAUAUGGUGCAGUUGAAAUCCGGAGCGCUAAAACAGACAACAAAUUUGUGGUGAAUGGACACCGUCUCAAGCAUUACUACGAAGGAUUUUCAGGUGAAAAGGUGGAGACAAUAAGUCUAGACGCGCCACCGUGUCCUAAUCAGUGACAUUUUACUAUGUCUAGCCAAAGACAUUAAAGACAGGCGCUCAUUGGGAGGCAACCCAAUUGUCCCUUUUAAUUAUUUGUUUGAUUUCGUGUGAUAGUUUAAAUAUGUUUUCCUUGAAUUCGACUGAUUUUGGGUUUCAGUUUUCGUUUUUGCUGAAUUGUAGGUGACCUUCAGUCUUGACGCGCCCGCGUGAUGACAUGCAGGAAGCUCACGAUCAGAAUCGUCUGAAAGCUCUCUUGCCCUUUUGACGCACCCGCGUGAUGACGUGCAGGAAGCUCACGAUCAGAAUCGUCUGAAAGCUCUCUUGCCCUCUUGACGUGCCCGCGUCACGUUCGCAGGAAAGGUACGGGUUUCAAAAAUUUAAAGAAAAAAUAAUAAUAAUAAUAAUUUAAAAUUUUGAAAUUAACUUCCGUAAAAAAAAAAAAGAAGAAAAAAAAUUUCACCGUGGCUUAAAUAGAGCCUAAAGAAGAGAAAAAAGAAACAAUUUCUUUCUUUUUUUUUUCUUUUUCUUCUUUCUUCCUUCUUUCUUUCUUUCUUCUUUCUCUUUUCCCUCUCUCUUCUCCCCUGUUUCUUCUCCCCUGUCCGUCGCCCGUGCGCCCCAUCGCUGCUCCACCUCCACACGCACGCCGACGCUGCGAGCCACCUGCGACCCCAGCGCCAGAUCUGGACCAUCGCCGAAACCCGCAGCCUCCGCCACCUCCACCUGAGCUCUGCCUCGCGCGCAACCCAGCUGCUCUGCGCCCGAAGCUCCACCGCCGCCACAGCCUCCCCACGCAGCUCCCUGCUCACGCGGCCACAAGCCCAUUGGAAACGGGACAGAGACUGCCGCCGAGCCACUUGCCCGCGUGACCGCCGCUGUUUUCCACCACCUCCCUCACGCGAGCUCUUUCCCUCUCAGCAGCAAUCCACUUCACAGCGCACCCGCUGCGCGCCGUCGCAGCCCUCGCAGCUCCAGCCCGUCUGGUCUAGUCCGCCGCGCGCACCAACCACCCACGGACGCUACCCCCAUCGCUAACCCACGCGGCCUCCACUCCAGUCUGUCCGCCGCCGCUGCUCGUGUCUCCCUUGCGCACCUCACGCCACCCGCUACUGUCCCCUUCCGUUUGGUUAGCAUCCACGGUGGAGGUAAUUGGAGGUUAUUUUCUCAAUUGUGUGACUUCCGCCUGUGAUACUGGUUGCAUUAUUUUUGCUGGGAAUUGCUACUUCUUUUGGGUUGGGUUCAACUGUGCAAUUAAUUGGCCAACUGGAGCCAUUUGUUGGGAUUUUGGGUGAGCUGAAAUACUGCAUUUGUGUGUUACAUUGGGAGGUUUAUUGGGUACAUUCUAACCGCUGUUUUCCAUUGUUACUCUCGCUGGGGUGUCUAUUAAAUUGCGAUUGAAGUAUUUUGGAUAUUGCAUGUUGAGAUUGAGGUUUCAUUGAAUUUGGCCUACGUUCUGCCCCCAGUGGUACUGGUGGGAAUAUUUUCAAUUGAAUUUGUUACCUCUAGUUGGUUGGCUACAUUAUUAUGGUCGAAUUCCUAAGUUGUCGUCAUUGCAUUUGUUGAUCUUGAUUUGGGGCAUUAACCGGCCAACUGGAGCCAUCUGUGCGUUUUUAGGCGCUAUUAUUGGUUUCUUCUCCCUUAACUUUGUCAACUAUAUUUGGUUGGGUAUUUGGUUGACUGCCACGGACUUGUAACUGUGUUUUGCUUCUAAUUGACCAGUUGCACAGCAGUUUUUUUUUAAUUGAUAGGGUGGUUAUACCUCUGGAUAUUUGUAUCCACUGGUUUGAGGACAUGGUGAGACCAAAAUCCUCCUCUAGGUCUAGGACCCCUAGAACCUCGCAAUCCCAACCCCAAGCCUCUACUCUAGUCAAUACCCCUAUAAAUCAACCUACUGCUCCCGGUGUCCGAACCUGGUUAGGUAGGGGUAGAGGUGCCCACGUGGCUUCCGCCACUCACUUGGGAGGGCAUUUGGAAUUCACUAGAGCCGCCGAUCAGCGACGCUAUGCUCAAGCUUGUGAGCGGCGUAUCAUUCCGUGCAAAUGCGCGGACCACAUUACUAUGGUUUUUCUGGGGAUCCAAGGGGAGGUUGAGCGCAUGUACACCGCCAUUGGAUGGCGCCCCUAUCUGGAUAUUUUCCAGCCAGCCUUUGUCGAGUUGACUAGAGAGUUUUACACCACUUUUAAGUUUGAAUUACCGACUAGGUAUACUGUUGCGACUCCCGAUAUCAUUCACUUCCGUCUCAUGGGCCAGGAAUUCAAUUUCUCUAUCACCCAGUUCAAUCUGGCUUUCGGUUUCAUCACUCGGGAGUAUGCAGAGACUAGGGAAUACGGUGAGAGUGCCUGCGAUUUUGUGGAACCUUUCCUUACCGCCUACCGUGAGGUGUGGGAGGACAUGUCUGUGGACAUGCAGCGUUACGAUCCCUCUCGGUCUCGGAGCUCCUUUCUAGAGGACCCGAGUGCUCGGUAUGUUCAGCGGCUUUUAGCAUAUAGCUACUCGGGCAGAAAGAACAGCUUCGGUAUUAUCUCUCGGCCGGAGCUCUUCUUCCUUUGGUGUAUGAAGAAUGGGUUCAAGGUCAAUUUGGGUUGUUGGUUGGCGGCACAGUUCAAGACCGUCAUGGCAAAGAAGAACAAGCCGUUGAUUCUUGGGUCGUAUAUCACGUACUUGGCGGUCCAGCUAGGCGUUCUGAAUCUACAGGAUCACGAUUUGCACUUGGCCUGCGACAUGGAGUAUCUCACUGCUGACCGGCUAGAGAAGAUGGGGGUUCUGGAGCUUGUCGAUGGCCACUACCGAUUUGUGCCCCCGGGACCGCCCCGCGCCCCGCCUCGCUCUUCCUCCACCCAUUCGGCCCCAGUUGGCGGUGAUCCUGGCCCGUCGACAUCCGCUCAGCUCCCUCCACCAGCAGGGGCUGAAGAUUGGCACCAAAUCAGGACGCAGAUUCAGAAUUUGGACGCCCGGAUGAUUAGCAUCGAGAGCAACGUGGCGGCUAUAUCACAGAAUCUGGCGGCAUUCCUGCAGCACUCGGGUUUCCCGCCCCCAAUCCCACCUCACCCUCCACUAUGACCCGGUUUCAGGGAAGUUUGGUUACUUUCUCCCUCACUUUUGUUGUUUUUUGACACAUUGAGGACAAUGUGUCCUAUAGGUGUGGGGGGGUCUAUAGUCUUUCUAGUUUUUAGUAGUUGUUAGUUUUUAGUUUUUUAGUAGUUUUAGUUUUAUUUCUAGUUGCGUAUUUUCUUUCUUUUCUUAGUGCUUAUUCCCCAUGUGAAAAGAAAAAGAAAACAAAAAAAAAGAGAAAAAAAUGUUGGUUUAUUGACUCUAACUCUACUUUUGCCAAGUUUUUUUUAAAUAAAAAUGUAUCGGGUUAAUGUGGUUGGAUCCAGAAUAUCUCCCUGGUGAAUAUCGGAUUGCUUGGCUCUUUUGAUUUCUGUGUUAAUUUCUCUAGGCAUAGGGAAUGACUGUUGGCAUUUUAAUGUGAACUGGUCCAAUAUUGACUCCAGUUCUCUAUGUUUGGCAAUAAUGAGGCGAGCUGUUCCUAUUUUUGGUUCUUAGUGUUGUUAUUAUGUGUUUUUGGCUUUGUUUGGCUGUGAAUAAUCUGGACUGUACUCCGCUAUGAGUUACUACUGAGUAACCGAGGAUCGGCACCUAAAAGUGUCGAUUCUCGCGUCAAAAGGUGGUACUUUAUAUGAGUACGUGGUCGUAUAGCAGUAGGAGCUGAGUAACCGGGCUCCUUCAUCUAAAAAUGUUGGAGUUCGCGUCAAAAGGCCCCGACGGCUAACGACUAAGUCUUUUUGUGUUAAUUAUUAUUGCUUUGAAAAACAAAAAAAAAAAAGAACGAAAAAAGAGAGAAUAAAUAAUAGGAAGGCUUGCCGGUUUAUGGACUUAAUAUGGAGACUUGUGUGAAUAUUUGGACCAUUAGCUAAUAAAUGUUGUGCGCCAUUCCCUUUUCUUAGAGUAGUUAACCUGGAAAUUGAAGGAAUUUGCAGUUUAGGGGCUAACCGGGGGGGAGGCUUCUUGGAUUUUAAUCACCAAUGCUCGAUAUAUGUUUUUCUCUUGAAGAUCUUGGCAAUAUAGGAGAUUGGACAAUGGCCAUCAUCGAAUUUUGGUGUUCGUUUACUAUUCUUAUGCUUGAGGACAAGCAUGGUUUAGGUGUAGGGGGAAUUGAUAGGGUGUAAUUUUACUAUUUAUUUUAUUAUUAAUUUCUCCUAUCACCUGACCUGAUGUGGAUUAAUUGCUGGAUUCUGCUCACUUUUAGUACUUUGUAUUUAUUUCAGGGAGUAGAACGGAAAUUUGAUAACAGGUGCUAAUUUGGCAGAAAAAAGUCCAGAUGAUAGAGCUUGCCCCAAGGGCAUUUUUGGAAAGGAGAACUUGUGCCCAUCUUGGUAAUUUGGGAGAAAAGGGAAACAGACAAAAUGGGUCUAACAUGGAUUGGAAGCGGCCGCACAGUAGCAGGGAAGAGGGCAGACGUAAAAGCAAUUGCAGGGGGGAAAAGGAGUUUUUUUAGUUUUUAGCUUAGCAUCUGAUUUUCCCUGGGAGACUUUUGUUAAAGAUUUCCUUUUGGCUGAUAUUACGCAUGGCAGAUGGCUUUUAACUUAUUCCUCCAUCUUUGACUUUUCUUCUUUAGCUUGUAGUAGUGGAUUGCUACUUACGAAUGUCAGCACUUAGCCAUUCGUGGCUUUUGAUCUUUUCUUCCUUAGAAAUUCUGAGUAGCCUCUUUUCCUUUGUGCGCCAGACGAAGUGAAAACUAUAAACUUUUGUAGUGUUUCUAUUCAUUCAAUAUAUUGAGACGAGUUGGAUUCUACCAAAUUUCAAUGGACAUGGCCGCUGGUUUCUCUUCAAUUUUAUAUGGGCUUUGUUCAUCGAACAUGAACUAAUUUCACCACUCUAGUCAAGGAACAACGAAGACUCUGGUUCGCCUAAAAAUUGUGAGAUCGUUUUAAUUUAAUCUUUUCCUUUUAUUUAUUGGUAUCCGCACAUUUCUUGAUUGCUAUGCUUAUGGUUAUUUAAUUAAUUGAUUGUCUUGGAUCCAGAUAAUUAAUUGAUCUGAUAGCCUAUUGUCAAUUAGGGCAUUUAAAUCCGUAAUUGUUUAAUUGUCCUGAAAUAGUGACAACUGGCACGAUUAGAUUCGUGCCAGGGGGGAUAUGCGGGCUAAUCUAAAAUAACCCUGGUAGUGUGUUAUUUGGUUAGAAUAGGGCUCCUCUAAUAUGUAAGGCAAUUGGGGAAUUAAAUUCUACGGGCGUACCUAGAAUUAUUUCUUAAUUAGAGUAGUGAUUAACGGGCGUACCUUGAUCACCGACACAGUAAGGAGGGGUUGACUGCCAUCGCUUGUUUGGCAGUUAUAACAUAUUUAUCAGUAAAUAAUUGGGAUUGCCUUGCAUCAAUGAUCAAUUAGAUGAACUAUUGCUGAAGUUACUUCUUGGCUAGAUCUUUAGUUAAUAUUACCUUGAUUUUGGUGAAUUGCCAUUUGAUUUUUAGUUGCCUACUUUAUUUUAUUUUUAAUUGUUUCCUUGCUUUAAUUGAGUUAGGCCUUUAAUUAUUGUUAUUCUAAGUUUAGUGAAUUGUGGUUUAAUUCCUAAUUAGUUAUUUAUUUUUACUUUCUUAUUUGAAUUUAUUUGCUUGUUAUCAUUCCUACGAAAUCACCCCCCUGUGUUACUUUGGAUUUCUUAAGAAACAAAUAUACCCAGUCCCUGUGGAUACGACCCUACUUGCCCUGUCCACGAAUUCAUAAUUAUUUGUGAAAAGAAAUAACCAUUCCACUCGGGUAUAUCGGAUCAAGCAAACUCUUCGGGAACAGGGUGAAUCAAGUAACCCAUUGCACACCUAAAAUCCCUGCUCCAGUACUUGGAAUUGGGUUUUGGUCAUUUUAACUGGCAAUUAAGUUUAAUUUUAUUAUUGCACAGGCUGACGACCCUGUCAUUGUAUUUGUACCAAAAGUGAAAACUUAACUAUUUUAGUUGUAUUUAUUUCAUCAUGUUGGAUUGUAUUCAAAUAAUUUUUGUUUGAUUGUUUUUAUAAGUUUCAAUUGUAAAAUUAAAAUGAAUAAUAACUUGAUGAUGUGUUGAUAUUUUAGUACUUGAUUAUUUAUUAAAAUUUAAUUAUAAUAAAAUUUUAUUAACUCAACGAGAAAAAUUUUAUUAAUCCCGUGGGGGCACCCGCGGGGAAAGCGGGGCGGGGCGAGGGGAGUGGGAGGCGGAGGACGGGGCGGGGGCGGGGGAUGGGGGAGGGGUCCCCCGCCCCAACCCCGCCAUCCCCCGUCCCGUUGUCAUCCCUAGUAAUAGACUGGCAAGCAUUGUGGUGGUCAUUGAGCAACUUAUAGGAGAAAUAGUCCUAUAAGCUGUUCAAUGACCAAUCACAACUUGCUAAUUGGAUGACUAAUAUAGCUCUAGCUGUAAUGUUUUAAUUAAAUUACAUCACUAACGUUGGGAUGACUUUUUAACCAAAAAAAAAAAGCCUUAGUUCAAGCUUUUCCCUUUAUUGUGCAUUUUUUAAAGCAUUUGAAAGGCACUGCAAAUCUGUCAUUUUGGACAUUUUAUUAUUGACUAACAAUGAAAGCCGUGGACGUCUACCCAUAACCAACACAAGAUUAAAUUAAUAUUAGAAAAAAUAAUUGAGUAAUUGGAAAAAAAAAAAAAAGAAGAGUCUAAUUUUCAUUGAAACCCACCGACAAACUAUACGUGUCCAUGGCUUUUGAAUAGUGCAUUCAACGUUUAAUUGUAUGGUCCAGUUCAUUGCAGAUUACAUGGAGUAAAGAUUGCGCUCUUUCCUUUUCACCCCUUUUGGAAUCGAUACUGUGGAGAAUUGGGUUUUUCCCUCCUUUUUUUCUUUUCUUUCCUUCUGUGGUUUGCAAAACAUACGUAAAAAUAUGAAAUCCGAAGCAUUCUUUAAUUGGUAUUAAGUAUUGUUGUUGAAAUUAAAAAGAAAAAAGAAAGAACAACAAAAUUCCCAAUCUGGGUUGAUUGUUGAGCUCUAGAUUGGUUGCAUCGUGCUUCCAUAGAAGCAAGAUUUGUAAAAUCGGAAUCCUACAUAGGAUCGAUUUUAGUUUCACAGGAUCGGAUUGUAAAAUCGUAAGAUCCUACCAAAAGCUCUCAAUUGCAAUUAAAGGUUGCAAUUCUUUAAUAAAUUACAAAUAUACCACAAAUAUUUUCAUUUACUUGCAAAAUGGAGCUUCGUAUUUCACAAAUUUACAAAAAAAUUGUAGGAUCGUACGAUCCUACCGAUCCUACGAUCCUACACGAUCCUACCGAUCCUGCUACGAUUCUAUGCGAUCCUACAAAGAUUAAUAUGAUUUGCGACUCUGCAUACGAUCCGGAUCGAUUUUGGUUAUCCGGAUCGUAGGAUCGUAUGAUCCUACGAUCCGGAUCGCGAUUUUGACAACUAUGCAUAGAAGCUCUCUUAGUGUGAUACACUGCUUUCAAUCAGUUUAACACGGGAAAAAAAAAAAGAGAUGAAAAGCAAAUUUGGUGGAGAUAAUUUCAGAAACCUCCCCUGAAGAUUUUGACUAUUCUACUGGUUUCCCUUCAGAUUUUAAAAAUUACACUAAUCUUCCUUGAAGUUAAUUAUCUUGUAACAUUUAAAUUCAAUCAAUAAUUUAAAAAAUGAUAUUAUGAGAGAGAAAAUAAUAUGAUUUUAUCAUUGCCCCCCAUCUUACUACAUUAUUUAAUUAAUUUAAUAGCAACCCACACAUUAAAGAAAAAUAUUAAAAUUUGUUGUUUAUCAUUAAAGAUCAAAUCGCUUAUAACAUCAAAUAAUAGUAUAUUAUUUAUAUUUUUCACUUAAUAUAAUAUCCAAAUUACUCUUUUCAAUUACAUACCCAUUGUUAGAGAAUCAACAACAAAUAACCAAAAAAUUUGCAACCAAAAUAUUACAAAAAAAAUAAACUUUAACAUCAUAAAUAUUCUUAUCAACAUAUUAAAGUUAGUUACUGAAAUUUUUAUGCUGUUAAACUUCACUCUUUUUGAAUACAGAUUUUUUUGAUUAUUUGUUAUUAAUUAUGUUUGAUGAUGGGUUUAUAAUUGAAAAGAACAAUUUGAAACUUACAUUAAGUAAAAUAUAUAGAGUGAUAUACUAUUUUUUAUAACAUAUGUGAUUCAAUCCUUCUUGAUAGGAUUGGUAAUAGAGGUAGAGGGGGGAGUCGGCUGCAUCCGGUCUUCUUUUCAUAGAUAGUACAAUAUUGCGAAAUCAAUCGCAUUCACACAAUAAUAUUUCGAAGUCAAUGCAUGGCUAAGUUGCAUAAAAGUACGAACACUUGUUAUUAUAUAGCUUAAGAUUCAAAACUUUCGAGCAUAACCCUCCACCCAACACAAUUGAAUAAUGAAUAUUCACGAUUGUCAAAUCUGUCAAAGCACAGUUUGAGGACAACCCAUUCCAACCUGCAAAAGAUUUUUUACUUUUCUAAAGUUGUUGAGAGCUGUAAAAAGACUUACCAUGCUUGCAUCCUCCGAGCCUUGGGAGUUAAAAAUGAAGGCACUGAGUGCUAUAAAAAGGGGAAUAGAGGCUGCCUAGAAGCAUAUCAGCCUAAAACAAGAAUUUGUAGUUAAGAUGGGAAGCAAAGCAAAAGCAAUGGGGUCUGGGCUGACUCCUCUUCUUGCCACUGUUUUAGUGGUGUUUGUUGCUCUUGGCUUGCCCUCACAAACUGCAGCUGAUGAUCACUACAAGUAUUCAUCUCCUCCUCCUCCUUACCACUAUCCCUCACCACCACCACCAGUGCAUAUACCUCCACCUCAUCCUGUUUACAAGUACAAAUCUCCACCACCCCCACCACCACACCCAGUUUACAAGUAUAAGUCACCACCACCACCUCCUCAUCCGGUAUACAAGUAUAAGUCUCCUCCGCCACCACCACACCCAGUUUACAAGUACAAGUCACCACCACCACCUCCUCAUCCGGUACCACACCCAGUUUACAAGUAUAAGUCACCUCCACCACCUCCUCAUCCGGUACCCACAGUUUACAAGUAUAAGUCACCACCACCACCUCCUCAUCCGGUAUACAAGUAUAAGUCUCCUCCGCCACCACCACACCCAGUUUACAAGUAUAAGUCACCACCACCACCUCCUCAUCCGGUGCCACACCCAGUUUACCACUACAAGUCACCACCACCACCUCCUCAUCCGGUACCACACCCAGUUUACCACUACAAGUCACCACCACCUCCUCACCCAGUUUACAAAUACGAGUCUCCACCACCACCAGUUUAUAAGUACAAGUCACCACCACCUCCUCCACCAGUUUACAAGUAUAAAUCUCCUCCACCACCACCACCAGUUUACCACUACAAGUCUCCACCACCUCCUCCCCCAGUUUACAAAUACAAGUCUCCACCACCUCCUCACCACUACUAAGCAAUUGCUUCUGAGGUAAUAACACUUGUUCAAUAUACCCACUUCUGCAUGAUAAAGCAUAUCUCUAUCAACACAAACUGUCAUGUCUAUCAUGCUAAGUGCCUUCACUUCAUCCACCAAAAUGACUGCUAGAAAAUUUUUUUUAUGUUACCAAAGAAAGGCAUCAUUUUUUCCCUCUGUUAUCAAGAACUUGUACAGUAUAUAGAUUAAAGAGUAUUUUUUUAACUAGCUUAUCAACUGAGAAAUGCAUAUAGCUGAUAGCCAGCUGAAUAUUUGCAGGCAAAGGAGAAGGAAACCAUGUUUGAGACCUUCUUGAAGAUGUAGAAGCAUAAGAAUAAAAGCCCAAUGUGAAGAUGAUGAUUUCAAGUUUUUCUACGUUACCAUUUCUUUAUCUAAAUUGGUUGUAGCGCCCAAGUUCCUUUGUUUAUGGGAUUUGUAUCGUUUUACGUACCAUGCAGUACAUGUCAUGUUUGUAAGGUUUUCUAUCCUGCCGGCAAACCGCAGGUUCCAUGUGAUAAAUGAAUACUAUUUAUGUUACGACACUUUUCUCUGUUUCUCUUAUAUUUUGUCUUUAAUAUUCUUAAUCAUAUUUUUAACAAAAAUAUUCAAACACUUAGGCAAUCUGGUCUAAUGCUAAUUGUAUGUUUUACUUUUCUUUUUCACCUGCUCCCCUUUUCAACUCAAAAGGAUGCAAUAGUUUGUGAUCACUGUUUAAGACGGAAGCAUGAUACUAAUGAAUAUCUCAUUGAAACUCAAGGAAACUAACAUUGCGAAAAGUGUAAAUCUUGAUUUGAUGCAACUAUUUAUUCGUGGAAUCUAUAGUUACAAAACUCAAAUUCUGACUGCGCCAUUGAUAAAUUAUUAAUGACGCUAUCAUCAUUAUUUAUCCCUAACUAGUUUCGACUACAACUGAACCCAAUAUUUUCCCCAUGAUAAAAGUUUUUGACUAUUUUACUGGCCUCUCUUCAAAUUUUAAAAAUUACACUAAUCUUCAUUGAGAUUAAUUAUCUUGUAACAUUUAAGUCCAAUUAAUAAUUAAAAAAUGAUAUUAUGAGAGAGAAAAUAAUAUAAUUUUAUCAUUGCCCCCCAUCUUGCUAUAUUAUUUAAUUAAUUUAAUAGCAACCCACACAUUAAAGAAAAAUACUAAAAUUUGCUGCUUUUCAUUAAAGAUCAAAUUGCAUAUGCCAUAAAACAUAGUAUAUCAUUCUAUAUGUUUCACUUAAUGUAAGAUCCCAAUUGUUCUUUUCAAUUACAAACCCAUUGUCAAACAUGAUCAAUAACAAAUAAUCAAAAAAUUUGCAACCAAAAUAUUACAAAAAAAAACUUUAACAUCAUAAAUAUUCUUACCACCUCUAGUGCAUUCACCCUCAUAAAAUAAUUCAAGACCCUACUGUCAUAAAAUGACUGAUCAACUCCUGUAAACCUAAUUUGACAACAUUUAAAUGGAGAACUUUAGCUAAAAGAAUUAUGGUCAAGCUAAAGAAAAAACCAGUUAUUUUCCAACAUAUGCAACCAUUGAUCAGGGGAAAAAAAAAAGCAAAAAGACAUCUUCAAUCAUUUAAUAGCUUACAGGGCAAAUUAACCCUUGAGUGAAAACUGGUUGCUCUAGAAUUAAAAUUUUACCUUAGUUACCCAGGCAACUUUUUUGUUGCCUUUUCUUUUUCUUUUUUGGGUAUAUAGCUCCAGUUUUGCCCCCUCUGUCAAGCUUAUAUAAUUAUUAAGAUAAUAAAAGUGCCUUUAAUAGUAUUAAUAUAUCCAUUGACUUGAGCUGUCAUCGAUCGGUUUGGGCUACUUCGAUUCCAUGAGAACAAAUGGUAAUAAAAGUACUCAGAAAAUGGGGAGUCAUGAAACCCUUUUGUUCUAUUCAUUGCUAAGAUGCUUUUCUCUAUAAAGAGACUUCCUAACGAAAAUACUUUGUAGAUUUCUUUACUCCAAGUGGUGCAUGGAAAAUUAAUAUUUUCAAUUAUCAAAUAAAAUUCCCUUUUUUCGGCGUAGAUUUCAUCCAUCCAGCUGUUAACACAUUCUAUAAAUCCGAAUUGACUAAUCUUUUCGUUUCCAUUUUCCAACUUGCGAAUACGGCAUAUAGUGUCUGCUAAACACUAUAUAUUCUCUGCCAAAUAUGAAUACAUAUCACUUUUCUGAGCAAGUGCAGAGUCAUUAUCAUUUUUAUUCCCACCUAACAAAUUAGGGAUAAAAAAGUUAAUAAUCUUUACAUGCUAUCAGGUCACAAGUUAAUAAUCUUUUAAAGAACAUGUUAAAUUAAUUUAUUGGUAUGAAUAGUAGUCAAAGAAGUAUGUUAAAGUUAGUAAUCUUUAAAAUAAUAUGUUAAAAUCAUUCGUACAAAUUAGUCAGAGAAGUAGCAUAAACACCGCGAUGCAAUUAAUACUUUCAAUCUCAAGGUCUCUAUUAUGGAAAUUUGCAUCGGUCAAUAUACACUUGGCAUAAUAUAAUCUCCCAACUCAUUUCUUUACAAAUGCACCUUUAAUCACCACCAAAAGGUGUGGACAUGAUCUUUACCCUAGAAAACUAUUCACCGACAGGCAAAUUGACGUCAGAAAUACUGAGGAAUUCUAGUUUCCUUCGGGUUCAUGCCAUGUUGUAUCCUUCAACUGUAACUCGAUUUCUAAGCUGUAAUUUGUGACAUAAUAGUCCUUAAACUAUGAAACCCUUCUUACUUAAUUACAAUGGUUAAUACAAUGCCCGUGACUAGACAAGUAUGAAGCAACCAUAACAGAAAAAAAAUCCAAAAUUAGAGAAAAGAAAGAAGUUUCGCGACCACCACCAGUUUACAAGUCACCUCCACCACCUCCUCCAGUUUACAAGUCACCUCCACCACCUUACCAUUAUUCCUCACCACCACCUCCAGUGCAUUCACCCCCACCACCACCAGUUUACAAGUCUCCGCCACCACCUUACCAUUAUUCCUCACCACCACCUCCUGUGCAUGCACCUCCACCACCAAUUUACAAGUCACCUCCUCCAGUUUACAAGUCUCCACCACCACCUUACGAUUAUUCCUCACCACCACCUCCAGUGCAUUCACCCCCACCACCACCAAUUUAUAAGUCUCCCCCACCGCCUCCCCCAGUAUAUAAGUCACCACCACCACCUCCUCCAGUAUACAAAUCACCUCCACCACCUCCUCCAGUUGACAAAUCUCCACCACCACCAAUUUAUAAAUACAAGUCUCCUCCACUACCUCCUCCAGUGUACAAGUCAUCACCACCACCUGCUUACAAGUCUCCACCUCCUCCAGUUUACAGUUCCCCACCACCACCAAUCUACAAGUCUCCACCUCCACCCUACCAUUACUACUACAAUUCUCCUCCUCCUCCUCGUCACUACUAAGCAAUUGUAUCCAAGUUUUUGAGGUAAUAACGCUUAACCAAUAAAUUAACUUUCGCAUGAUAAACCUUAUCUCUAUCAAGACAAACUGCCAUGUGUAUCAUGCCAAAUACGUACACCUAGAUCCAUGAAAAUGAAUGGUAGAAAGUUUUCUUAAGAACCAAGAACAGCAUUAGUAUUCCCUCUGCUUCCAAAAACUUGUGUAUUAAAUAGAUUAAUGAAUUGUUUAACAUGCUCAUCUACUUGAAAAUGCACAAUACCCAUAACCCACUGAAAUUUUUGCAGGAAAAGGGAAAGAGAAUCUGUGUUUGAGAGCUUCAUGAAGAUGUUGAAGAAUAAGAAUAAAAGCCCAAUGCAAGGAUGUUUUCAAGUUUUUCUAUGUUUCCACUUUAAUUUGUAAAUUGAAUUUUGCGACUCAAUUAAUUCCCUGUUUGUGAGGUACGUAUUGUUUUACGUACCAUGCCGUACAUUUUUUUUUUCCAACAAACGGUAUCAUGUUAUAGAUAUUAACACUUGACCUUACAAGGAUUAGUUACAAAAAGGGGAUACUACCCUCAACUCUGUCCUAGCUAAAUCAGUCAGCCAUAUUGGGAAAUUAGUUUCCCAUUCAAUAUCAUGUACAAGCUUCACAGCAUAUUGUGCUAAUUGAUGGCUGAUGUGAUUUUCAGUUCUAGGUAUAAACACAAAAGAACAUUUUUCAAAAGCUAGACUAAGUUCCUGCACAUCUUCUAAGAUAGUUGCAGUCGUGUAGUCAUACUCCUUGCGUUUAGUAAUCUGCUCUACCACUGAUUUGCAGUCUGUAUGGACUAUAAUUUGUGUCCAACCUGCUUGGGUAGCCAUCAGCAGAGCAUUUCUCACAGCCCGAGCUUCCACUUCACUUGCCGAUCCCUUUCCCUGUGUGACAAUUCCUUUUGCUUUCAAAAGCUGUCCUUUCCAAUUUCUUGCUAUAAUCCCUUGUCCGGUCCUGACUCGUUUAGCUGAUAUCGCUGCAUCGGUAUACAGCCUUAUCUCUUCCUUCCUUGGCCGCACUCUCCUGGUAGGUAAGGCAUCAUUCAGCUUCCCUGCGAUCUCCUUCUGGUCUGUACUCCCUACCUGUUCAAACUCAAGCCAUUCCUCCUGUGCUUUCCUUACUAUUUUUACUGGAUCCUGGUUGGCUUGUUCAAAAAAUUUUUUGUUCCUGGCUUUCCAAAUUUGCCAAAGGAUAUUGAUAGUAAGACUAACUCUCUCCUGACCUUGGUUCAGUGCCAGCGAUUGUGUGACUUGUUCCCACCAUAACCAAAAGUUAUAUUGCAUACCCAGUAAUCCAUCCCACCUGACCGGUGCUAGCUUCCACGUUUCCACAGCCUUUUCACAGAAGAAAAACAAAUGCUCAAUAGUUUCCAUAUCUUCACCACAGCAACCACAUCUGCCUUCCCCUCUAUGUAGCCUUUUCGACAUCUGUUCAUUGACUGGCAGACAAUUUUGUAAGCACUUCCACAUGAAGUGUUUUAGUUUGGCCUUCACCUUCAAAUGCCAUAGCUGCUUCCACACAUUUCGUUUUCGUAUCUCCCAACUUGUUUCUGCCUCUUGGCCUGUCCUUGUACCUGCUUUUCCUUCCCGUUGCCUUGCUAAAGCAUAACCAGAUUUCACGCUAUAAAUUCCAGCUUUGGAAUGCCCCCAUACCAACCUAUCCUUUCUUCUUCCUAUACUUGUUGGAAUUCCCUUUAUGUGCUCUGCAUCUUUUGCACAAAACCACUUGAGAAGCAAAUCAUUUUUCCAUUUCCCUUCCUCUAUCAGCUCACUUACCCAUUCCAACUUGCAUCCCACAGGUUGUGUGGUUGAUGCAAAGCCGGUAUCUGAACCAACUAUCCAUCUGUCCCGCCACAUGUUGACUGACUUGCCAUCUCCAAUUCUUUUCCAAAGACCAUCAUACAGAAAGGAGGCUGCACUAUGAAUACUCUUCCAACACCAUGAGGCUGAAGAGACUGGCUUCUUGUCCAUCCAUUUUUCAUCACUCAUAUACUUCGCCUUCAUUACCUUACUUACUAACAAAUUUGGAGCCAUUAAGAAUCUCCAAAUUUGUUUUGCCAGUAAUGCUGUGUUGAAGGCCUCCAAAUCUCUAAAGCCUAAACCUCCUCUUCCCUUAACUUCUAAGAGCUUCUUCCAGCUUGCCCAAUGUACACAGGUACCCUUUUCUCCCUUCCCCCACCAGAAACUCGCUAUUUUACCUGUGAUUUGUCUACACAAACCCCUUGGAAGUCUAAAGCAAGCCAUCACAUAUGUUGGCAUAGCCAUAAUCACUGAUUUGACCAGAAUUUCUUUCCCUCCUUGGCUCAACAGUUUUUGUUUCCAACCUUGCAACUUGUUACUAAUUUUGUUCUGGACAAAUGCAAAGACCUGUGUCUUUGAUCUUCCAAUUGCCAUUGGGAGUCCUAGGUAGGUUCCAUUCCUUGCCUCUUUAAUGUUAUCUAAUACCUCCCUCACUCCAUUCUUCCUUUGAUCAGUGGUAUUUUUGCUAUAGAAGAUAGCUGACUUUUCAAAAUUCACCACCUGUCCGGAUGCUUGACCAUAUCUUUCCAAUAUGCUUUUGACCUUCCUCGCCUCCUGCUUGGUUGCUUGGCAGCAUAGUAGAGAAUCAUCUGCAAAAAAUAGGUGAGAAACCAUCGGACUGUCCUUGCAUAUUUUGAUCCCUGUAAUUUCCUUGUUCAUCAUAGCUUUAUGGAUCAAACAUGAAAGACCUUCAGCGCAUAUAAUAAACAAGUACGGGGAUAGGGGGUCUCCUUGUCUAAGCCCUCUACUCGGUUGAACACAGCCUACCUUUUGCCCAUUUAAGUUGAAGGAGUAAGUCACAGUAGAUAGGCAAGACAUGAUCCAUUUAACAAAAAUUGGACAAAACCCCAUUUUCAUCAUAACUCUCCCCACAUAUUUCCAUUCGACUCUAUCGUAAGCUUUGGACAUGUCCAGUUUAAGAGCCAUAAAUCCUACCCUUCCCUUUCUCCUAUUUUUCAAAAAAUGCAGGAUUUCAUGUGCAACUACUACAUUAUCAAGAAUUUGACGGCCUGGGAUAAAAGCGGAUUGAGAGGGACUAAUACAAUGAUGCAAGACACCUUUCAAUCUAUUAGCUAUGAUUUUAGAAAUGAUUUUAUACAGGACAUUGCACAAGCUAAUAGGUCUAAAAUGCACCACAGAUUCAGGAGUAUCAACUUUAGGAAUCAACGAAAUAAUAGUAUCAUUCACAGCUUUGAGCAAAUGCCCAGUAUGAAAGAAACUCUUAAUAGCUGCUACCACAUCAUCCUUGAUAAUAUCCCAAUAGUGUUGAAAAAAUAGAGGAGACAUACCAUCCGUUCCUGGUGCUUUAUUAGGGUGCAUCGAGAACAAAGCUUUCCUGAUCUCACUUUCCUCCACUUGUCGUAUCAGUUGUCCAUUCAUAUGACUCGAAAUAGUGCUUGGAAUUUCAGCUAGAAUGUCCUCAAAGCAGUCCGGGUUAGUAGUGGUAAAAAGGUCUUUAUAGUACUCACAAAGUUCCUCCUCAAUCUCAUGUUCCUCCUUGCACCAUGUCCCAUCUUUUUUCUGCAAUAUAGUGAUCUUAUUUCUCCUCCUCUUUGCCAUGACCGAAGAAUGGAAAAAAGCUGUAUUCUUGUCCCCUUCUUUGAGCCACUUGUUCCUGGAUUUUUGACUCCAAAACAUCUCUUCCUCUGCAUAAGCUUUAUUCAAUUGUGCUUUUAGUUCAGCCACUUGUACUCUUUUCCCUUCAUCCUUUCUUGCUUUCACUUCAGCCAAUUUCUCCUUUAACACUUUAAUUCUAACCUUUGAGUUUCCCUGCACCUUUUUCCUCCAAUCCAGAAUAGCCAUGCGACAUUCCUUUAUUUUUGUAGCCACUCUAAACAUCCUGGACCCUGACUUCACCUUUGUCCAUGCUCCUUGAAUCACCCUUUUUGCUUCUGGAUUUAGCGUCCAUCGUUGAUCAAAGUAAAAUCUCCGUUUUCUCCUUGUGUUUUCCGGGUUUGUAUCCACAAGAAGCAUUAGAUGAUCAGAGGCUUCAGUAUCUAAAUGAGUACACUGUGCCUUUUCAAAUCUUUGCAGCCAUUCGGUGCUGCAUAAACAUCUAUCCAACCUCUCUUUCACUUCCCCAUCCCCCUCCCAACUAUUGCACCAAAUCCACGGGACCCCUUGAUAACCUAAGUCAACCAGGUUAUUGUCUUUGAUAAACCUGUUGAACUCCCUAAAACAUCUUUCAGCUCUAUCCCUUCCUCCCCACUUCUCCUCACUAGACCUCAAAUCAUUAAAAUCUCCUACAAUGAUCCAGCCAUCCCCCCAGUCCCUCAUCCUGUCCUCUAAAUAUUUCCAUUGUGCUUUUCUAAUGUUACUAUCUGUGCUUGCAUAAACACACACUAGCCCCCAGUAUCCUUUAGUAUCCUUGUCCUCAACUCUAGCACUAAUACACCAAUCAGUACUUACAAUCUGGUCUAAAAUCACCUCAUUGUUCCAGAAUAAUGCUAGACCGCCUGCUUUACCUAUUGAAUUCACAAAAAAGCUAUUGUCAUACUGAAUCUUCCUUUGAACCUUGCCCAUAAACCCUUCCUGAUUCUUAGUUUCACAAAGGAACACCACCUUAGGAGAGUGGAAGUUAGUCACUUCCUUUAGUUGGGGACUUGUCAAGGGGCCUCCUACACCUCGACAAUUCCACACCACAACCUUCAUUUACACUUUGGAGGCUUUCCGGGGCUAGCCUCCAUUUCCCCUAUUGUACUAACAUUUAUUAGAUCCAGUUUCAUAACCUUUACCUUCGGUACAUUAUCAUCAUCCUCCUCUAUCGGUUGUGUUCCCUGAAACAUACCAUCAGCCUUCCUUUUAGCACACGAAACCUGCGUUACUUGUCCAUUUGUAUCUGCCUUUAAGGAUGUUUUAGCCGGCCUCCCUCUUCUUUUAAAACUGCUUCUUUUUUCAGCUUUGUUAUCUUCUUCCCCUGGAGUAGCCUCCUUUCUUGGCAUUCUUGCAUUUGUCUCCUCCUGCUUUAUUGACCCUACCCGCAAACUUUCACAUUCCUGUUUUGAGCUGUCCGUUUCCAUAUCCUCAUAAUCUACUGGUGGGAUUACGCUGCUCCCUCCUUUACUCCCUUCCUGUACCCUACCCUCCUUUUCACCAUUUCCCUCCAUUAAGACCACAGCCAAACUUUCCACCCGUUGGUUUGCCUUUCCAUACUGCCUGCUGUCUUUUAGAAUCUCAUCCCACCUCUCUUCAUAUUGUCUCGUCAUCAUUUUCUCCUUAUCCCCCCUUUCCUUUCCCCCCAAGACUCUACCAUUUUUUCCCCCAAGAGUUAAUGUAUCUCCAGCCAUUUGUACUCCAGUUUGAACUUCACUACUAGGAGACCCUGCCCCCACCCUCCUUGCAUCAAUUUCACUUACUCCUUCCAGCCGUCCCUUUAAGGGAGAUACCAUUAUAUUUCCAGCUCUCAUCCAGGCACCAUAUUGUUCCUCUCGCUUCUCCCCCCCACCCUUCCUACCACAGUACAAGUCCUAUCACUAUGCCCAAUGAUACCACACCUAUAACAGAAAUCAGGGCAGCGUUCAUACCUGAACUCAACCCACACUGCCUGGUUCUUACAGUUGAUCUUUGUCCCUCUAACCAGUGGUUUCGUUAUAUCUACCUCAGCCAUAAUCUUCAUGUGGCGACCCUCUUUCCCACCACUUCCUGGGAGAAUCACUCCCCUCACUGAUUUAAAGAUCCCUCCUAUUUUCAAACCCACUGCUCUGCUCAACCAGUGCACCGGUAGGUUCCAUAGUUGAAUCCAAAGAAAGGAAUGCUGGAAAAAGCUGCUGUUUGUAUCAUACCCCUCUACCCACUCCUUCACUAUCAGCAACUGGUUGUCCAUGACCCAAGGCCCUCCAGAUAAGAUCUUUUUCUUUUCCCCUUCAUCUCCCAGAUGGAAAUGGAAUAAGUUAGGACCUAACUCAGUCACUUUCAUCUUUGAGGGGUAUCCCCAUGCAUGAUUUGUAAAGUUCUUUAACCCCGUAAAGUUGGCAAUUUUUUCACCAAUCAGCUUUCCUACCAGGCUUCCUUGACACUCAGAGACGCCUUCUUCCAGGUCCUCACCACUCAGAUCGACACCUCCUAACUCUGUUUCAGACAAGUCAAAAUUUUGAAAGGCUCUUUCUAAAGCAUCCGCCAUUGCUGUGACGAGAGCUCCUUGAGAAACCAAGCACUAUUUCUGAGCUAUGAGUGACCCACUGACAGACCUGUGAAGAAUUGCAAAGACAGACAAAGCUGUGUUAUCCGUACACACUAAAAACCAACCAGAAAAACAGAGAGGAACUCGACAGAAAAAGCACAGGCACAAGAAGAAACGAAAGAAAAAAGAAAAACCAACAAACCACUAUCCCACUCCCGACCACAUAACAGCAUUAAAGAAAGGGACACAAAUACGACACUCCAACUUCCGAUCACAUGCUCUGACUCAAUGGAUCAUAUCUUGCCCAAAGCGUUUACUCCUCCAACCGAUUCCAAACCACUACAGACAUUGUCUCCCAUUUUGAAGCCGGAAGAAAGGUGGCUUCUGGACAGGGAACAUGAAAGCAAAGGUUGAACUAAAGAUUUGAUUUUAGAUCUGAAAAUUACGCUGUAGGAAAAAGUGCUAUGUGUUUGUACCUCACCCACUCUCCCACACCGAGGAGGGGAACCUCUAAAGUUAGAGAGAGAAGCUCUCAAGUUAGAGAGAAGCUUUGGAAGUUAAUUACCAACGUACCAUGCCGUACAUGUUUGUAAGGAUUUCUAUCCUAUUGGCAAAAGUCGGUUCCAUACAAUUAAUCAAUUCAUUUCACUUCUAUUGGCUCUACUAUUUAUGCAUGUUACGACACUCUUUCCCUUAUAUUUUGCCUUUAAUAUUAUGAGUCAAUAGUAAUAAUGGGCCUUUUUCUUAAAAUUAUACUAUUAUACAUAGGUAGUUUGGUCUAACGCUAAAUUCAUGUUUGUCUUUCUUUUAUUCCCUUUACAUCUCAAAGUAUACUAUAGUUUGUAAUCAUUGUGGUGAUGAUAUUACCAGCUGGUACUUAUAGUUUAAGGCAGAGACAUGAUAUUAACAACUAUCUCAUUGAAACAUAAGUCAAAAUCAUGACAAGUGUGAGUCUUGGUUAAUGCACAAUUUGUUAGUGGAAUUUAUAUUUAUAAAACUCAAAAAAAAUUUUUGACAAUGCUAUUACUAAUUAAUUAAGGACUUCAUUGCUAUAAUUUAUCGCUUACUAAUUUAAACUAUAAAUGAUCUCAAUACUUUUCUCCAUGAUGUCGAUUUCUUUAGACUACGAAAGGGAAAAAUUAGUGACAUAUCCCUUACUGAUUACAACAUCAGCAAAAAUUAGUUAUAAACUUUUCCGGUGGUUUUAAAUCCCUCGGGCACUAAGGUUUUUUGCACAUCGAGUGAAUUAAGGAACAUAGGCAAUUCGUUCUGCAUACCAAGUCCUUGUUUAAGAUGCACGUACUAAAAUGCAUCCACUUCAUUAAUUUGGAAAAUUGCCAUAGUUUUUUUUAAGCAUUUUGAUUUUUUACAUGAUUCAAAAUUUUCUUAUUGGAUACAAUCACUUUGUGUCAAGAACACAUUUUCAAUCAUCUUUUUUAUCUUCUCAAUAAGAAAAUAAAAAUUUAUUCAUGCUUUUCUAACAUAUCCAAUCAUUGAUCUGAAAAAUAAAGAAUUAAAAAAAAAAGACAUUUUCAAUCAUUGCUUACGGGGCAACUUCCCCAUGUGAACCUCAUCAAACAAAGCCAAUAAUAUGAAGGAACAUCUAAAUACACUUUUGCCCUAAAGGCUGGUUGCCUUGGGGUCAAAAUUUAACCUUCGGGAGUAUAAUUACCCGCCAAAUUUAUUAUUUUUUUUAUGGGUAUAUAGUUCCAAUUUUGCCUCCUGUUAAGCUUAUAAAUAUAUUACGACCCAGAAAAUAAAGGAAUCUUGAAUAGUAACAUGUCCAUUGACUUGAGUUGUUAUCAAUUUGGCUACUUCGAUUCCAUGAGGCCAAUCCAAUUCACACUAGCUAGAGAAAAUGGUGAUAAAGGCACUUAGAAAUUUAUAUGUAAUAUUGAUUGGUAGUAACUGAUAAGUAUAUAUUUUACGUGUUUUAAAUAUGUUUUAUUAGUUAGUUUUGGUGUGUUUUAACUACUUUUAUAACUAAUUAACUAGGAAUCUAGUGAAAAUAUGCAUUUUGUGGUUUGAAGUGUAAAAAUUGUAUUUCUAUGGAUUUUAAUGGUGAAAACUUCAUGUUUUUGUAGGUUUAAUGAUUCAAUCAUCAAAUGACAUGAUUUGAGAAGAUAAUUAGAUGAUUGAUGAUGUUUUGAAGUGAUAAAAAGAGAAUACAAAGUGCAAGAGAGGAAAUGCAAUCAAGAAUAAAAGAAGAAAAUUUUUGUAGCUUUGACAUAUUGUCGUAUUUCGGCAAUAUAUUGAGCUACAAUGAUCGGAUUAAGGUGAUUCUUAAACCAUUUGAAGCUAAAAUAUAGAUCUACAUUUGGCAUGAAGGCAUCGAAACCCAUGUCAGUCAUUUUCCUUGUCAAAAUGUUGAAAUACAGAAGUGCAACUCUGUUCUCGAAAGCUAAAACAGAGCUCUGGCUAGUCGAGGGUAUUUUCAUCAUUUCUUAGUCCACAGAGCUCCAAAUGAGAUGAUUCUUAAGGCAUUAGAACCCUAACUCAAAGAGCUACAACUUUCAUAUUUUGUACAAGAGUUAGUUCGGCCUCUAUCAUUAAGAAAAUAGUAGUUGAAGUGGUGCCAAAUGCAUAGAAGUGAAAACGCGAGCUAUCAAUACUCGACCUGAAGUCGCGUAUUCCUGAGGUCAUGCAUUCUCUUCUAUUUUCUGCAACUUGCCCUGCUUUCACAUAACUUUUUCAUCUCAAUUCCAACUAUCAAUUUCGGCUAUAUCUGAUCAAGAAAAGUGUGGAAAGUUUGAAAGACAACUCAUAGGAGUUUCAAGAGUCAAAAAUUACAAUUAGAAACAACUCAUUUGGCUCUUGAAUCCUCUAUAAAUAGAGGCCUUUGAAGAACAUUUUCACAACUUUGGAAGGUUAGAGAAACUCCACAAAAACAUAGUCUUCACUAGAAUUUCCUUAGUUCAUUAGUUAGGGUAGUAUAGUAUAGUUAGUGUAGCUUUUCCUUCUUGUAUUUAUAGUUAGGUUUGAAUGAAGAUUCAGGAGCAAAGAUAGAGAGGUUGAUCUCAUGUGACAAGGGUGAUAUCUCUUCUACUACUUUCUCUUUUGUAUUUGAUUUCAUAUUUAACUAUACUACAAAUUUGGCUUUGUUUUUUUUUUUUUAUCAUGUUUAGUUAAAGUUUAUGCCUAGAGUAUGGAUGACCUUUUUAUAUCUUGUUUGUGAUAUUUAACUGGUUAUUUGAUGAUGUUAUUUUUGAGCAAGUUAUUUAUCACUUUUGCUUUUCUAAUCAUGAUUAACUGGCCAUUAGUUGUGAUUAUCUAAAAGUGUUAAGUUUGUAAUGAGAAUUGGAGUUUAACACUAGUUCAAGGAAGUGAUAAAUUUAGGGAGUUCACUCAUGAGAGUAGAGGAACACCUUUGUGACCUAAGUGACUUGUUUCAUAUAAUUUCAUAGAAAAAAUGAACUUGUAAUUAAUUUCAUAACCACGAGAGUAAGUAUGGUUUAGCUAUAUGUAUAGUUGAUUCACUACGAGAGUAGGUUUCACAUACAUUAGAAAAUUACAUCAUAACUAGUCAAGAUAAUAUCAUUCAUUUAAUCAGUAAUCUCAUUUGCAUGAGUAGUAAGGCAUUCCAUAUCUCUAGGAGGUUUUUAGUAUUAUUUUCAUUACUUUUAUGUUUAUGGUAGUCUAGAUAAUAAUGGAGUUCGAAAACUACUAGUAAUUGAAAAUUUUCCCUGUGGGAUCGACCUUUAAUACCCUAUACUCGCUCUCGACUCGUAUACUUGAGAAAAAUCACGUGUGCGGUAUUUAGAAUUUAUAAAUGUAAAACUUGACUGUAGAUGAACUAAUUGAUAUAUGUAUACCCCGCACUCGUCAGUAACCAGCUUGUAUUGAUCCCACUAUUGUGGAUAAUUGUGCUCUUAUGAAAAAAAAUUAUAAAAAAAUUAGCAAAAUUUAUGAUAACAAAUUAAAUUUAUUCAUACAAAUCAGUGAAAGAAGUAGAAUUUUAAAGUCCAUGAUGAAAUUAAUACUUUCAAGGGCUCUAUUAGGAAGACUUCACUUGUUGGUGAAACUACACUAGCACAGUUAUAUGCACAUUUACUGUUUUGGUAUCUAAUUUCCUUGCCUUAAGUUGGGUGCAGAUGUUUAUAUUACAAAUAGAUGGUAUCAUAAAAUUGUUGUAUUCACGUUUGUUCUUUUUUUUCUUCCUUAAGUUUUUUUCUUUAUUCUCGUGACUUCAAAAAUACGAACUCAAGAAAUUGGCUGCUUAAUCAAUAUGUCAUACAGGCUUCGCUAGUGAGGUAUAACUUCACAACUAGAGUCAAUAGAAAUUAUCAAAUGAUUUUUUAACAUCCAAAUUAAGCAAUAAAUUUUGUUUUCAUUUUAUGACAUAUAAUAGUACUACUUCAUGAGAGAUUUUAUAGUUUCUUUUAGGUAUCAUACCUACAAGUGAUAUUUGUCAUUGGAUAGUGACAGAAGUGUUAAUGAUUGUAAGAUUAAAUAUUGUUAAAUAUUGAAAUUUAAACUAUUUAUCUUUAUUGAAAGAUACAAGUUAAAGAAUCGUUCAAGGGGGCAAUUUUCCAUCUUGUCUUUUUGAAAAAACGCUAUCACAUUGUAUAGGCAUGAUAGGUUCAAAUUUGUCAUUAAAUUUAUGAUUGAUUUUCCUUUUAUUCAAGCCAAAUAUUGUUUUAAUUAUCAAAUUCUACUUAUAUUUGGUUAAUUGUACUAAUUGUAGGGCGGUAGAGCAAAAGUUGCUAAAAAUAGGCGAUUUUCUGCAAAUUGGUUGUCAAGGCUGAAGGAUUUGGGAUUCGCAUGUUCAAGGCCUGUUUCCAAGUUUGAUUCAAACUCUGGACAGUUUUAGAGGAAGAUUUGGAAGAUUUGAAAUUUCAUUAUUAGUUUUAUGGUUGAAUUAGGAAUCUUGGAAUAAUUUCUUUUGUGAUUUAUUUUUCUAUUUAGGAGACUAGUUGUUAUUUAGUAGUAGACUUCAAUUAGAAAACAAAGAGAAAAAGAAGGCCGGAAUCCCGCUUGAUUAAUACCUUGGCCAGGGAACAAUCUCGGUGGGGAGGACGGCCACUUAGCCUCUCAAUUCAUCUUGCUUUUCGUUAGUUUGAGAGGAAAACCAAUUGCAACUAGAUUCAAUGGAGUCUGGCAGAAUUUCUUCUAGGAUGCGUAGCUAAAUCCUCAAUUUUUAGUCGAAGGUCAAUUUGAAAAUUCGGUUCCAAAUAUCUGUGAAAUCGAAUUAUUUUACUUAUUUCUUUUAUUUAUUGGUAUUCGCACGUUUUCUGAUUUAACUUUUUAUGAUUGUUUUGUUAUUUGAAUGUCAAGGGUCCGAUAUUCGAAUUAACUUAAUAAUCUACUGCCAAAUUAACCGGUUAAAUCCGUAAUUGUUUGAUUGAUUAAUAUCAGUGGCGACUAGCGUGAUUGGUCCCAUGUUAGGAAAACGUCUGAUCUAAUUUAAACAAACCGUCGUAGCGUGUUUGUUGAUUAGGGUUGGGCUUUUCUAAUUCUUAAUUCAAUUGAGAAAUUAAAUCCCCCGGUCGUACCUAGGAUUAUUUUUUUGUUAGCGAAAUAGUUAAUGGUCGUACCUUGACUAUCGAAAAAGUAAGGAAGAGUUGAUUGUUUAUCGCGUGUACGACAACUAUAAUCAAUCUAUUAAUGAGUAAUUGAAUUAUCUUUGCAUCAGUAAUCAGUUGAAUGGACCGUGUCUGAAAAGUUGUACCUUUGGCUAGAGUCUUAUCUGUUGUUGAUUCAUUCAUAUCUAUCUUCAUGCGUUGUUUUAAUUUAGUUAAUUAGUUAUUUUUAUAAAAACCCCUCAUCUCUGGACUCUAAAAGAAAUAAAUUAUUUCUAGUUCCUGUGGAUUCGAUCCUACUCACCAUACAAUCCAACCUGCAAUUGUAUGAACCCCAAUCUCGCUUCCUAGUCCACCAUUUUUCUCUAGGUAAUAAUCUCCCUUCUAAUUUCUUCACAAAAUGCACCUUUCAUCACCUCCAAUAGCGUCGACAUGAUCUUUACCCCAGAAGACUAUUCACCGACUCUCAAUUGACGUUAGAAAAUCUAAGAGUAAUUCUACUUUACCCUAAGAUUGAUAUCAACAAGACAAGGACAAUUUAGAAUUAUUACACGCCUCUUCUUAAUAGGAAAAAGAAAUAGAGAAGAAAGUCAGGCCAGGUCUAAUUUCUUUUCAAAGGCAAUACAACAUUACGAAAUCAAGCAUUCAUUCAUACAAAUAUUUCAUAGUCACCGGUUUGCUGAGUAGAAAAAUUUAGACAAAAACUUAAUAUUAUAUUGUUUAAGAGUUAACAAUUUAGAGCUUAAUCUCCUUGUACUUUGGAGUUAACAAUUUAGAGCUUAAUCUCCUUGUACUUUGGACUAAACUUGAACGUGAAAGGAAAUCCCAAAACCAUAUUGGGCAUGAAUUCACACUUAAUAUACCCAAUAAAAGAUGGCGACUGGUGAAAGGCAGUGGAGACUGGUGGAGAGAUUUGAGGAAUAGAAGCAGACGGAAAAGCAACAAAUUUUUGCCGAAAAACGGUCACUUUCAUGGUUAAUUUUGCUACUCUCCAAUUGUACUUGACCAAUUACAACAAUUUCAUGGAGUUUGAUACGUGAAAAGAAUUUUUUAUAAAUUUUAUUUUGAUCCAUAAUGUUAUCUUUACAUAUAUAAAACAUUUUACAAUUUUGAUUUUGGCGCAGUUAACUUUUGGUAAACAAAAAUGCUCAUGUUUAAAAAACCGGAAAUAAAACAAAACAAGAAACAAAAGAAAUAAGAGGGUAGCAUAGACAUUUUGGAUUUUUCCGUUAAUUUGGAUGAUUUCCACCCACGUUCUAAUUUAAUCCAAAACACAAAGGAAUUACGUAGAGGUUUUAAAUAAUGAGGGAGCUUCAUGAUCGAACCCCAAACCACAAGGCGAUUUACUAUAUUUUACUCUUAAAUUUUGGUUUCAUCUCAUAGCAUACAAGAGUUCUAUUUCACUAUCUGUAGACAAAGACUUUCUAUGGUUGAUGUACCAUAGGAAAAAAUCUGCCUAUACAACGUGAUAGCAUUUUUUCAAAAACACAAGAUGGAAAAUUGCCCCCUUAAACGGGGAAAUUCAUGAUCUUUCCUCGAACAAAGAAUACUCACGCCUAUUCAAGAUGGAAAAUUGCCCCCUUAAACGUCUAUUUGUCAAUUCUUGAAAAAAGAAUACUCACGCCUAAAACACGGCCUCUUCAUCUGCAGAAUUCUAAAAAGUUAGGUAAACUCUAUAAACAAGUUGAUAGGUACAAUCGUACCCAAGAUCAAGUACAGAUAGUUGUACAUUCACUGCUGCAAUAACUAAUCUGAUGACUUACAAACAUAUCAUGGUCAAUCGUUGAAUGGUAAUGAGUCUUUUGUUAUGCAUUAGUAUUAGUGUGUACACUCUAAUAGAUUGAUACUUAUACUCUUUAAAUUAUCAUAAUAAUACCCUUAAUUAACUUUAACUCUUAAAAAGAAUACGUGUUAAUACACGAGAGUGUGUAACCUGAAUUGUUACUUAUACAUUAGUGUGUAAUAGAUAGGGAUGGCAAUGGGGGCGGGUGCCCGCAGGCAACCGCCCCGCGGGGGGCUCUCGGGGCGGGGAGGGGGGAAUUUUUUCCCCCCGUUUAGAAACGGGGCAGGGGACGGGGGAGUAUACCCCCGCCCCAUCCCCCGCAAAAAAAAUUAUAUAUAUAUAAUUAUAUAUAAUAUGUAAUUUAAUUAGUUAUAAACUUAUGAUAAUGAUAUUAUUAGUUAGAUGUAUUAUAUAAUGUAUAUUAGUGUAUGUAAUAUAAUUAAUAUUAUCAAUUAUACGAAUAAUUAGACAUGUCUACUAAUAGAAUUUAUUAAUUAGUUAUACUAAAUUUACUAAUACAUUUAUACUAAAUUUCUAAUUACAUUUAAUAGAAUAACACUUUUUUCUAAAAAAAAAAGCACAAACACAAUAAUGAAUUAGUGAUUGUAUUUUUACCAAAAAUGAAAACUUAACUAUUUUAGUUGCAUUUAUUUCAUCAUGUUGGAUUGUAUUCAAAUAAUUUUUGUUUGAUUGUUUUUAUGAGUUUCAAUUGUAAAAUUAAAAUGAAUAAUAACUUGAUGAAUAAUAAUGUCAAUCGUUGAAUGGUGUGUACACUCUAAUAUUAUGCAUUAGUAUUAGUGUGUACACUCUAAUAGAUUGAUACUUAUACUCUUUAAAUUAUCAUAAUAAUACCCUUAAUUAACUUUAACUCUUAAAAAGAAUACGUGUUAAUAACUCUUAACCUGAAUUGUUACUUAUACAUUAGUGUGAAAUAGAACGGCAAGCAUUGAGCAACUUAUAGGAGAAAUAGUCCUAUAAGCUGUUGGAUGACUAAUAUAGCUCUAGCUGUAAUGUUUUAAUUAAAUUACAUCACUAACGUUGGGAUGACUAAUGGUUUAAAAAUAAUUGAGUAAUUGGAAAAAAAAAAAGAGACUAAUUUUCAUUGAAACCCACCGACAAACUAAACGUGUCCAUGGCUUUUGAAUAGUGCAUUCAACGUUUAAUUGUAUAGUCCAGUUCAUUGCAGAUUACAUGGAGUAAAGAUUGUGCUCUUUCCUUUUUCACCCCUUUUGGAAUCGAUACUGUGGAGAAUUGGGUUUUUCCCUUCUUUUUUUCUUUUCUUUCUUUCUGUGCUUUGCAAAACAUAGGUAAAAUUAUGAAAUCCGAAGCAUUCUUUAAUUGGGAUUAAGUAUUGUUCUUGAAAUUAAAAAGAAGAAAGAAAGAACAACAAAAUUCCCUGAUUGGUUGCAUCGUGCUUCCAUAGAAGCUCUCUUAGUGUGAUACACUGCUUUCAAUCAGUUUAACAUGGAAAAAAGAAAGAGAUGAAAAGCAAAUUUGGUGGGGAUAAUUUCAGAAACCUCCCCUGAAGAUUUUGACUAUUCUACUGGUCUCCCUUCAGAUUUUAAAAAUUACACUAAUCUUCCUUGAAGUUAUAACAUUUAAAUUCAAUCAAUAAUUUAAAAAAUGAUAUUAUGAAAGAGAAAAUAAUAUGAUUUUAUCAUUGCCCCCCAUCUUACUACAUUAUUUAAUUAAUUUAAUAGCAACCCACACAUUAAAGAAAAAUAUAAAAUUUGUUAUUUAUCAUUAAAGAUCAAAUCGCUUAUAACAUCAAAUAAUAGUAUAUUAUUUAUAUUUUUCACUUAACAUAAUAUCCAAAUUACUCUUUUCAAUUACAUACUCAUUGUUAGACAAUCAACAACAAAUAACCAAAAAAUUUGCAACCAAAAUAUUACAAAAAAAAAUAAACUUUAACAUCAUAAAUAUUCUUAUCAACAUAUUAAAGUUAGUUACUGAAAUUUUUAUGGUGUUAAACUUCACUCUUUGUAAUAUUUUGGUUACAGAUUUUUUUUGAUUAUUUUUUAUUAAUUAUGUUUGAUGAUGGGUUUGUAAUUGAAAAGAAUAAUUUAAAACUUACAUUAAGUGAAAUAUAUAGAGUGAUAUACUAUUUUUUAUAACAUAUGUGAUUCAAUCCUUCUUGAUAGGAUUGGUAAUAGAGGUAGAGGGGGGAGUCGGCUGCAUCCGGUCUUCUUUUCAUAGAUAGUACAAUAUUGCGAAAUCAAUCGCAUUCACACAAUAAUAUUUCGAAGUCAAUGCAUGGCUAAGUUGCAUAAAAGUACGAACACUUGUUAUUAUAUAGCUUAAGAUUCAAAACUUUAGAGCAUAACCCUCCACCUAACACAAUUGAAUAAUGAAUAUUCACGUUUGUCAAAUCUGUCAAAGCACAGUUUGAGGACAACCCAUUCCAACCUGCAAAAGAUUUUUUACUUUUCUAAAGUUGUUGAGAGCUGUAAAAAGACCUACCAUGCUUACAUCCUCCGAGCCUUGGGAGUUAAAAAUGAAGGCACUGAGUGCUAUAAAAAGGGGGCUAGAGGCUGCCUAGAAGCAUAUCAGCCUAAAACAAGAAUUUGUUGUUAUGAUGGGAAGCAAAGCAAAAGCAAUGGGGUCUGGGCUGACUCCUCUUCUUGCCACUGUUUUAGUGGUAUUUGUUGCUCUUGGCUUGCCCUCAGAAACAGCAGCUGAUGAUCACUACAAGUAUUCAUCUCCUCCUCCUCCUUACCACUAUCCCUCACCACCGCCUCCAGUGCAUUUACCUCCACCAGUGUACAAAUACAAGUCCCCACCACCACCUCAUCAUGUUUACAAGUACAAAUCUCCACCACCCCCACCACCACACCCAGUUUACAAGUAUAAGUCACCACCACCACCUCCUCAUCCGGUACCACACCCAGUUUACAAGUAUAAGUCACCACCACCACCUCCUCAUCCGGUAUACAAGUAUAAGUCUCCUCCGCCACCACCACACCCAGUUUACAAGUAUAAGUCACCACCACCACCUCCUCAUCCGGUACCACACCCAGUUUACAAGUAUAAGUCUCCUCCGCCACCAGUUUACAAAUAUAAGUCUCCUCCACCACCACCUCCAGUGUACAAGUACAAGUCUCCACCACCACCAGUUUACAAGUACAAAUCACCACCACCUCCUCCCCCAGUUUACAAAUACAAGUCUCCACCACCACCAGUUUACCACUACAAGUCACCACCACCUCCUCACCCAGUUUACAAGUACAAAUCUCCUCCACCACCAAUUUACCACUACAAGUCACCACCACCUCCUCCCCCAGUUUACAAAUACAAGUCUCCACCUCCUCCUCACCACUACUAAGCAAUUGCUUCUGAGGUAAUAACACUUGUUCAAUAACACUUGAUAGCCAGCUGAAUAUUUGCAGGCAAAGGAGAAGGAAACCAGUGUUUGAGACCUUCUUGAAGAUGUAGAAGCAUAAGAAUUAAAGCCCAAUGUGAAGAUGAUGAUUUCAAGUUUUUCUACGUUACCAUUUCAAUAUCUAAAUUGGUUGUAGCGCCUUAGUUCCUUUGUUUAUGGGAUUUGUAUCGUUUUACGUACCAUGCAGUACAUGUCAUGUUUGUAAGGUUUUCUAUCCUGCCGGCAAACCGCAGGUUCCAUGUAAUAAAUCAAUACUAUUUAUAUUACGACACUUUUCUCUGUUUCUCUUAUAUUUUGUCUUUAAUAUUCUUAAUCAUAUUUUUAACAAAAAUAUUCAAACACUUCAGCAAUGGUUCACCUAGUUGAUCAUCGAAGCAGAGGCAAUUCCAAUUAUUUAUCAAUAAAUAGGAUAUAACUACCAAACAAGCGAUGGCAGUUAACCCCUCCUUACUGUGUCGGUGAUCAAGGUACGCCCGUUAAUCACUGCUCUAAUUGAGAAAUAAUCCUAAGUACGCCCGUAGAAUUUAAUUCCCCAAUUGCCUUACAUAUUAGAGGAGCCCUAUUCUAACCAAAUAACGCACUAUCAGGGUUAUUUUAGAUUAGCCCGCGUAUUCCCCUGACAUAAAUCUAAUCAUGCCAGUUGUCAUUAUUUUGAGGUAAUUAAACAAUUACGGAUUUAACACCUCAAUUGACAAUAGAUUAUUAAAUUAAUUAAUUAUUCGGAUCCAAGACAAUCAAUUAAUUAAACAACCAUAAGCACUACAAUCAGAGAAUAUGCAAAUACCAAUAAAUAAAUAAAAAAUAAAAUUAAAUCGAUCUCACAAUUUUUAGGCGAAUCAGAGCAUCCGUUGUCCCUUGACUAGAGCAAGGAAAUUAGUUCAUAUUUGAUGAACUAAACCCAUACAAAAGGGAAGCGAGAAAUGCAGCCAUUAUCCUUUGAAAUCUGGAAAAUUCAACUUGUCCGAAUAUCGAAUAGAUAGUAAUACUACAAAAGGUAAUUCAUAGCUUCCCUUUCGUCUGACACACAAGAAGAAAAAAAAGGGCUGCUAAUAACUAAAGGAGGAAAAGUCAAAGUCCUAAGCUAUGCUACAAGACGAAAAACUAAAGAAGACAAAAAGGCAGUGCUCAUUCCCUGCAAUCUCAAUUCCUAUUCUAUCUAAGUGCUCUCCAAUGUGCGGCGGCUCCCCUUCCGGAGAGGACGAAGUGGCACCCUUUUUUCCUGCGCAAUUUUCCUAUAUAAAGUAGUGCUCCUUGCAGCGGCUCCUGUGCGAAAAAAUGAAGACUUCGGCCCAAUUUGCCUAACAAGGGCUCACGUUUUGUUGUUCUAAAAAUGUCCCUAGGACAAACUCUAUCAUCUGAACUCUUUUCUUGCCAAAUUAGUACCUGUUAUUAUAUUUUCGUUCUACUCCCUGAAAUAAAUGCAAAAUAUCAAAAGUGAGUAGAAUCUAGCAAUUAAUCCACAUUAGGUCAGGUAAUAGGGAAAAUUAAUAAUAAAAUAAAUGAUAAAAUUGCAAUCUAUCACGGGACCACUGUGGUAAGGUGUGUUUCGCCUAUUAUAAGGAGUUCGGAGAGUUAGACGUGUUGGAGGCGGAGGCGCGGUCACUCCUGCACGCCCUCCAGCUGUGUGCAGAUCGCGAGGUACGGGCGUUGACUGUAGAAUCUGAUUCAAAGGUGCUUGUUCAACUAGUUUGCUCGGAUAUGAGGUCGAAGUGGCCGGUGUGUAUCGUAUUGCGGGAAAUAAGACAUUUGAUCCGGCGGAUGGGUGCAUCCCUUCAUCAUAUAUUCCGUGAGGCCAAUUCGGUGGCGGACGCAUUGGCUUCUCUGCAAUUGGGAGGGCAGCAGUACUACACCUCAGGCGUGGCGCUGCCUUUCAGGCCCAGAGGAGAGGCUCUGCUGGAUCGUCAAGGAGUACCUCGCAUCCGUGAGGCGCUCACUAAGGUUUGAUAGGCUAUGUCCUCCUUUCAAAAAACUUAUUUCAUCUACUCCUUGUAAUCAUUUUUCUUAUCAAUAAAUUGAGGCUUUUUAUUUAAAAAAAAACAUAUAAUUUAAGGCAAAAAUAUGAUCCUAGCGAGUAUCGCACUGAGACAUUAGGAAACAUCAUUAAAAGAGUAUUUCUUGAGUUAGUGCAACUAUUUCUUAGGGGAAUUUAUAGUUACAAAAUUCAAAAAUUUGAGAUUCUAUUACUGAUUAAUUAAGGGCGUUAUCACUAUUUUUCUUAUUAUCACCAUUAUUUACCCCACAUACUAUAAGUUUUUUUAGGGCACAGGAAAAGAGGUGGGCCGAUGUUUAGUUAUGUACAAAAGUUCAAAAUUUGUAGAUAACUUAUCAUGUGCCCUUAGAGCGUAGAAUACAGAAAAAAUAUCUUAAACUAUAACUAAUCCUAAUAUUUUUCUCUAUGAUAAACUAGCUCUUAUCCAUUUCUUUAGAUGAUGAAAGGAAAUAGUUAGUCACCUGUCCUCUAGUGAUUACAACAGCAUCAAAACAAAUUAGCACUCUUUUCCCGUAGUUUAAAAAUCCCUCAGCCACUAAGAUUUUGCAUGUCGAACGAAUUAAGGAACAUAGAAGGUUCGUGCUGCACCACAGUGUCCUUGUUGACGAUGCAAAGACAGAAAUGCAUCCGCGUAUACUUCCUUAAGCAUUUUGAUUACUUUAUGAUUCGAACUUUUCUUGUCUGACAGCUGGACUUAAUUGAAAAACACAAGUAACAAUAUUUCAAAGUUGAUUCGUCAAAGUUUACCCAAUUGGUGAAACUUUCUUCAUAGAGCUGACUUUGUAUUAGGUGACAAUGAUAUGGAAUUGAUGUCCUUCCCUUUUUCCUUUUUUUGUGUUGAAGACGCACAACGUUUUCAAUGGCAAAUUUAUAUGGGCUUUUCACGACAAAAUGUGUUCUGAAAAGUUCAUUCCAGAGGUUAAAAUUUUGUGUGUUAAAAAUUUGCUUCUCAGGACUUUGAUGGGAAAGUCUUGGUGUUUCCAAAAAGUUUAAGCAGGAUGCUUCUGGCUUUCUCUCCAUGUAUUUGUGAGUUAGAUCUAAAAUUAUCAGGGCUCCAGAGAUCUCUUGAAAUCGCAGCAUAUAUUGAAGUCUUUCCAGAAGGAGUCUUUUUUUUUUUUUUUAUGAAUUAUGAUAGAUAAUUAAUCUGACGGUGCAUAUAUAUAUAUAUGUGAUUUGCAGUAGGGUGUUUGACGAAAUGGUUAGGCUUCCUAAGUAAUGAUAGGAAUGCCAUUUGCAAAGAAGGACAGGGGGCUGGUGCUGUCAUAUUUUAUGCGAUUUGAUCCGUUGUUGUAUAAGUUUAAACUUUUGACGUGCAAUUGUGCUAUAAUAUUAUACUAAAUAUAUGUGUGAAAUAUUUUGUCUAUAUACAUCACUUUUAUCAUGAAUACAACAGCUGAGUAUAAUAAUAUAGUAUAAUGUAAUUGUACACCAAAUAAUGUAGCAAAUAUAACAAUUGAUCCGAAUUACACGGAACCAUAACAACAAGAUCACCGCCUCCCAAAUUUUACAAAAUUAGGUUUUUUUUUUUUCUCUUAGAUUAUUGAAAAUUUUCAAAAAUAAUCUACAUAAUUUAAGCUUUUGUCCUACAAAAAUUUGAAGAGAUUUUACAUUACAAGCUUAAGCUUAGAUAUAUUAAACUUUGCCCCCAAGAUUAAUUUUCCGUUUUUAUCUAUGAACCGAUCCAUAUAGCUAGUUAGACUGUAGUCCUCACAUUUGUGGGAUUUAACACCCAAGAUUCUCCUUCUUGGAAUGUAAAAUGUAGAUCUUCUAUGUUAAUAAUUCAAGACCCUACUGUCAUAAACGAAAUGACUGAUCAACUCCUGUAAACCUAAUUUGACAACAUUUAAAUGGAGAACUUUAGCUAAAAGAAUUAUGGUCAAGCUAAAGAAAAAGCCAGUUAUUUUCCAACAUAUGCAAUCAUUGAUCAGGAAAAAAAAAAAAAAGCAAAAAGACAUCUUCAAUCAUUUAAUAGCUCACAGUGCAAAUUAACCCCUAAGCGAAAACUGGUUGCUCUAGAAUCAAAAUUUUACCUUAGUUACCCAGGCAACUUUUUUGUUGCUUUUUUUUUUUUCUUUUCCUUUUUGGGUAUAUAUAUAGCUCCAGUUUUGCCCCCUCUGUCAAGCUUAUAUAAUUAUUAAGAUAAUAAAAGUGCCUUGAAUAGUAUUAAUAUAUCCAUUGACUUGAGCUGUCAUCGAUCGGUUUGGGCUACUUCGAUUCCAUGAGAACAAAUGGUAAUAAAAGUACUCAGAAAAUAGGGAGCCAUGAAACCCUUUUGUUCUAUUCAUUGCUAAGAUGCUUUUCUCUAUAAAGAGACUUCCUAACGAAAGUACUUUGUAGAUUUCUUUACUCCAAGUGGUGCAUGGAAAAUUAAAAUAUUCAAUUAUCAAAUAAAAUUCCCUUUUUUCGGUGUAGAUUUCAUCCAUCCAGCUGUUAACACAUUUUAUGUAUCCGAAUUAUAUAUUCUCUACCAAAUAUUGUAACUUUUCUGAGCAUCUUUACAUUUUUAUUCCCACCUAACAAAUUAGUUGUUGAGCAUCUUUACAUGCUAUCGGAUCACAAGUUAAUAAUCUUUUAAAGAACAUGUUAAAUUAAUUUAUUGGUAUGAAUAGUCAAAGAAGUAUAUUAAAGUUAGUAAUCUUUAAACACCACGAUGCAAUUAAUACUUUCAAGCUCAAGGUCUUUUUUUUUUUUUUUUUUGGUACUGUACUUCCUUGCUUUAUAGUAUGCACGUUUAUUUCUGUGGAUUGCUUAAGCUUAUAUUGUUAAUAAUUGGGCAUUUAACCAUAAAUUAUAAUGAUUAUGAAGUCAUAUAUAUAUAUAUAUAUAUAAGAAAAUUACCACAAUUAUUCAAUUUUUUUUGCAAAUUCAAAUUUUAUUAAUAAGAAAUAGGCAGUAAGCUUUUACAAACGGAAAAAAAAAAUCCUACAACAACUCUAGGACCUUUGAAAGAAAGAAAAAAAAAAGAAAAGAAAAGCUUAAGGACUCUACCUCAUAGAAGCUAAACAAUCCUACAAAUAAACUGCAAAAUAAAUCACAAUAACGCAAAAUUUUUGUCUUUCUUCCGUAUGAAAUGAAACUACGAAGUCAAGAAUUGACUCCUUUAACCGCUAUUGCCAGCGGGCUCCGUCAGCAAGAUACAACUUUGCAAUUUGAUUCAAUAGAAAUCCUCAAAUAGCUAUUUUGACAGGCAAAUUAAGCAUUAAUUUUGGUAUCCCUUCAUAAAAUACAAGAGUACUUUUGAUUAUAUCUAUAGAUCAACUUUCUAGGCUAUUUUGAUGUAUUAUAAGAAAAUCUGCCUCAACAAUUUUGAUAGCAUUUUUCCAAAAGCAGAAGAUGGAAAAUUGCCCAUUUGUACUGGGGAGUUCGUGAUCUUUUCCUCCUUCUAGUCUACUUACAAUUCUUGGAAAAAGGAAUACUCACAUCUCAAACAACUGCCUGUUCAUCUGCAAUGUCCUGCCGAAUUCUAGAAAGUUAGGUGGCAAUGCUAAUUACAUUUCAAAAUUGACUGCUGCGAUGACUAAUUCGAUGGCUUACUACAUGGUCAACGUUUGGAUCCCUUCCUGUCCUUUUUGGAUGCACAUUUUUUUUCUCUAGGCAAUAUAUAAUCUCCCAACUCAUUUCUUUACAAAUGCACCUUUAAUCACCACCAAAAGGUGUGGACAUGAUCUUUACCCUAGAAAACUAAUCACCGACAGGCAAAUUGACGUCAGAAAUACUAAGAGGAAUUCUAGUUUCCUUCGGGUUAAUGCCAUUUUGUACCCUUCAACUGUAACUCGAUUUCUAAACUAUAAUUUGUGACAUUAUAGUCCUUAAACUAUGAAACCCCUCUUACUUAAGUACAAUGGUUAAUACAAUACCCGUGACUAGACAAGCAACCAUAACAAAAAAAAAUCCAAAAUUAGAGAAAAGAAAGAAGUUUCGCGACCAAAGUAUGUAUCAAGGCAUAGUAUAGAAAUAAAAGUGUCCAAAUUAAGAGUUUAGGGAUAAAAGAGAUCAAGAUAUAGUUUAGGGAUUGAUUUGUCUCAAUUAGAGUUUUGAUGUCAACUAAGAAGAGAGAUAUAGUUGAAGGGUAGAAUAUAGAUAUAACAGUUCAAUGAUUGAUAUCAACGAGACAAUGACAACUUUGGAUUAUUACCAACCUCUUCUUGAUGGGAAAAGGAAAUAGAGAAGAAAGUCGGGCCUGGUCUAAGCCUGCUUCGGAGGCAAAACAACAUUAUGAAAUCACCGGCAUUCACACAAAUAUGUCAAAGUCACCGGCAUGCUAAGUUGCAUAAUUUAUACAAACACUGAAUAAUAUAUUGUUCUUAAAAUUUUUGUUUAAGAUUUAACAAUUAGAGCACGGUACACGAAUUAGCAAUAUUAAAUAAUGAAUGUUCACGAUUGAUAAAGUUAUCAAAGUACAGUUUGAGGACAACCCAUUCCAACGUGUACAAGAUGUUUAGCCUUUGAAAAGUUAAUUAGAGAAGGUGACGAGAUUUUACUAGGCUUAAAUCUUCUAGGCCUCGGAAGUAAAAAAUGAAGGCCUUUGAGUGCUAUAAAAAGGGGGCUAGAUGUUGCCUAGAAGCAUAUCAGCCUCAGACCACAUUUUGUAGCAAUGGGGAGCAAAGCAAAAGCAAUGGGGUCUAGGCUGACUCCUCUUCUUACCACCGUUUUAGUGGUAUUUGUUGCUCUUGGCUUGCCUUCAGAAACUGUGGCUGAUUACUACAAGUAUUCAUCUCCUCCUCCUCCUUACCAUUAUUCCUCACCACCACCUCCUGUGCAUUCACCUCCACCACCGCCAAUUUAUAAGUCACCCCCACCACCUUACCACUACUCCUCACCGCCACCUCCAGUGUAUUCAUCUCCACCACCACCUUCGCCAGUUUACAAGUCUCCGCCACCACCUUACCAUUAUUCGUCACCACCGCCUCCGGUGCAUUCACCUCCACCACCACCUGUUUACAAGUCACCUCCACCACCUUCGCCAGUUUACAAGUCUCCGCCACCACCUUACUAUUAUUCGUCACCACCGCCUCCGGUGCAUUCACCUCCACCACCACCGAUUUACGAGUCACCUCCACCACCUCCUCCAGUUUACAAGUCUCCGCCACCACCUUACCAUUAUUCCUCACCACCACCUCCAACGCAUUCACUCCCACCACCAGUUUACAAAUCACCGCCACCACCUCCUCCUAUGUAUAAGUCCCCUCCACCACCUUAUCAUUAUUCCUCACCACCACCUCCAGUGCAUUCACCCCCACUGCCACCAAUUUACAAGUCUCCGCCACCUCCAAUCUACAAGUAUAAGUCACCACCACCUCCUCCCCCAAUUUACAAGUCACCACCACCACCUCCUCCAGUAUAUAAGUCCCUACCCCCACCAGUGUAUAAGUACAAGUCUCCACCACCACCUCCUCCAGUAUACAAAUCACCUCCACCACCUCCUCCAGUUUACAAAUCUCUACCACCACCAAUUUAUAAAUACAAGUCUCCUCCACCACCUCCUCCGGUUUACAAUUCCCCACCACCACCAAUCUACAAGUCUCCACCUCCACCCUCCCAUUACUACUACAAUUCUCCUCCUCCUCCUCCUCAUCACUACUAAGCAAUUGUAUCCAAGUUUUUGAGGUAAUAAUGCUAAACCAAUAUAUUAACUUUCGCAUGAUAAACUUUAUCUCUAUCAAGACAAACUGCCAUGUGCAUCAAGCCAAAUACGUACACUUCGAUCCAUGAAAAUGACAAGUAGAAGGUUUUCUUAAGAACCAAGGAACAGCAUUAGUAUUCCCUCUGUUUCCAAAACUUGUGUAUUAAAUAGAUUAAUGAAUUGUUUAACAUGCUUAUCUACUUGAAAAUGCACAAUACCCAUAACCCACUGAAAUUUUUGCAGGUAAAGGGGAAGAGAAUCUGUGUUUGAGAGCUUCAUGAAGAUGUUGAAGAAUAAGAAUAAAAGCCCAAUGCGAGGAUGUUUUCAAGUUUUUCUAUGUUUCCACUUUAAUUUGUAAAUUGAAUUUUUCGACUUAAUUAAUUCCCUGUUUGUGGGGUACGUAUUGUUUUACGUACCAUGCCGUACAUGUUUGUAAGGAUUUCUAUCCUAUUGGCAAAAGUCGGUUCCAUACAAUUAAUCAAUUCAUUUCACUUCUAUUGGCUCUACUAUUUAUGCACGUUACGACAUUUUUUCUCUCUUUCCCUUAUAUUUUGUCUUUAAUAUUAUUGAGUCAAUAGUAAUACUGGGCCAUUUUUUUUAAAACUUAUACUAGUAUACAUAGGUAGUUUGGUCUAACGCCAAAUUCAUGUUUGUCUUUCUUUUAUUCCCUUUACAUUUCAAAGUAUACUAUAGUUUGUGAUCAUUGUGGUGAUGAUAUUACCAGCUGGUACUUAUAGUUUAAGGCAGAGACAUGAUAUUAACAACUAUCUCAUUGAAACAUAAGGAAAAAUCAUGACAAGUGUGAGUCUUGGUUAAUGCACAAUUUGUUAGUGGAAUUUAUAUUUAUAAAACUCAAAAAAAAAAUUUUGACAAUGCUAUUACUAAUUAAUUAAGGACUUUAUUGCUAUAAUUUAUCGCUUGCUAGUUUAAACUAUAAAUGAUCUCAAUACUUUUCUCCAUGAUGUCGAUUUCUUUAGAUACGAAAGGGAAAAAUUAGUGACAUAUCCCUUACUGAUUACAACAUCAGCAAAAAUUAGUUAUAAACUUUUCCGGUGGUUUUAAAUCCCCGGGCCCUAAGAUUUUUUGCUCAUCGAGUGAAUUAAGGAACAUAGGCAAUUCAUUUUGCAUACCAAGUCCUUGUUUAAGAUGCAAGUACUAAAAUGCAUCCACUUCAUUAAUUUGGGAAAUUGCCAUAGUUUUUUUAAGCAUUUUGAUUUUUUACAUGAUUUAAAAUUUUCUUAUUGGAUACAAUCACUUUGUAUCAAGAACACAUUUUCAAUCACCUUUUUUUAUCUUCUCAAUGAGAAAAUAAAAAUUUAUUCAUGCUUUUCUAACAUAUUCAAUCAUUGAUCUGAAAAUUAAAACAUUAAGAAAAGGACAUUUUCAAACAUUAAGAAGUAGUAUUUUAAAGACCAUGAUGAAAUUAAUACUUUCAAGGUCUCUAUUAGGAAGACUUCCUUUAUUAAUACUCUACUAGGCAGAGUUAUAUGCACGUUUACUGUUUUGGCCUUAAGUUGGGUGCAGAUGCUUAUAUUACAAAUAGAUGGUAUCAAAAAAUUGUUGUAUUCACGUCUGUUCUUUUUUUCUUCCUUAAGUUUUUUUCUUUAUUCUCGUGACUUCGCUAGUGAGGUAUAACUUCACAACUAGAGUCAAUAGAAAUCGUCAAAUGAUUUUUUGACAUCCAAAUUAAGCAAUAAAUUUUGUUUUCAUUUCAUAACAUAUAAUAGUACUACUUCAUGGGAGAUUUUAUAGUUUCUUUAGGGUAUCAUACCUACAAUUGAUAUUUAUCAUUGGAUAGUGAAAGAAGUGUUAAUGUCUCUAAGAUUAAAUAUUGUUAAAUAUUGAAAAUUUGAACUAUUUAUCUCUAUUGAGAGAUACAACUUAAAGAAUCCUACCCAAAAGAGACUAGAAUUUUCUCUGUUUUUCAUCAUCUGUAGACAUAAACUUUCCACGGUUGAUAGCAUUUUUCAUCAUCUAUAAGGAAAUUUUGCCUAUACAAUGUGAUAGCAUUUUUCAAAAAGACAAGAUGGAAAAUUGCCCCCCUUGAACGGAAAAUUGCCCCCUUGUCAAUUCUUUAAAAAAGAAUACCGUCCCGCAGAAUUCUAGAAAGUUAGGCAAAACUAGACAAGUUGACAGGUAUAAUCAGACCCAAGAUCAGGAACAAGCAGUUGCACAUUUCAAAAUUCGCUGCUGCAACAACUAAUUUGAUGACUUACAACACUAAAUGGUCAAACUUUGAAUGGCAAUGAAUCUUUUGUUGUACAUCAUGAUGUAAUUUUCAUGUUACAUAAUAGAUUGAUAUCUAUGUUCUUUAAAUUAUCAUAAUAAUUAAAUUUAACUGAAAAAAAGAACACAUAUCAAUACACAAAAGUGUGCAACGUGAAUGUUAUUUUAGUGUAUUGCAGAAGACCUAUAGUCUCUUCAUAUCUCUUCCUGCACGUAUCAAUUCGUUUCCUCUAGAUAAUAAUCUCCCAACUCAUUUAUUUACAAAUGCACCUUUUAUGUUUUAUUACCUCCAAAAGCCUAAAAAUCAAUUCACCGACUCGCAUUUGGUAUCAGAAAUUCUUAUUACGAAUUCUACUUUACUCAAAGAUUGACUGUUAAUAAUGAGACAACGACCAUUUUGUAUUAUUACACCGUCCUUCUUGAUAGGCAAAAGAAAUAGAGAGGAAAGCGGGUCCGUAUAUGGUCUUUUAUUCAUAGAUAAUACAACAUUACGCCAUCGAGCAUUCACACAAUAUUUCAAAGUCAUUGCAUGCCUAAGGCCUGCUUGAUAAUCUAAUUCCGUACUUAAAUUUAAUAAAUUCAAAUCUUAACACAUUCAAAUCGUUUGAUAACAAAAAAUUGAACAUCUAAAUUAAUUAAGUAACACUGAAUUUUCUAGGCAAAACUUGCUCCCAAAAUUAAGUGAUAAGUUAUUCACUUAUCACUGAAUAUGAUAUGUAUUCAAAUGUAUUAGAUUUAAUACUUAAUAAUUUAAUGAAUUCAAAUUUCAUAUUUCAUAUUUCAGUUUUAUCAAACACACCUUAAGUUGCAAAAUAAUACCAAAACUUGUUAUUACAUAGCUUGAGAUUCAAAAAUUUAGAGCAUAAUUCUCAACCAAACACAAUUGAAUAAUGAAUAUUCACGAGUGUCAAAUCUAUCAAAGUACAAUUUGAGGACAACCCAUUCAAACGCGUACACGAUUUUUAACUUUUCUAAAGUUGUUGAGAGCUGUUGAAAGAGAUUUACCAUGUUUACAUCUUCCAAGUCUUGGGAGUAAAAAAUGAAGCCACUGAGUGCUAUAAAAAGGGGGGUAGAGGCCACUUGAGAUCCUCGGUGACAUGUUUUCUAUGCCAAUCCAAUGCCACCAAUAGUGUUGCGCCAAGUGUCAUGUUAUUAUUUACACUUGUGUUAAACUAAGCCAAGUUGAAUUAUUAGAAAAUUAAAGUGUAAAUAAUAACAUGACACUUGGCGCAAUACUAUUGGUGACAUUGGGUUGGCAUAGAAAAUAUGUCACCGAGGAUCCCAAGUGGAUAGAUGCUGCCUAGAAGCAUAUCAGCCUAAAACAAGAAUUUGUAGUAACAAUGGGGAGCAAAGCAAAAGCAACGGGGUCUAGGCUGACUCCUCUUCUUACCACUGUUUUAGUGGUAUUUGUUGCCCUUGGCUUGCCCUUGGAAACUGCAGCUGAUUAUUACAAGUAUUCAUCUCCUCCUCCUCCUCCUUACCAGUAUUCCUCACCACCACCUCCAGUGUAUUCACCUCCACCAACCCCUGUUUAUAAGUUACCCCCACCAUCUCCUCUAGUUUACAAGUCCUCACCACCACCUUACCACUACUCACCACCUCCUGUGUAUUCACCUCCACCAUCACCAAUUUACAAGUCACUGCCACCACCCCCUCCAGUAUACAACUCCCCGCCUCCACCAGUGUACAAAUACAAGUCCCCACCACCACCUUCUCCAAUUUACAAAUCUCCACCGCCACCAGUUUACAAGUACAAGUCACCCCCACCACCUCCUCCGGUAUACAAGUCUCCUCCGCCACCUGUUUACGAGUACAAGUCUCCUCCACCACCUCCUCCAGUGUACAAGUCCCCACCACCUCCAGUUUACAAGUACAAGUCACCACCACCUCCUCCCCCGGUUUACCAAUCUCCUCCACCACCAGUUUACAAAUACAAGUCACCACCACCUCCUCCCCCAGUUUACCAGUCUCCACCUCCACCCUAUCAUCACUACUACGGUUCUCCUCCUCCUCACCACUACUAAGCAAGUGCAUCUAAGUUUUGAGGUAAUAAUACCGAUCCAAAACUUUAUCAACGCAAACUGCCAUGUAUAUCAUGCUAAGGACGUACACUUGAUCCAUGAAAAUGGCUAGUAGAAGAUUUUUUUUAAGAACCAGAGAAAUACAUUAUUUUUUCGCUCUGUUUUCAAGAAUUUGAGCAGUAUACAGAUUAAAGAGUGUUUUUUUUAAACUUGCUUAUCAACUUAGAAAUGCACAUAGCUGAAAGCCAACUGAAUAUUUGCAGGCAAAGGAGAAGGCAAUCGGUGUUUGAGACCUUCAUGAAGAUGUAGAAGAAUAAGAAUAAAAGCCCAAUGCGAGGAUGAUUUCAAGUUUCUACGUUACCAUUUCUACAUCUAAAUUGACUUUAGCUCCUGAGUUCCAUGUCUAUGGGGUUUGUACUGUUUUACGUACCAUGCAGUACAUGCUUGUAAGGUUUUCUGUCCUGUUGGCAAGCCGCAGGUCCAUAUAAUAAAUGAAUACUAUUUAUAUUACGACACUUUUCUCUCUUUCUCUUAUAUUUUGUCUUUAAUAUUGUUGAUCAUUUUUUUUUUUUAUCAAAAGUAUCAAAUGCUUAGGCAAUUUGGUCUAAUGCUAAUUGUUUUACAUUUAUUUUUCACCUACAUCCCUUUUCAACUCAAAGGAUGCUACAGUUUGUGAUCAUUGUUUAAGACCGAAGCAUGGUACUAAUAAAUAUCUCAUUGAAAGUCAAGGAAACUAACAUUAUGAAAAGUGUAAAUCUUGAUUUGUGAAACUAUUUAUUCGUGGAAUUUAGAGAUACAAAACUCAAAUUGUGACGGUGUUGUUGCUAAAUUAUUUUUUUUUUAUAAUAAAACACAGUUCAUUCAAGGAUUACUGGAAAUCGUCCAGCACAAUUGAGAUACAUUGUUGCCCAGGUGGCAGAUAAAUAUGCACUAAAAUUAUAGAUAUGCAAUUUAACAAAUACAUAAGAUUUGAGAAAUUAAGGACAAAUCUAAAAAGGACCAUAAAUUUGAAAAACAUUUCAUCCUAGAAUAAGUCGCUGCAACUCUCUUUGUGCAUGCUGUAAUCGUCAGAUCUACUAAUCAACAGUUGUAAGGUCCAGUAAAGAUGGUGAGAUCUGCCGAGAUUGAUCCAAAUCUGAAAUAUUCCCUCAGAUCUGCUAUCCAAUUGGUUCAAACUCAAUACUGAAAGUGAAAUCUGAUGAGAAGACUGAAAAAAUUGUAGAUCUAACAUAUAGAUCUAAAAAAACUCCAAGAUUUGAAAAAGUAAAGAAACAAAACUAAAUAAAACUCUCAUUAAGAUAGUUUAGGAGAGACUAAAACUCUCAAUAGGACACCCUAGGAGAGAAGAAAACUCUCACUAGGAUAACCUAUGAGAGACUUUAUUGAAUGAAAGGAAAAGCAAAGGACAAAGGAAGAAGAAGGGAGACCUUGGCUUAAGGCCAAGGUCUCCCUCCUAUGGAGGAGGAAGGGUAGAGGAGGAAGCCUAGAGAGAAGGAAGAGAAUCCCUCCGCUAGAGGGAAGGAAGAGCCUCUGAGAGGGUACCCGUGUUGUUGCUAAAUUAUUAAGGACAUUAUCACCAUUACUUUUCCCUUACUAGUUUCAACUGCAAUGAUCUCAAUCUUUUUGUGACUAAUUCUUUUCUUAAUAAUUUAUAAAUACAAAACUCACAAAGAAUAUGUGACUUAUUCUUUCCUUUCGUCUUCUAAAGAAAAUGCCAACUGUUAGUUUAUCAAGGGAAAAAGGAUCGACAUCAGUUGUUAUUGAAACUAGUAAGGAAUAAAUAAUGGUGAUAAUGUCCUUAAUAAUUUAACAACAGCACCAUCAGAAUUUGAGCUUUGUAUCUAUAAAUUCCACGAAUAAAUAGUUUCAUCAAAUCAAGAUUUACACUUUUCAUAAUGUUAAGUUUCCUUGACUUUCAAUGAGAUAUUUAUUAGUAUCAUGCUUCGGUCGUAAACAACGAUCACAAACGAUAGCAUCCUUUGAGUUGAAAAGGGUAGUGAAAAAGAGAAGUAAAAAAUACAAUUAGCAUUCCCUCAAAUUGUAGAAAGUUAGGUAGCAUUAUAGACAAGUUGAUAGCCGUAAUUAUACUAAAAAUCAGGCAAAAGCCAGCAAUUUUACAUUUCAAAAUUCACCUAUUCAAUAACUAAUUCGAUGGCUUGCUACAUGGUCAAAAUUCACCACAUAUCCCUUUCCUCAAUCAGGGGCUUCUACAAUUACCAGUUCCAAUUGUAUGGUAUAGUGUAAAUAUCAACAAAUUAGAUGUAGACACUAAUAUAAUAAAUAUGGAUGCUAAGGCAACAACAUACAAAAACAUAAUAAAUUUUGGCAUUCCUUAAAAAAUUACGUCCCCAAAUCAAUCUCAUACACCCAAUUUCUAAUUUAUUUAACUCAUUCCGUCUAUUAACUGCACCAUACAAUCCAACCUGCAAUUGCAUGAACCCCAAUCUCGCUUCCUAGUCCACCAUUUUUCUCUAGGUAAUAAUCUCCCUUCUAAUUUCUUCACAAAAUGCACCUUUCAUCACCUCCAAUAGCGUCGACAUGAUCUUUACCCUAGAAGACUAUUCACCGACUCCCAAUUGACGUCAGAAAAUCUAAGAGUAAUUCUACUUUACCCUAAGAUUGAUAUCAACUAGACAAUGACAAUUUAGAAUUAUUACACGCCUCUUCUUAAUAGGAAAAAGAAAUAGAGAAGAAAGUCAGGCCAGGUCUAAUUUCUUUUCGAAGGCAAUACAACAUUACGAAAUCAAGCAUUCAUUCAUACAAAUAUUUCAUAGUCACCGGUUUGCUGAGUAGAAAAGUUUAUACAAAAACUUAAUAUUAUAUUGUUUAAGAGUUAACAAUUUAGAGCUUAAUCUCCUUGUACUUUGGACUAAACUCGAACGUGAAAGGAAAUCCCAAAACCAUAUUGGGCAUGAAUUCACACUUAAAUAGACCCAAAAAAAGAUGGCGACUGGUGAAAGGCAGUGGAGACUGGUGGUGAGAUUUGAGGAAUAGAAGCAGACGGAAAAGCCACAAAUUUUUGCCGAAAGAGGGUCACUUUCAUGGUUAAUUUUGCUACUCUCUACUUGUACUUGACCAAUGACAGGUUGUCAGUCUGUGCAAUAAUAAAAACCUGUUCAAACUAAAAGUAAUUUCUGUAGAUAGUGGUAAGCAGGGUCGAAUCCACAGGGAUUAGGUGUAACUGUUUCUUUUCAAAUUCACAAUAACAAAGGGGGUGUUUUUAUGCAGAAUGUGACAAUCAAAGAAAUUCAAUUAAAAGUAAAAUAAUAAAAAUAAAAUAGCCAACUAGAAAUUAAAUAACAAUUUACUAAAAUCAAAUGAGUGAUAAUUAAGGAUCUAGCCAAGGAAUAACUUCAGCAGUGGUUCACCUAAUUGAUCAUUGGAACAAAGGCAAUUCCAAUUAUUUACUAAUAAAUAGGUUAUAACUGCCAAACAAGCGAUGACAGUCAAUCACUCCUUACUGUGUCGGUGAUUAAGGUACGCCCGUUAAUCACUGCCCUAAUUGAGAAAUAAUCUUAGGUACGCCCGUAAGAUUUAAUUUUCCAAUUGCCUUACAUAUUAGAGGAGUGUCAGGAACAAGGAAAUAGAAUGGGACGUCGUUUAAUGCAAAGGGUUGUGCGUUUAAGGCCUUAGAAGCAAUACUACGUCGUUCUAAUAACAUAGGCGGUGCUGGUGUGAUAGGCCAAGUUAGUUGAGGGUCAAUUACAUAAAUAGCCUUCUGUAACAGAUUUUUGGUUAUGUUUUUGAAUGAAAAGUAUCUCGCUGCUUUCUCUCUCUUGUCUGUUAUUUCCCUCCCUUUUCUUCUUUCUCUCUUCCCUCUUCUUAAUCUUGUUUCUUUCUUCUGAUUCUUCCCCCAAAUUCAAUACAAUUCCAGAAAUUAACCUGCAAGUCUGACAUUUGGUAUCAGAGCGGUCGAUUCUUGGCCGCGAAGGUAUCAGAAAUGGCUGAGAGCACGCGAUUCAGGACACUGGAGGAGCAACUCAAGAAGCAGGAGAAUCGGUUGCAAGAACUGGCGGAAUCCAUGGCUGCACUGCAGAGUACGAGUUCCGAGGAGUUGCGGCAUAAGCUACAGGCGGAAAUGGAGCAGAACAAUGCAAAAUUGGACGCGGUGGUGGGAAGUCUGGACCAGAAGUUCAAUAAAAUGGAACAGAGACUCAGUACAGUGUUGAAGCUGCUGAUGAAGGAGAAAGGUCUCCCUGAUGUCGAAGGAGGAAUUUCUGAUCCAAUCUUGCCGACUCCUCCAUCUCAUCUGAGGUUAGCAUCCUCAGUCGAAGGGAUUGGGCACCAACAAGAGUACAGAGGUAGGCAAUUCACUCCUAAUGUACCUCGAUUAGAACUGCCAAUGUUUAACUCUGGAAACCCUAGGGAAUGGACCAGGAAAUGCCAGAAAUAUUUUUUGAACUAUCAGAUAGCAGAGAGUCAAAAGGUAGAGGUAGCAGAGAUGUUUUUGGAAGGUAGAGCUGACAAUUGGUUUCAAGGAGUGAAAUUGGUGAGGCCAGGGUUGUCUUGGGGGGAAUUUAGUGAACUUUUGUGUGAAAGAUUUUCUGGAAGUAGUUCUCGUGACAUUGUGGAGGAAUUUAACAAGUUACAGCAGAAAGGAACUGUUGAGGAAUAUGAGGAGAAAUUUGAAGAACUAAAAGCUCUAAUGCUGAUGAAAACCCCCAGGUUGGAUGAACUUUACUUUGUUUCCAGUUUUAUUAGUGGCCUCAGGGAAGAAAUUAGACCUAUGGUGAAGAUGUUUAAGCCUCAAACACUGAUGAAGGCCUUUGAAGUUGCGGAGUUGCAGGAGUGUUCCCUGGAAAUCCAAUCGAAACAAAACAGAACUUCAAGGAGGACAGCAAUGGAACCCAAGUUUGGAAUGUAUAAGGGCACUACGAGUGAUUAGGGUCGCCAAAAUUCAUAUAAGUUGCCUGGAGUCACUCCUGUCUCCAGGAGGACUAAUGCAGUACACAAGGAAUUUAGUAAGAUAUCAGCGGAGGAAAUGCAGUAUAAGCGUAAGCACAGCCUGUGCUAUAGGUGUGGAGAGAAGUUUGGAAUAGGUCAUCAGUGUAAGAAAGGAAGUCUGAACUGUGUGAGCACUGAGGAAGAGGAGGACACUGAAUUUGAGGAUGCGGAAGGGGAACAGGAUGAGUUAACAGGAAGGGUCGGGGAACUUGCAGAAGUCUCUUUGAAUGCUUUAUCUGGUGCCAUAAGGAGGAAAUCCAUCCUGUUGAUAGGGAACUUAGGGGGGCUUCCAGUCAAAAUUUUGGUGGACACAGGCAGUUCUAACAGCUUCAUUCACCACAGGAUUGUCAACCUACUGCAUCUACCAUAUCAGGCAGUCAGUCCAUUUACUGUGACUCUAGCAGAUGGAACUGACAUUACCAGUGGAGCCAUCAGUCCCAGCGUGUCUUGGUUAAUUCAGGACUAUCAAUUCCAAUUUGACUUAAAAGUAAUGGAAUUAGGGGGAUGGGAUAUAAUUCUGGGGGUGGACUGGAUGUGCCAGUAUAGUCCCAUUACAUUUGAUUUCCACUCUCUUAGCAUUGCCCUUAGUGAUAGGGGUUCUUUACUACACCUCCAAGGACUUGUGAAGCAACCUACUAUGGAACUGGUGAGGGGCAGGGAUCUCAGCUCGUUUAUACAGGAGAAGCAAAGAAACUGUGCAGCCAUGCAUGCUGAUAGGGCCAGGGAAACAGGAGAGCAGCUUCCAAAAGCUAUAGAAAGGAUCCUGGAACAGCACUCUCAGGUUUUCUCCACCCCAACAGGAUUACCCCCAGAGAGGGAAUUGGACCAUCAGAUCAACCUCAAACCAGGAGCUGAACCCUUCAAGCUCAAACCUUACAGGUACCCCCACUCACAUAAAGCAGAAAUUGAAAAAAAAGUUGCUGAGAUGCUCACUAAUGGAAUUGUUAUACAUAGCACAAGCCCCUAUGCCUCCCCUGUAUUGUUAGUAAAGAAAAAGGAUAACUCCUGGAGAUUAUGCAUAGAUUACAGGAAGCUGAACGAGCUGACUAUAAAGGAUAAGUUCCCUAUUCCCAACAUAGAUGAACUAUUGGAUGAAUUACAUGGAACCAGAUACAUGUCCAAACUGGAUCUCAGAGCUGGUUACCAUCAGUUGAGGGUGAAAGCUGUUGAUACCCCUAAGACUGCCUUCCAGACACACCAUGGCCACUUUGAAUUCUUAGUGAUGCCUUUUGGACUCACAAACGCGCCAGCUACAUUUCAGUCCUUGAUGAACAGAAUAUUUCAGCCAUAUCUCAGAAAGUUUGUCCUAGUCUUCUUUGACUACAUAUUAGUGUACAGCCCCACACUAGAGAUGCAUGCACAGCAUCUACAGAUUGUGCUCAAUAUUUUAGAAGAAAAUCAGCUGUAUUACAAGAGGUCAAAGUGCUCUUUUGCCCAGUCCUCAAUUGAAUACUUGGGGCACGUGAUCUCAGAGGCAGGAGUGAGUAUGGAUGUGGCUAAGGUGGAGUGUAUCAAGUCCUGGUCUGUUCCUAGUACAGUCAAGGAGCUGAGAGGGUUUUUGGGAUUAAUUGGUUACUACAGGAGAUUCAUUAAAGGCUAUGGAGUGAUUAGCAAACCCUUGACUGUAUUGUUGAAAAAGGAAGGUUUUGCAUGGAACCAUGAAGCUCAAAUGGCCUUUGAAGAUUUGAAAAAGGUUAUGACCACAGCCCCAGUGCUGAGCAUGCCUAAUUUCGAACUUCCUUUUGUCAUAGAGACUGAUGCCUGUGGAAUAGGUAUUGGAGCAGUGUUGAUGCAGCAAGGACAUCCUAUUGCUUUCCUUAGCAAGGCAUUAUCAGUUCAGAAUUUGGGGUUAUCAGUCUAUGAAAAAGAGCUUUUUGCCUUAGUGCUAGCUGUAACUAAGUGGAGGCAUUACCUGGUGGGUCAUCACUUCAUUAUCAGGACAGAUCACCAAGCUCUCAAACAUUUGAUAGAGCAAAGGCUUACUCAUCCACUCCAGCACAAGUGGCUAACUAAGCUACUUGGUUUGGACUAUGAAAUACAGUAUAAAAAGGGUGCAGACAAUGGGGUGGCAGACGCCCUCUCCAGGAGAAGGAUUGAGGGAAACACUGUUGACUGUGGAGAGACUGGGCAUCAGACCUGCGCCAUAACCUCAGCUCAGCCUAGUUGGAUGCAGGAAAUGCUAGAAAGCUACAUUGGAGAUGCAGAGGCUCAACAGAAGUUAUCUGAGCUAUUGCUGGAUCCCAAUGCAGAUCCAGAUUAUCAGUUAAAGAAUGGGAUGCUCAAGUUUAAAGGGCGGCUGUACAUAGGAUCUGCUAACAACAUUAGGACCAAGGUGGUCAGAGCAUUGCAUGACUCAGCCCUUGGGGGGCACUCAGGUCCUGGAAUCCGUAAGGAUGUCCUUCAAUAUGUGAGAUCUUGUGAUGUGUGUCAAAGGAACAAACAUGAAAAUGUUCCUUAUCCUGGGUUGCUGCAACCAAUUCCUGUACCUCAGCAGGCUUGGUCACACCUCACCAUGGAUUUUAUUGAGCAACUACCCCCAUCCCAUGGAUUUGAUACCAUUUUGGUGGUGGUGGAUAGGUUAACCAAGUUCAGCCACUUCAUUCGACUCACUCACCCUUUUUCUGCACAGCAGGUAGCACAGCUUUUCCUUGACAACAUAUACAAGCUGCAUGGACUUCCUGAGACCAUUAUAACUGACAGGGACAUAAUCUUUCUUAGUAAGUUUUGGCAAGAGUUAUUUGGUAUGGUAGGGGUAAAGCUGCACUACAGUUCAUCGUAUCACCCUCAAUCAGAUGGUCAAAGUGAAAGGGUCAAUCAGUGUUUGGAAAACUAUCUCAGGUGUAUGUGCAGUGAGCAUCCUUCUCACUGGAGCAGUUGGCUUCCUACAGCUGAGUUAUGGUACAACACUAACUUCCAUACUAGCUUGCAGGUGACACCAUUCGAAGCACUAUACGGGUAUAAACCAAAUCACCUUCCCUUAGGACCUUUUCAUGAUAGCCUGGUACCUGCUGCUGGUAACAUGGUGCAGACUAGGCUCCAAAUUCUAUCCCUCAUCAAAGAGAAUCUAGCCACCGCCCAGAAUCGAAUGAAAAUGUUUACUGAUAAGCACAGGACUGAACGUGUCUUCCAAGUGGGGGAUUGGGUAUUUCUCAAGCUGCAACCUUACAGGCAACAAUCAGUGGCCUUACGGAAGAAUUUGAAGUUGGCUGCCAAAUACUUUGGACCUUUCCAGAUCCUUGCGAGAGUAGGGGAAGUCGCCUACAGACUUAAGUUGCCAGAGGGAGCUCGAGUUCAUUCCGUGUUCCAUGUGUCCUUACUUAAAAGGAAAGUGGGAGUUACACAGCAGGUAAAGCCCAGCUUGCCAGAAGUAGACGCAUCAGACCAAUGUUUGCUGAAGCCAGAGAAGAUUCUCCAGAGGCGUGUUAUCAUACGAGCUGCCAAACCAAUCAUCCAGUACCUGGUGAAGUGGAACAACUUACCAGAAUCCGAAGCAUCAUGGGAGGAUAAAAGCUUCAUUGACAGACAAUUUCCGGAAUUUCAAGCUUGAGGACAAGCUUUGCUUAAGGGGAAGAGAUUGUCAGGAACAAGGAAAUAGAAUGGGACGUCGUUUAAUGCAAAGGGUUGUGCGUUUAAGGCCUUAGAAGCAAUACUACGUCAUUCUAAUAACAUAGGCGGUGCUGGUGUGAUAGGCCAAGUUAGUUGAGGGUCAAUUACAUAAAUAGCCUUCUGUAACAGAUUUUUGGUUAUGUUUUUGAAUGAAAAGUAUCUCGCUGCUUUCUCUCUCUUGUCUGUUAUUUCCCUCCCUUUUCUUCUUUCUCUCUUCCCUCUUCUUAAUCUUGUUUCUUUCUUCUGAUUCUUCCCCCAAAUUCAAUACAAUUCCAGAAAUUAACCUGCAGAUCUGACAAGGAGCCCUAUUCUAACCAAAUAACACACUACCAGGGUUAUUUUAGGUUAGCCCGCGUAUUCCCCUGACAUGAAUCCAAUCAUGCCAGUUAUCACUAUUUUGAAACAAUUAAACAAUUACGGAUUUAACGUCCCAAUUGACAAUAGAUUAUCAAAUUAACUAAUUAUCCGGAUCCAAAACAAUCAAUUAAUUAAAUAAUCAUAAGCACUGUAAUCAGGGAAUAUUUGAAUACCAAUAAAUAAAAAGAAAGGACAAAAUUAAAUCGAUUUCACAAUUUUUAAACGAACCACAACCUCAGUUGUUCCUCGGCUAGAUUGAGAAAAUUAGCUCAUGUUCGAUGCGAAAAAUCCACAAGAAAUUGUUAAGAGAGCCGCGGCCAUUGUCCCUUGAAAUUGGGGAAAUUCAAUUCGGUUGAACUACGAAAGAAAAGUAAGCUACAGAGAGUUGCCGAUUGGGUUUUGCUUGUCCCUAACAUGCGAGGGAGCAAAGCCACGAAAGGACGACAAAGGUCAAAAAGAAAGGCUACAGAGCAUGUUCCAGGUCUUUUUGUGCUCUCCACAUCCGAGCCAACGAAAAGAAAUAAAAAACUACCAGGAGCUAAAGGAAAACCGCAAGAAAAGUCAAAGGCUAAAAAAACUUCCUAGUGCUUGUUCUCUGCUUAUCUCUUUAUCUAAUUCUAAGUCCCCGAUUUUUUGCUCCGUGCGGCGGCUCCCCCGGAGAGAAAGGAUUGCAUCCGCUGCCCUCUUCCACCAAUUACCAAAAUGGGCACACCGCUUCUUUUUCAAAAAUGCUCCUGGAUAAACUCUAUCAUCUGGACUUUUUUUCUGUCAAAUUGACAUUUAUUAUUAUAUUUUCGUUCUACUCCCUGAAAUAAAUGUAAAAUAUUAAAAAUGAGUAGAAUCCGACAAUUAAUUCACAUCAGGUCAGAUAAUAAAGAAAAUUAAUAAUAAAAUAAAUAAAUAAAUUGCAACCUAUCAACCAAAUACAACAAUUUCAUGGAGUUUGAUACACAAGCCCAAAUACACGAGAGUGUGUAACCUGAAUUGUUACUUAUACAUUAGUGUGUAAUAGAACGGCAAGCAUUAUGGUGGUCAUUGAGCAACUUGUAGGAGAAAUAGUCCUAUAAGCUGUUCAAUGACCAAUCACAACUUGCUAAUUGGAUGACUAAUAUAGCUCUAGCUGUAAUGUUUUAAUUAAAUUCCAUCACUAACGUUGGGAUGACUUUUUAAUCAAAAAAAAAAAAGCCUUAGUUCAAGCUUUUCCCCUUAUUGUGCAUUUUUUAAAACAUUUGAUAGGCACUGCAAAUCUGUCAUUUUGGACAUUUUAUUAUUAACUAACAAUGAAAGCCGUGGACAUCAACCCAUAUCCAACAAAAUAUUAAAUUAAUAUUAGAAAAAAUUAUUAAGUAAUUGGAAAAAAAAAGAAGAGGCUAAUUUUCAUUGAAACCCACCGACAAACUAUACGCUGCUUUCAAUCAGUUUUAACACGGGAAAAAGAAAAGGCAUGAAAAGCAAAAUUUGUGGGGAUAAUUUCGGAAACCUCCCAUGAAGUUUUUGACUAUUUUACUGGCCUCCCUUCAGAUUUUAAAAAUUGGACUAAUCUUCCUUAAAGUUAAUUAUCUUGUAACAUUUAGAUCCGAUCAAUAAUUUAAAAAAUAAUAUUAUGAGAGAGAAAAUAAUAUGAUUUUAUUAUUGCCCCCAUCUCACCACAUUAUUUAAUUAAUUUAAUAGCAACCCACACAUUAAAGAAAAUGACAGGUCGUCAACCUGUGCAAUAAUAAAAUUAAACCUAAUUGCCAGUUAAAAUGACCAAAACCCAAUUCCAAGUACUGGAGCAGGGACUCUAGGUGUGCAAUGGGUUACUUGAUUCACCCUGUUCCCGAAGAGUUUGCUUGAUCCGAUAUACCCGAAUGGAAUGGUUAUUCCUUUUCACAAAUGAUUAGGAAUUUGUAGACAGGGCAAGUAGGGUCGUAUCCACAGAGACUGGGUAUAUUUGUUUCUUAAGAAAUCCAAAGUAACACAGGGGGUGAUUUUGUAGGAACGACGAUAAUUAAAUAAAUUCAAAUGAGAAAGUAAAAAUAAAUAAUUAACUAGAAAUUAAACCACAAUUUACUGAACUCAGGAUAACAAUAGUUAAAGGCCUCAAUUAAUUAAAAUAAGGAAACAAUCAAAAAUAAAAUAAAGUAGGUAAUUAAAAGUCAAAUGGCAAUCCACUACAAUCAAGGAAAUAUUAACUAAAGAUCUAGCCAAGAAAUAACUUCAGCAAUGGUUCACCUAAUCGAUCAUUGAUGCAAAGCAAUCCCAAUUAUUUACUAAUAAAUAGGUUAUAACUACCAAACAAGCGAUGGCAGUCAACCCCUCCUUACUGUGUCGGUGAUCAAGGUACGCCCGUUAAUCACUGCUCUAAUUGAGAAAUAAUCCUAGGUACGCCCGUAGAAUUUAAUUCCCCAACUGCCUUACGUAUUAGAGGAGCCCUAUUCUACCCAAAUAACACACUACCAGGGUUAUUUUAGAUUAGCCCGCGUAUCCCCCUGACACGAAUCUAAUCGUGCCAGUUGUCACUAAUUUGAGGUAAUUAAACAAUUACGGAUUCAAUACCCCAAUUGACAAUAGAUUAUCAAACCAAUGAAUUAUCCGGAUCCAAGACAAUCAACUAAUUAAAUAAUCAUAAGCACUGCAACCAAGGAAUAUGCGAAUACCAAUAAAUAAAGGAAAAGAUAAAAUUAAAUCGAUCUCACAAUUUACAGGUGACCCAAAGCAUCAGUCGUUUCUUGACUAGAACGAGGGGGUUAGCUCAUAUUGGAUGAACUAAGCCCGCGGGAAAUUCCAGCAAAAGUCACGGCCGUUGUAUGCAUUUCAAGAGCCGCAAUUCGUCAAACACUUGGAAAGCGAAUGUAAGGCACGGGUAACAAUUGAAACUUUCUAAUUGUUCCUAGCAUUCGUAAAGCAAAUUCACUCCAGAAGUACAGUGAGGAAAAGUCAAAGAAAGUGGGCUUCAAUUCCUUGCUCCUGACAUGCGUGGAGACAAGCCAAUGCAAGACUACAAUAAACUAACAAGGAAAAGUCAAGAAUUGGAGCUAAGCUCCCCUGCCAUGCGCAGGAAUCCCAAAAGUAAAAAGUAAAGCUUCAAAGAAAAGUCAACAAUUCUUCCUAAGCUACAGACGGAAGAUCCAGCACAAAAGCCAGCUCCCUUUUUGAUCCCUUUUUCCCCCUUCUUAUUGCGGCGGCUCACCAGGAGAGGAGAGCCCUCCGUCCGUCCUUUCUUCCGGAAAUUACCAAAAUGGGCAUGACAUCUUCUCUUCCAAAAGUGCCCCUGGGACAAGCUUUCUCAUCUGAAUUCUUUUUUUUUCCAAUUUGGCACCUGUUAUCAUAUUUAUAUUCUACUCCCUGAAAUAAACGUCAAAUACUAAAAGUGAGUAGAAUCCAGCAAAUAAAUCCACAUCAAGUCAGGUAAUAGGAGGAAUUAAUAAUAAAAUAAAUGAAUAAAUUGCACCCUAUCAAUUCCCUCCACACCUAAACCAUGCUUGUCCUCAAGCAUAAGAAAAGUAAACGAACACCAAAAUUCGACGAUAGCCAUUGCCCAAUCUCCUAUAUUGCCAAGACAUUCAAGAGAAAAACACAUAUCGAGCAUUGGUGAUUAGAAUCCCAGAAGCAUCCCCCCGGUUAGCCUCUAACCCCCAGAUUCCUUCAAUUUCCAACUUAACUACUCUAAGAAAGAGGAAUGGCACACAACAUUUAUCAGCUAGUGGUCCGAAUAUUCACACAAGUCUUCAUAUCCAAUCCAUAAACCGGCAAGCUUCCCUAUUAUUUAGUCUCUCUUUUUUUCCGUUUUUUUUCAUUUUCAUUCUUCCCCUCUUUUUUUUUUUUUUUUAAAGCAGUAGCAAUCAACACAAAAGACUUAGUCGUUAGCCGUCAGGGCCUUUUGAUGCGAACUCCAACAUUUUUAGAAGGAGGAGCCCGGUUACUCAGCUCCUACCGCUAUACGACCACGCACUCAUAUAAAAUACCACCUUUUGACGCGAGAAUCGACACUUUUAGGUGCCGAUCCCCGGUUACUCAGUAGUAACUUAAUAGCGGAGCACAGUCAAGCUUAUUCUCAGCCAAACAAUGCACAAACGCAAAAUAACAGCACUAACAAUCAAACAUAGGAGCAGCUCGCCUCAUUAUUGUCAAACAUGGAGAACUGGAGUCAAUAUUGGACCAGUUCACAUUAAAAGGCCAUAUUCAUUCCCUACGCCUAGAAAAGUUAACAAAGAAAUCGAAAGAGUCAAACAGUUAAAUAUUCACCAAGGGGAUAUUCAGGACCCAACCACACUAACCCGAUACAUUUUGUAUUUUAAAAACUUGGCAAAAGUAGAUUUGGAGUCAAUGAGUCCACAUCUCAAUUUUAGCCUUCACAUGAAAGGCAAUCACCAAGAAGAAAGAACGGAAAAAUAAGCAACUAGAAAUGAGACUACGAAAAACUACUAAAACUAAAAACUCACUUUUUUUCUUUUUCUCUUUUUUUUUCUUUUUGAAUUUUUUUUUCAUUUUUAUUUUUUUUUAUUUUUUUUAUUUUUUAAACAUUAACUAUAAACAUUAACUACUAAAAACUAAAAACUAAAACUACUAAAAACUAAAAACACUAAAAACUGCUAAAAUGAAAAGCUGAAAACUGAAAACUACUAAAAACGGAGCACACUAGCAUAACUUUAGAUCCCCCCCACACCUAUAGGACACAUUGUCCUCAAUGUGACAAAUAAGAACCAAAAGUGAAGCACAAGUGAGAGGGGAAUCAGCCAAACUUCCCUGAAAUCGGGUCACAGCGGAGGGCGAGGUGGAAAUGGAGGUGCAAAGCCUGUAUGCAUCAGGAACUGUGCCAAAUUCUGUGCUAUGCCGGCGACAUUGGCGUCGACGUUGGUCAUCCGGGCCUGCAAAUCCUGAACCAGCUCCCUGAGAUGCUGCCAAUCAUCGGUCCCAGGUGGUGGAGGUGGCGCAGAAGUAGAGGUAGACGGCCCAGCAGUGUCCGCGGCCGACCCAGGGAAUGAAGAUGGCCCUGCCCGGGCCGAAUGGUGUGCACCCGGGGCUCGAGGUGGUCCCGGACGGGUAAACUGGUGAAAACCAUCUGGCAGACGCUCGACGACCCCCAUUUUCUCUAAGCAAACUACGUCCAAGUGCUCCAUCUCAAAUGCCAAAUGGAGGUCGUGGUCAUCCAGGUUAAGAACUCCCAACUGGGUCGCCAAGUGAGUGAUGUAGGACCCAAGGAUCAGUGGUUUGUUCUUCUUGGUCAAGACCGUCUUGAACUGUGCGGCCAACCAACAUCCCAAGUUCACCUUGAUAUUGUUCUUCAUACUCCAGAGAAAGAAGAAUUCGGGCCGAGAGAGUAUACCGGAGCUGUCCUUGCGCCCCGAGUAGCUAUAAGCUAAGAAUCGCUGAACAUAGCGGGCGCUAGGGUCCUUAAGAAAGGAGCUCCUGGACCGGGAAGGAUCGUAGCGUUGCCUAUCGACGGACAUGUCCUCCCAUACAUCAUGGUAGUGGGAGAGGAAAGGCUCUACGUAGUCACAGGCACUCUCCGCAUACUCCCUAGUCUCAGCAUACUCUCUAGUGAUAAACCCAAAUGCCAGAUUGAAUUGAGUAAUGGAGAAAUUGAAUUCUCGACCCAUGAGCCGGAAAUGAAUGACAUUCGGUGUUUCACCCGUGUAUCUCGUAGGUAAUUCGAACUCAAAGGUGGAGUAAAACUCCCGGAUCAGCUCAACAAAAGCGGGACAAGAAAUAUGGAAAUAUGGGCGCCACCCAAUGGCUGUGAACAUUUGCUCAACCUCCUCCCGUAUACCCAGGGCAGUUAGAGAGAGUCUAUGACAAGACUUACAGGAUAUUAUACGCCUCUCGCAGACCUUAGCGUACCUCUGCCGAUCGGCGGGUCUGGUAAAUGUUAAGUGCCCCCCAAAAUGAACAGGUGCAUCUACCUGAGCACCCCUAUCCCUACCCAAACGGGUUCGAACACUAGAAGAGGAGGGUAGGUUGGUAGGUGAGUUGACAGGAAUAGAGGCUUGUGGAGGGGGUUGAGACUGAGAGGUCCUAGACCUAGAGGAGGAUUUCGGUCUCACCAUUCCCCCCAAAGUAAGUUCAAGGCAACAGAAAAUCCGACAAGUAUAGAAACCAGCAAUUGACAAAGCAAAAAUCUCCCAGUAGUAACCCAGCCAAUAGCAAACAAAAGAGUUCCAGCAAGUAAUCAACAAGCAAUUCAGAAAUAUCUCAACUAAAAUCUCAAGAGAAACCCCAGCGAGUUAUCCAGCAAUUCAAGCAAUAUCCCCAAGCAAUGUGGUGGUCAAAAUGUCAUCUCCAAAUUGAACAAAUAAUCAGAGCAUUGCAACACAUUGAAAAUCUCAAUAAACGGCUCCAGUUGGCCAAGAAAAAUUGCUAACUCAUACUCAGCAAUAGUAGUGCAGCAAAGGGACAGUAACCACGCAAUAAAAACACUUAGCUUGCACUCAAAUGGUCACCCCAAAUAACAACCCAGUAUGAAACCCGCAGGCAGAGUAUUCCUCAAACCGUUAGCCUAAACCCAGUCAACAACCACGGCCAGAAAUAACCCCAUAAAUAGUGCAAUGAGUAAUCCCCAGCAACAUAAUCAGGUGUAAUCAACUGGAGCAAGCAAUUUACAUGGCAUAGAAACCUCCCAAUCAAACAAGUGCAUUAUUCUAGCGCACCCCAAAAUUCCAAGAAAUGGCUCCAGUUGGCCAAUUAAUUUCACAAUGUCACCCAACUCAGGAGAAAUAGCAAUUCCACACAAAAAUAGUCAAACCAGUACCACUGGCGAAAAAUCUUUCAAAUAUGCACAAUUUGCUACCAAAUAUCACCGGCUAACACUGAAAAAUUGAGGGCAAGUGUCAAAUACCUCCACAGGGACUACCCCAGGCGGCAGACAGAGAAGCGGCGUUGAAGCUGGUGGUCGAGCGGGGCGGCGCUCGCGUCGGCGUGCGCAGCGGCGACGGCGCGCGAGGAUGGAGUUUCGGGAGGUUGCGUGCGGGCUUGGCUGAAGACGCGGCGCGCGCUAGGGCUUCGCUGCGGCAGGCGUGCAGCAGGGGAGAAGAAAGAAAAGAGAAAGAAAGAAAGAAAAAGAAAGGAAAGAAAGAACAGAAAAGAAGGAAAAGAAAAAGGAAUUUUUCUUUUUUUUCUUUUUCUUUAGGCUACGGUUUAGAGGACAAAUUUUUCUUCUUCUUGUUUUCUACUUUUUUAUUUUUUUAUUUUUUAGUUUUUAAUUUAUUACUAUUAUUAUCAUAUUUAAUUGAGGAAAAAAAAUGUUUUUUUUUAAAUCCCUACCUUUCCCACGAACGUGACGCGGGCACGUCAAGAGGGCAAGAGAGCUCCCAGAAGUUUCAGAAUUUUCUGAUCGUAAGCGUCCUGCACAUCACCACGCGGGCACGUCAUGAGGACAGGAGAGCUCCCAGAAGUUCAGAAUUUUCUGAUCGUGAGCGCCCUGCACGUCACCACGCGGGCACGUCAUGAGGCCAGGAGAGCUCCCAGAAGUUUGAAGUUUCUGAUUCCUGCCCGUCAUCACGCGGGCGCGUCAUGACUGAAGGUCACCUACAAAUCAGCAAAAACGAAAACUAACACCCAAAAUCAGUCAAAUUCAGGGAAAGCAGAUUUAAACUAUGCUACAAAACCAACAAACAAUUAAAAGAAAUAAUUAGGUUGCCUCCCAAUGAGCGCCUUUCUUUAAUGUCUUUGGCUAGACAUGGUAAAGUGUCACUGAUUAGGACACGGUGGUGCGUCAAGCCUUAUUGUCUCCACCUCUCUACCUGAAAAUCCUUCGUAAUAAUAUUUGAGACGGUGUCCAUUCACCACAAAUUUGUUGUCUGUCUUAGCACUCUGGAUCUCAACUGCACCAUAGGGAAAAACAUGAGUAACAAUGAAAGGUCCAAUCCAACGGGAACGUAGCUUACCUGGGAAUAGCUUGAGCCUGGAUUGGUACAGGAGGACCUUCUGACCAACUUCAAAUGUUUUUCUUGAAAUUUGUUGGUCAUGAAAUGCCCGGCUUUUCUCCUUAUAUAUCAAGGCGUUUUCGUAUGCUUCGUUCCGGAUCUCCUCCAAUUCUUGCAAAUCCAACUUCCGUUGAGCACCGGCCUCCUCUAAAUUCAUAUUGCAGUGCUUUAUCGCCCAAAAAGCCUUGUGCUCGAACUCCACUGGAAGGUGACACGGCUUCCCAAAUACCAACCUGUACGGUGACAUCCCAAUAGGAGUCUUGUACGCCGUCCGAUAGGCCCAGAGUGCGUCUUCCAACCUUUGGCUCCAGUCUUUUCUAUCAGGGCGCACCAUUUUCUCUAAAAUGGACUUAAUCUCCCGAUUCGACACCUCCGCUUGACCAUUGGUCUGAGGGUGGUAUGACGUUGAGACCCUGUGGAGUACACCAUACUUGCGAAACAACGCAGCUAUGGUUUUGUUGCAAAAGUACGUUCCCCUAUCACUGACAAUAGCUCUAGGCAUUCCAAACCGCACAAAGAUAUUAGACCUGAUAAAAUCUGCAACUACUCUCGAAUCAUUAGUUCGAGUGGCCUUAGCCUCCACCCAUUUAGACACAUAAUCAACUGCCAGCAAAAUAUAUAAAAAACCAAAUGAAGUAGGAAAAGGCCCCAUGAAAUCUAUACCCCAGACAUCAAAAAUUUCAACAAAAAUCAACGGGACCUGGGGCAUUUGAUCUCUACGGGCUAUAUUACCUACCAUUUGACAGCGAUCACAUGACUUACAAAACACAUAGGCAUCUCUAAACAAUGAAGGCCAAUAAAAUCCACUUUCUAAAACCUUAUGAGCAGUUCUCUUAGGUCCAAAAUGACCUCCACAGGCAAAAGUAUGACAAAAAGCUAAAAUUGAUUGAAAUUCCAUUUCACUUACACAUCUCCUCAUCACUUGAUCGGCACACCUCUUCCAUAGGUACGGGUCAUCCCAGAUAAAAUACUUGGCAUCGCUCUUCAAUUUAUCCCUCUUCGAUUUCGGCCAACCUGCAGGAAAAUUACCAGUUACCAAAUAAUUGACCAAAUCAGCAUACCAAGGCAACUGAGAAUUUAAGAAAAAUAGGUAUUCUUCGGGGAAUGCAUCCUUCAAUGGCUCGCUAUCCUCUUCAACUAGUAUGCGACUCAAAUGGUCCGCUACUAGAUUUUCUGAGCCUUUUUUGUCCCUUAUCUCCAAGUCAAAUUCCUGUAGGAGCAGUAUCCACCGUAUGAGCCUCGGUUUUGCAUCUUUCUUGGUCAUCAGGUACCUCAAUGCUGCAUGAUCAGAAAAUACAAUCACUUUAGCACCUAACAAGUAUGACCUAAAUUUUUCCAAAGCAAAAAUAACUGCCAGAAGCUCCUUCUCAGUGGUGGAAUAAUUCAACUGGGCUCCAUUCAAGGCCCGGGAUGCGUAAUAGAUGACAUGAGCCGCCUUGCCUAUUCUUUGCCCCAGUACAGCCCCAACAGCGUGAUCACUGGCAUCGCACAUGAUCUCAAAUGGCAAAUUCCAAUCGGGGGGUUGGAUGAUUGGGGGUGAAGUCAGCAAUUCCUUCAGCUUGUUAAAGGCUCUCUCACACUUAUCAUCAAAUUCGAAGGCUACAUCUUUUUGUAGGAGUUGGAACAACGGGGCUCCAAUCUUUGAAAAAUCCUUGAUGAACCUUCGAUAAAAACCUGCAUGUCCAAGAAAAGAGCGCACCUCCCGCACACUCGCGGGGUAAGGUAAUGCAGAAAUAAUGUCUAUUUUAGCCUUGUCAACUUCUAUGCCCUUAGACGAUACAAUAUGACCCAGGACUAUUCCGUGCUCAACCAUAAAAUGACAUUUUUCCCAAUUAAGCACAAGAUUAGUCUCUAUACACCUGAUCAGGAUUAAUUUCAGGUUAUCUAGACAAGUAUCAAAACUAUCACCAUACACACUGAAAUCAUCCAUGAAAACUUCUAUUAUUUUCUCAACAUACUCGGAAAAGAUGCUUACCAUACAUCUUUGGAAAGUCGCAGGUGCAUUGCACAACCCAAAUGGCAUUCGUCUGUAGGCAAAGGUCCCGAACGGGCACGUGAAGGUUGUCUUCUCUUGAUCCUCCGGGGCAAUUGCUAUCUGAAAGUAUCCUGAAAAUCCAUCCAAAAAGCAAUAAUAAGCCCUACCAGCUAAACGUUCAACCAUUUGGUCAAUGAAAGGGAGAGGGAAAUGGUCCUUUUUGGUGACGGCGUUUAGCCUACGGUAAUCUAUACAUUGCCUCCAUCCAGUGGGUUUGCGCACUGGCACGAGCUCACCAGUUUGGUUGGCCUCUACCGUCACUCCUGCAUUCUUUGGGACUACCUGGACCGGACUCACCCAAGGGCUAUCAGAUAUUGCAAAAAUGAUGCCCACAUCUAGCAAUUUUAGAAUCUCUUUCUUUACGACUUCCAUCAUGAGGGGAUUGAGCCUUCUUUGAGCCUGCCUAACAGGUUUGGCAUCGUCUUCCAGCCUAAUCCGGUGCAUACAAAUGGCCGGGCUGAUCCCCUUAAUGUCUGCGAUUGUCCAGCCUAUUGCCUCUUUAUGCUCCCGAAGGACCCGGAUCAAUUUCUCUUCCUGGGUCUUUGACAGUGCCGAUGAGAUAAUCACUGGGAGUGUCUCAUUAUCACCUAGGUAUGCGUAUUUCAGGUGCUCUGGUAGAGGUUUCAACUCCAGUACAGGUGCCUGCACCACAGAUGGCAAUACCCUCUGGUGAGCCUUGGGAGUAAAAAUAGGUAAGACUUCAUACCUUUUCGUGGUGGUCUGCAACGAGUGUAAUGCACCUAUUGUGCAUUUUAAAUCCUCGCUCCACUCCACCUCAGGAGUUGUCUCCAACUCGAGGUGCUUGGUUAAAGCCACCUCCAGCUCAUCCCUGCCAUCAGUUUCAAACACUUCCUGCACUACAGGGUCAAUAGCACUCACAGAAAAAACUGAGCUAAAGUUGGAGUUAGAGGGGUACUUCAUAGUAUCAAAAAUAUUAAAAUGCACAAUUUACCCAUCAAACUCCAUGGACAAGGUACCCUUAUUAACAUCAAUUUUCGUCUGCGCAGUGCUCAUAAAAGGUCUACCCAAUAACAAAGGUGAGGGAUCAGGGGAGUGAUCAUCAUCCAUAUCUAGUACAUAAAAAUCAGCUGGAAACACCAAAUCAUUAACCUUUACCAACACAUCUUCAAUCAACCCAUCAGGAUAUGCAUUAGUUCGGUCAGCUAAUUGAAUAAUUAUUCCAGUUUCUUUUAAUGGACCUAGUUUCAAAGAAGCAUAGAUAGAUUUAGGCAUGACAUUAAUUGAUGCUCCCAGAUCCAGCAUGGCCCUUCUGAUCACAGUAUUACCUAUCUUACAGGGAAUAGUAAACAUACCUGGGUCCCCGCACUUUGGUGGGAGCUUUCUCUGCAGGACCGCAGACACAUUUUCUCCAACUAUGACCCGUUCAUCUCCCCUCAACCGCCUUCGGUUGACACACAAGUCCCUUAGGAACUUGGCAUAUUUUGGUACUUGUUUGAUGGCGUCUAAGAGGGGGAUAUUUAUCUCAACCUUGCGAAAAACCUCCAAGAUCUCCUUCUCCUUAUCCUGCUUCUUCGAUUUUUCCAACCUGCUAGGAAAAGGAGGCGGGUUAGUUUUAACUGUAAUUAUUGGGUCAGGAAGUACCUCUGGAUCUGCACCAUUGCUGUCCUCCCUUUCGAGCUCAUUUUCGAUCUUCUCUUCAUCCUUGUCCUUGGGAAUCACAGGUUCAGGCCCCUGAAUUUCUUUCCCACUCCUUAGGAUCAUUGCGCUCACGUUCUUCGGAUUCAACUCCGGUUGAGAUGGCAGCUUCCCUUGGUUCUGGGACUCCCAACGGUUCAUUCUGGUGGCCAAUUGACCUAUCUGAUUCCUUAUGUCCUGCAUUUCGGAGUCCGUCUUUUGCUGAUUUUGCAUAAUAGCUGCCUCCGUCCUUUGCUGAUUCUGCGCCAUGGUUGUCAUCAUUUGUUUCAGCAUCUCAUCCGUAGAUGAACCAGAUUGAGGGAGCGGAGGUGGUCGGGGUUGGUAUUGCUGCUGGUACCCUGGUGGCUUAUUUGGCACAAAGUUAGACUGCCUGUUUGGCGUGAAGUUGGAUUGCCUAUUUCCACCAUAACUGAGGUUGGGAUGAUCUCUCCACCCGGGGUUGUAGGUGCUUGAGUAAGGGUCGUACUGCUUCCUUGGCGCGGGCGCGUGGUCAGCCAUGUUCACCUGUUCCGCAGUUUCUUCCUGAAUCAUUGGGCACAUGUCUGCAGAGUGACCUAUACCAGUGCAAAUCCCGCAUACCCUGGCUUGUGAUGCAUUUCUCACAGCCUAUUGCCUAACGAACGCAGUCAACUCAUUUAGCUGCUGCUGCACAGAGGGUGUCUCUAUCUCAUUCACCCUACGUAUUGGGACAUCCUAUCUUGUACUGAAUUGCUGUGAAUUCUCUGCCAUCCCCUCUAUUAACUCCCGUGCUUCCUGAGGGGUUUUGUUCACCAGUGCCCCUCCACUUGCAGCAUCAAUGAUGCUCCUGUCUCUAAAAAUGAGCCCCUCAUAGAAAUAUUGUAUGAUCAACUGCUCACUUAUUUGGUGAUGGGGGCACCUGCGCAACAAGCUCUUAUACCGUUCCCAAUACUCGUAAAGUGACUCCUCGGGAUGCUGCUUGAUCCCACAAAUUUCUUUCCUUAGACUCGCAGCCCUGGACGCAGGAAAAUAUUUAUCCAGAAAUUUUUUCUUCAAUUGGUCCCACGUGGUGAUGCUACCUGGUGACAGGUAGUACAGCCAGUCCUUCGCAGAAUCUUUCAAGGAGAAGGGGAAUGCCCUCAUUUUUAUCUGCUCUUCUGUGAUUCCCGGGGGUUUCAUACUGUUGCAAACGACAUCAAACUCCUGCAGAUGCUUAUACGGCUCUUCACCUGGUAAACCAUGAAAAGAGAGUAAAAGCUGAAUCAGACCAGAUUUUAGUUCAAAUGGAAUGUUGUCAUUUAAAGCUGGGAAAGUAAUGCAUAACGGCUGCUGAGUUAAAUCAGGAGCAGCCAACUCCCUUAAUGUUUAUGCAUUAGCCAUGGUGCCUUCCUGCUGGUCAGAGUCACUCGAAGUGUUACCAAACGAAUCUGUUGGUUCAACUUCUGACUCGGGUCUUUGAGAUGUAGCACUAGAGUGCUCUUCUCUGAGCUGUCUGGUUUCCUUUCUCGUUCUACGCGCGGUCUUCUCUACCUCAGGAUCAAAAACCAAAUCACCUGUGCGACAAGAUCGAGGCAUACACUAGAAGAAAACCAGAAAAUUAGGACAAAAUUGAAUUUAAGAAGAAACAAAUAAUAACGCCAGUCCCCGGCAACGGCGCCAAAAAUUGACAGGUCGUCAACCUGUGCAAUAAUAAAAUUAAACCUAAUUGCCAGUUAAAAUGACCAAAACCCAAUUCCAAGUACUGGAGCAGGGACUCUAGGUGUGCAAUGGGUUACUUGAUUCACCCUGUUCCCGAAGAGUUUGCUUGAUCCGAUAUACCCGAAUGGAAUGGUUAUUCCUUUUCACAAAUGAUUAGGAAUUUGUAGACAGGGCAAGUAGGGUCGUAUCCACAGAGACUGGGUAUAUUUGUUUCUUAAGAAAUCCAAAGUAACACAGGGGGUGAUUUUGUAGGAACGACGAUAAUUAAAUAAAUUCAAAUGAGAAAGUAAAAAUAAAUAAUUAACUAGAAAUUAAACCACAAUUUACUGAACUCAGGAUAACAAUAGUUAAAGGCCUCAAUUAAUUAAAAUAAGGAAACAAUCAAAAAUAAAAUAAAGUAGGUAAUUAAAAGUCAAAUGGCAAUCCACUACAAUCAAGGAAAUAUUAACUAAAGAUCUAGCCAAGAAAUAACUUCAGCAAUGGUUCACCUAAUCGAUCAUUGAUGCAAAGCAAUCCCAAUUAUUUACUAAUAAAUAGGUUAUAACUACCAAACAAGCGAUGGCAGUCAACCCCUCCUUACUGUGUCGGUGAUCAAGGUACGCCCGUUAAUCACUGCUCUAAUUGAGAAAUAAUCCUAGGUACGCCCGUAGAAUUUAAUUCCCCAACUGCCUUACGUAUUAGAGGAGCCCUAUUCUACCCAAAUAACACACUACCAGGGUUAUUUUAGAUUAGCCCGCGUAUCCCCCUGACACGAAUCUAAUCGUGCCAGUUGUCACUAAUUUGAGGUAAUUAAACAAUUACGGAUUCAAUACCCCAAUUGACAAUAGAUUAUCAAACCAAUGAAUUAUCCGGAUCCAAGACAAUCAACUAAUUAAAUAAUCAUAAGCACUGCAACCAAGGAAUAUGCGAAUACCAAUAAAUAAAGGAAAAGAUAAAAUUAAAUCGAUCUCACAAUUUACAGGUGAUCCAAAGCAUCAGUCGUUUCUUGACUAGAACGAGGGGGUUAGCUCAUAUUGGAUGAACUAAGCCCGCGGGAAAUUCCAGCAAAAGUCACGGCCGUUGUAUGCAUUUCAAGAGCCGCAAUUCGUCAAACACUUGGAAAGCGAAUGUAAGGCACGGGUAACAAUUGAAGCUUUCUAAUUGUUCCUAGCAUUCGUAAAGCAAAUUCACUCCAGAAGUACAGUGAGGAAAAGUCAAAGAAAGUGGGCUUCAAUUCCUUGCUCCUGACAUGCGUGGAGACAAGCCAAUGCAAGACUACAAUAAACUAACAAGGAAAAGUCAAGAAUUGGAGCUAAGCUCCCCUGCCAUGCGCAGGAAUCCGAAAAGUAAAAAGUAAAGCUUCAAAGAAAAGUCAACAAUUCUUCCUAAGCUACAGACGGAAGAUCCAGCACAAAAGCCAGCUCCCUUUUUUAUCCCUUUUUCCCCCUUCUUAUUGCGGCGGCUCACCAGGAGAGGAGAGCCCUCCGUCCGUCCUUUCUUCCGAAAAUUACCAAAAUGGGCAUGACAUCUUCUCUUCCAAAAGUGCCCCUGGGACAAGCUUUCUCAUCUGAAUUCUUUUUUUUUCCAAUUUGGCACCUGUUAUCAUAUUUAUAUUCUACUCCCUGAAAUAAACGUCAAAUACUAAAAGUGAGUAGAAUCCAGCAAAUAAAUCCACAUCAAGUCAGGUAAUAGGAGGAAUUAAUAAUAAAAUAAAUGAAUAAAUUGCACCCUAUCAGAAAAAUGCAAAAAUUUGUUAUUUAUCAUUAAGGAUCAUAUCGCAUAUAACAUCAAAAAAUAGUAUAUUAUUUAUAUCUUUCACUUAAUAUAAUAUCCAAAUUACUCUUUUCAGUUACAUACCCAUUGUUAGACAAAAUCAACAACAAAUAACCAAAAAAUUUGCAACCAAAAUAUUACCAAAAAAAUAAACUUUAACAUCAUAAAUAUUUUUAUCAACAUAUUAAAGUUAGUUAUUGAAAUUUUUAUGGUGUUAAACUUCACUCUUAGCAAUAUUUUGGUUACAGAUUUUUUUGAUUAUUUAUUGUUGAUCGUGUUUGACAAUGGAUUUGUAACUGAAAAGAAUAAUUUGAAUCUUACAUUAAGUGAAAUAUAUAAAAUAUUAUACUAUUUUUUAUGGCAUAUGUGAUUCUUUUUUUUUUUUUUAUCAGAACGGCAACAUUGUAUUAAUAGUAAACCAAUUACAGUAUAGGUGGGCAACCGCCCUCACAAUCUGCCUGGACUUGUUCCAGCAGCCAAACUGGGAAGUUUUCCUUCCAUUCAGUAUUUUGUUCCAAAGUAAUAGCUACUUUAGCUAGUUUAUGGCUAACAAAGUUGUUCACCCUAUUUGCAAAGGUAAAACAACAUUCAUCAAAUUUUAUUCAUGUACAAUUGUUGCUAUCACCACGUCCUCCUCCUCCUCCUCACUGCACACUACUUGACUACCACCCUUCGCCAACCUUGCUGUUGCAUGUGCAACUAUCAUGGCCUCUCUUAGCGCCUUUGCUUCUUCGACCUUUGGACUGGCACAGCUAAAAUUUGGAACAGCCCAGGCCCACCCGCAAUCUUCCCAACCAAUCCCUGGCCACCCUUUUCCCACCCAGCUUCUAUGGCAUGUGUGAUUCAAUCCUUCUUGAUAGGAUUGGUAAUAGAGGCAGAGGGGGGAGCCGGCUGCAUCCGGUCUACUUUUCAUAGAUAGUACAAUAUUGCGAAAUCGAUCGCAUUCACACAAGAAUAUUUCGAAGUCAUUGCAUCGCUAAGUUGCAAAAAAGUACAAACACUUGUUAUUAUAUAGCUUAAGAUUCAAAACUUUAGAGCACAACCCUCCACCUAACACAAUUGAAUAAUGAAUAUUCACGAUUGUCAAAUCUGUCAAAGCACAGUUUGAGGACAACCCAUUCCAACCUGCAAAAGAUUUUUGACUUUUUUAAAGUUGUUGAGAGCUGUAAAAAGACUUACCAUGCUUACAUCUUCCGAGCCUUGGGAGUUAAAAAUGAAGGCACUGAGUGCUAUAAAAAGGGGGCUAGAGGCUGCCUAGAAGCAUAUCAGCCUAAAACAAGAAUUUGUAGUUAUGAUGGGAAGCAAAGCAAAAGCAAUGGGGUCUGGGCUGACUCCUCUUCUUACCACUGUUUUAGUGGUAUUUGUUGCUCUUGGCUUGCCCUCAGAAACUGCAGCUGAUGAUCACUACAAGUAUUCAUCUCCUCCUCCUCCUUACCACUAUCCCUCACCACCACCUCCAGUGCAUUUACCUCCACCAGUGUACAAAUACAAGUCCCCACCACCACCUCAUCAUGUUUACAAGUACAAAUCUCCACCACCCCCACCACCACACCCAGUUUACAAGUAUAAGUCGCCACCACCACCUCCUCAUCCGGUAUACAAGUACAAGUCUCCUCCGCCACCUCCUCAUCCGGUACCACACCCAGUUUACAAGUAUAAGUCACCACCACCACCUCCUCAUCCGGUACCACACCCAGUUUACAAGUAUAAGUCUCCUCCGCCACCAGUUUACAAAUAUAAGUCUCCUCCACCACCACCUCCAGUGUACAAAUACAAGUCUCCACCACCACCAGUUUACCACUACAAGUCUCCACCACCUCCUCCCCCAGUUUACAAAUACAAGUCUCCACCACCACCACCACCAGUUUACCACUACAAGUCACCACCACCUCCUCCCCCAGUUUACAAAUACAAGUCUCCACCACCUCCUCACCACUACUAAGCAAUUGCUUCUGAGGUAAUAACACUUGUUCAAUAUACCCACUUCUGCAUGAUAAAGCAUAUCUCUAUCAACACAAACUGUCAUGUCUAUCAUGCUAAGUGCCUUCACUUCAUCCACCAAAAUGACUGCUAGAAAAUUUUUUUUAUGUUACCAAAGAAAGGCAUCAUUUUUUCCCUCUGUUAUCAAGAACUUGUACAGUAUAUAGAUUAAAGAGUAUUUUUUUAACUAGCUUAUCAACUGAGAAAUGCAUAUAGCUGAUAGCCAGCUGAAUAUUUGCAGGCAAAGGAGAAGGAAACCAGUGUUUGAGACCUUCUUGAAGAUGUAGAAGCAUAAGAAUUAAAGCCCAAUGUGAAGAUGAUGAUUUCAAGUUUUUCUACGUUACCAUUUCUUUAUCUAAAUUGGUUGUAGCGCCUUAGUUCCUUUGUUUAUGGGAUUUGUAUCGUUUUACGUACCAUGCAGUACAUGUCAUGUUUGUAAGGUUUUCUAUCCUGCCGGCAAACCGCAGGUUCCAUGUAAUAAAUCAAUACUAUUUAUAUUACGACACUUUUCUCUGUUUCUCUUAUAUUUUGUCGUCUUUAAUAUUCUUAAUCAUAUUUUUAACAAAAAUAUUCAAACACUUAGGCAAUCUGGUCUAAUGCUAAUUGUAUGUUUUACUUUUCUUUUUCACCUGCUCCCCUUUUCAACUCAAAAGGAUGCAAUAGUUUGUGAUCACUGUUGAAGACGGAAGCAUGAUACUAAUGAAUAUAUCAUUGAAACUCAAGGAAACUAACAUUAUGAAAAGUGUAAAUCUUGAUUUGAUGCAACUAUUUAUUCGUGGAAUCUAUAGUUACAAAACUCAAACUCUGACUGCGCCAUUGAUAAAUUAUUAAUGACGCUAUCAUCAUUAUUUAUCCCCAACUAGUUUCGACUACAACUGAACCCAAUAUUUUCCCCAUGAUAAAAGUUUUUUACUAUUUUACUGGCCUCUCUUCAAAUUUUAAAAAUUACACUAAUCUUCAUUGAGAUUAAUUAUCUUGUAGCAUUUAAGUCCAAUUAAUAAUUAAAAAAUAAUAUUAUGAGAGAGAAAAUAAUAUAAUUUUAUCAUUGCCCCCCAUCUUGCUAUAUUAUUUAAUUAAUUUAAUAGCAACCCACACAUUAAAGAAAAAUACUAAAAUUUGCUGCUUUUCAUUAAAGAUCAAAUUGCAUAUGCCAUAAAACAUAGUAUAUCAUUCUAUAUGUUUCACUUAAUGUAAGAUCCCAAUUGUUCUUUUCAAUUACAAACCCAUUGUCAAACAUGAUCAAUAACAAAUAACCAAAAAAUUUGCAACCAAAAUAUUACAAAAAAAAACUUUAACAUCAUAAAUAUUCUUACCACCUCUAGUGCAUUCACCCUCAUAAAAUAAUUCAAGACCCUACUGUCAUAAAAUGACUGAUCAACUCCUGUAAACCUAAUUUGACAACAUUUAAAUGGAGAACUUUAGCUAAAAGAAUUAUGGUCAAGCUAAAGAAAAAACCAGUUAUUUUCCAACAUAUGCAAUCAUUGAUCAGGGAAAAAAAAAAGAAGCAAAAAGACAUCUUCAAUCAUUUAAUAGCUUACAGGGCAAAUUAACCCCUAAGCGAAAACUGGUUGCUCUAGAAUCAAAAUUUUACUUUAGUUACCCAGGCAACUUUUUUUGUUGCCUUUUCUUUUUCUUUUUUGGGUAUAUAUAUAGCUCCAGUUUUGCCCCCUCUGUCAAGCUUAUAUAAUUAUUAAGAUAAUAAAAGUGCCUUUAAUAGUAUUAAUAUAUCCAUUGACUUGAGCUGUCAUCGAUCGGUUUGGGCUACUUCGAUUCCAUGAGAACAAAUGGUAAUAAAAGUACUCAGAAAAUGGGGAGUCAUGAAACCCUUUUGUUCUAUUCAUUGCUAAGAUGCUUUUCUCUAUAAAGACACUUCCUAACGAAAAUACUUUGUAGAUUUCUUUACUCCAAGUGGUGCAUGGAAAAUUAAUAUUUUCAAUUAUCAAAUAAAAUUCCCUUUUUUCGGUGUAGAUUUCAUCCAUUCAGCUGUUAACACUCCGAAUUGACUAAUCUUUUCGUUUCCAUUUUCCAACUUGCGAAUACGGCAUCUUACAUAUUGUCUGCUGAAUAUGAAUACAUAUCCCUUUUCUGAGCAGGUGCAGAGUCAUUAUCAUUUUUAUUCCCACCUAACAAAUUAGUUAAUAAUCUUUUAAAGAACAUGUUAAAUUAAUUUAUUGGUAUGAAUAGUAGUCAAAGAAGUAUGUUAAAGUUAGUAAUCUUUAAAAUAAUAUGUUAAAAUUAUUCGUACAAAUUAGCCAGAGAAGUAGCAUAAACACCGCGAUGCAAUUAAUACUUUCAAUCUCAAGGUCUCUAUUAUGGAAAUUUGCAUCGGUCAACAUACACAAAGCAUUAUUGUAUGCACGUCUCUCUAUUAUGGAAAUUUGCAUAGGUCAAUAUACACUUGGCAUAGUUGCAUGCACGUCCAAUUUUUUUUUAUUUUUAUUUUUGGUAUUUUACUUCCUGCCUUAAGUUGCCUGCAGAUGUUUGUAUUACAAAUAUAUGGUAUACUAAAUAUAUAGUAUGCACAUUAAUUUCUUUGGGUUGCUUAAGGGUAUAUUGUUAAUAAUAGGGGGUUUAACCAUAAAUUAUAACAAUGAUGAAGUAAUAUAUAUUAGAAAAUUAACACAAUUAUGAUUUUUUUUUUUGUAAAAUUCAAAUUUUAUUAAUAAGAAAUGAAAUAGGCAGUAAGCAUUUACAAACCGAAAACAAAAUCCUACAACAACUCUAGGACUCUACACCUUAUUAAAAAAAAACAUUUUGAUAGCGUUUUUCCAAAAGCAGAAGAUGGAAAAUUGCCCAUUUGUACUGGGGAGUUCGUGAUCUUUUCCUCAUUCUAGUCUACUUACAAUUCUUGGAAAAAGGAAUACUCACAUCUCAAACAACAGCCUGUUCAUCUGCAGUGUCCUGCCGAAUUCUAGAAAGUUUGGUGGCAAUGUUAAUUACAUUUCAAAAUUGACUGCUGCGAUAACUAAUUCGAUGGCUUACUACAUGGUCAACGUUUGGAUCUCUUCCUGUCCUUUUUGGAUGCACAUUUUUUUUCUCUAGGUAAUAUAUAAUCUCCCAACUCAUUUCUUUACAAAUGCACCUUUAAUCACCACCAAAAGGUGUGGACAUGAUCUUUACCCUAGAAAACUAUUCACCGACAGGCAAAUUGACGUCAGAAAUACUAAGAGGAAUUCUAGUUUCCUUCGGGUUAAUGCCAUUUUGUACCCUUCAACUGUAACUCAAUUUCUAAGCUGUAAUUUGUGACAUUAUAGUCCUUAAACUAUGAAACCCUUUCUUAUUUAAUUACAAUGGUUAAUACAAUGCCCGUGACUAGACAAGUAUGAAGCAACCAUAACAAAAAAAAAAUCCAAAAUUAGAGAAAAGAAAGAAGUUGCGACCAAAGUAUGUAUCAAGGCAUAGUAUAGAAAUAAAAGUGUCAAAAUUAAGAGUUUAGGGAUAAAAAAGAAUCAAAAUAUAGUUUAGGAAUUGAUUUGUCUCAAUUAGAGUUUAGAUGUCAACUAAGAAGAGAGAUAUAGUUGAAGGGUAGAAUAUAGAUAUAACAGUUCAAUGAUUGAUAUCAACGAGACAAUGACAACUUUGGAUUAUUACCAACCUCUUCUUGAUGGAAAAGGAAAUAGAGAAGAAAGUCGGGCCUGGUCUAAGCCUGUUUCGGAGGCAAAACAACAUUAUGAAAUCACCGGCAUUCACACAAAUAUGUCAAAGUCACCGGCAUGCUAAGUUGCAAAAUUUAUACAAACACUGAAUAUUAUAUUCUUCUCAAAAUUUUUGUUUAAGAUUUAACAAUUAGAGCACGGUACACGAAUUAGCAAUAUUAAAUAAUGAAUGUUCACGAUUGAUAAAGUUAUCAAAGUACAGUUUGAGGACAACCCAUUCCAACGUGUACAAGAUGUUUAGCCUUUGAAAAGUUAAUUAGAGAAGGUGACGAGAUUUUACUAGGCUUACAACUUCUAGGCCUUGGGAGUAAAAAGUGAAGACACUGAGUGCUAUAAAAAGGGGGCUAGAUGUUGCCUAGAAGCAUAUCAGCCUCGGACCACAUUUUGUAGCAAUGGGGAGCAAAGCAAAAGCAAUGGGGUCUAGGCUGACUCCUCUUUUUACCACCGUUUUAGUGGUAUUUGUUGCACUUGGCUUGCCUUCAGAAACUGCAGCUGAUUACGACAAGUAUUCACCUCCUCCUCCUCCUUACCAUUAUUACUCACCACCACCUCUUGUGCAUUCACCUCCACCACCGCCAGUUUAUAAGUCACCCCCACCACCUUAUCACUACUUCUCACCACCACCUCCAGUGUAUCCAUCUCCACCACCAUCUGUUUACAAGUCACCUCCACCACCUUCGCCAGUAUACAAGUCCCCACCACCACCUUAUCAAUAUUCCUCACCACCACCUCCAGUGCAUUCACCUCCACCACCACCGAUUUAUAAGUCACCUCCACCACCUCCUCCAGUUUACAAGUCCCCGCCACCACCUUACCAUUAUUCCGCACCAUCACCUCCAGUGCAUUCACCUCCACCACCACCGAUUUACAAGUCACCUCCACCACCUCCUCCAGUUUACAAGUCUCCAUCACCACCUUACCAUUAUUCCUCACCACCACCUCCAGUGCAUUCACCCCUACCACCACCGGUUUACAAGUCUCUGCCACCACCUUACCAUUAUUCCUCACCACCACCUCCUAUGCAUGCACCUCCACCACCAAUAUACAAGUCACCUCCACCACCUCCUCCAGUUUACAAGUCUCCACCACCACCUUACCAUUAUUCCUCACCACCACCUCCAGUGCAUUCACCCCUACCACCACCAGUUUACAAGUCUCCGCCACCACCUUACCAUUAUUCCUCACCACCACCUCCUGUGCAUGCACUGCCACCACCAAUUUACAAGUCACCUCCACCACCUCCUCCAGUUUACAAGUCCCCACCACCACCUUACCAUUAUUCCUCACCACUACCUCCAGUGCAUUCACCUCCACCACCACCGAUUUACAAGUCACCUUCACCACCUCCUCCAGUUUACAAGUCUUCACCACCACCUUACCAUUAUUCCUCACCACCACCACUCUUCAAUUUGGAUGUAAUUCAAUUUUCCUUGUAAUCGGUGGCCCUCCUUCGGAAUCCAAAUAGUCAUUGAGUGCAGCCUUCUUUCUUUAUUUUUUACUCAUUUUCACCUCAUAAAUUGCUUUCAUCCCCUAAAACUUGUUCGCUGGAAUUUUGAAUUUACCCAUACAACUAAACUCAGAAAAUUCUUACACAAAGGGAUUAGUAGCAUGAAUAGCAAACACAGAAUAAGAGAUAACAGUAUGUUUUAUUGUAUUAAAAAUAUUAAAGUGGAUUAUUUCUCCAUCGAAUUCCAUUGUGAGAGUAUCGUUACUAACAUCAAUCUUAGUUUGAGCAGUACUCAAGAAUGACCUUCCUAAUAUAAUGGGUGAUGGAUUUGGGACACUUUCAUCAUCCAUAUAAAACACAUAAAAAUCAACAGAAAAAAUUAAUCCAUCUACUUGAACUAAAAACAUCCUCAACUACCCCAUUUAGAUAAGCAAAUAUACGAUCAGCCAAUUGAAUUAUUAUCCCUAUUUCUUUUAAAUGUUCUAAAUUUAGGGAAUCAUAAAUUGAUUUAGACAUCACAUUAAUAGAAAUCUUUAAAUCUAUCAUGGCAUUUUUUAUAUUAGAAUGUCCAAUCUUACAUGAGAUAGUAAACAUACCUAGAUUCUCGCAUUUAGGUGGUAGUUUCCUUUGUAAAAUUGCUGAAACGUUCUCAUCUACCACAAUAUGCUUGUCCUCCUCAAUUUCUUCUUGUUGACACACAAGUUUUUCAAGCAUUUAACGUAUUUUGGAACUUAUUUGAUUUGCGUCCAACAAAGGGAUAUUGAUUGCCACCUUGCGAAAAUCUCUAAAAUCUCCUUUUCUUUAUCUUGUUUCUUUGAUUUCUCUAACCUGCUUGGAAAAGGUGGUGAGUUAGUUCCAACUCUAAUUAUAGAAUCAACAAUUACCUUUGGAUUCACAUUUCUCAUUCCUUCCUCCUCAAGCUCUUUGUCGAUUCGAUCUUCAUUUUUAUCCUUUGGAAUCACAACUUCGGAUCCCUGAAUUUUCUUCUCGCUCCUUAAGGUCAUUACACUUACAUUCUUCAGGUUCAGUUCAGGUUGAGACGACAAUUUUUCAUAGAUUUGGGAUUCCAGGCGGUUGAUUGCUAUUACCAUCUGACUCAUCUGACUCUGCAGUGCUUGCACCUGUCCCAAUUGAUUCCUCAUACUUUGCAAGUCAAAAUCCAUCUUUUGUUGAUUAGCAAUUAAUUGCUUCAUUAUCUCUUCUAUAGAUGGACUUGAGUUUGAAAGAGGUGGUGGCGGGCGAGACUGAUACUGUUAUUGAUACCCUUGCUAUCUAUUUGGUGCAAAAUCUGGCUACCUAUUUCCUCCAUAGCUGAGGUUGGGAUGAUCUCUCCAACCAAUAUUGUACGUAUUCGUGUACGAGUCGUAUGGUUUUCUUGGCACGGCGCGUGACCAGCCAUGUUCACUUGCUCCGUACUUUUCUCUUGAAUCAUUGAGCACAUCUCUGUAGAAUGACCCAUAGCAGUGCAGAUCCCACACAUCUUGACUCGUGAUGCAUUUCCUAUAGCUAAUUGCCUAACAAAGGAUGUUAAUUCGGUCAACUGCUGUUGGAUAGAAUAUGUUUCUACCUCAUUUACUUUGCGUGUUGGGGCAUCCUCCCUCGUACCAAACUGUUGCGAAUUUUCCGCCAUUCCUUCAACUAGCUCCCACGCUUCUCGAGAAGUCUUGUUCACCAAUGCCCUUCUACUUGCAGCAUCAAUUAUACUCCUGUCUCUAAAACGCAGCCCCUCGCAAAAAUAUUGGAUGAGCAAUUGCUCACUUAUUUGGUGUUGAGGGAACUUGAUGCAUAACUUCUUGAAUCGCUCCCAAUAAUCAUAAAGCGACUCUCCUGGAUGCUACUUGAUACCGUAUAUCUCCUUCCUUAGACUUGCAGCUCGAGAUGCAAGAAAAUAUUUGUCCAAGAACUUUUUCUUCAGCUGAUCCCACGUGGUGAUGCUACCUGGUGGUAGAUAGCACAGCCAGUCUUUUGCGGAGUCCUUCAAGGAGAAGGGAAAUGCCCUCAUUUUUAUCUAUUUUUCUGUAAUUCUCGGAGGUUUUAUGCUGUUGCAAACGACAUCAAACUCUUGCAAGUGCUUAUACGGUUCCUCACCUGGUAAACCAUAGAAAGAUGGCAAGAGAUGAAUUAGACCAGAUUUUAACUCAAAUGAAGUGUUAUCAUUUAAAAAUAGAAAAGUAACUGAGAUGCAGCACUGGAAUGUUCUUCUCGAAAUUGUCUGGUCUCUUUCUUUGUUCUACGCGUAGUCUUCUCUACCUUAGGAUCAAAAAUUAAUUUACCUGUACGAGAAGAACGAGGCAUACACUAGAAAAACACUAGAAAAUUAGAACAAAAAUGAACAUAAAAAGAAACAAAUAAACCAACGUCAGUCCCCAGCAACGGCGCUAAAAAUUGACAAGUUGUCGAUGCCUGUGCAAUAAUAAAAAUAAACCUAGUUACCAAUUAAAAUAAUCAGAGCCUAAUUCUGAGUACUAGAGCAGGGACUAUAGGUGUGCAAUGGGUUACUUGAUUCACCCUAUUCCUGAAGUUUGCUUAACCCGAUAUACCAGAAUGAGAUUGCUUAUUCAAAAGGAAUUAUUGAUUUGUAAACAGGGCAAGUAGGGUCGUAUCAUCAGGGAUUGAAAAAAUUUGUUUCUUUUCAAAUCCACAGUAACAAGGGGAUGUUUUUGUAUAAAUGAUAACAAUCUAAGGAGUGCAAAUAGAAAUAAAUAGAUAACUAGAAAUUAAAUGACAAUUCACUAAAAUUAGAGUAAUAAUAAUUAAAGGUCUAGCUAAGAAAUAACUUCAGCAAUGGUUCACCUAAUUGAUCAUCGACGCAAAGGCAAUUCCAAUUAUUUACUAAUAAAUAGGUUAUAACUGCAAAACAAGCAAUGACAGUCAACCCCUCCUUACUGUCGGUCGGUGAUUAAGGUACGCCCAAUCACUGCUCUAGUUGAGAAAUAAUUUUAGGGACGCUCGUAAGAUUUAAUUUUCCAAUUGCCUUACGUAUUAGAGGAGCCAUAAUCUAACCAAAUAACGCUACCAGGAUUAUUUUAAAUUAACCCGUGUAUUCCCUUGAUACAAAUUCAAUCAUGUCAGUUGUCACUAUUUCAAGGUAAUGAAACAAUUACGGAUUUAAUAUCCUAAUUGACAAUAGGUUACUAAAUCAAUUCACUAUUUCGAUCCAAGAUAAUCAAUCAAUUUAACAACUAAUAGCACUGCAAUCGGAGAAUAUGUAAAUACCAAUAAAUAAGAGGAAAAGAUAAAAUUAAAUCGAUCUCACAAUUUUUAAACAAAUCAAAGUAUCCGUUGUUUCUUGACUAGAAAAGAAAAUUUAGUUCAUUCCUAAUGUGAAAGACCCACGUGAGAAUUCAAAAAUAAUAUUCACGGAUAUUGUCUUGAUUCAAUAGAUUCAAUUGCGUUGGAAUAAGGAUAAAAAGCCAAACUAUAGAGAGUGAUUCAAUGUUUUGUUUCGUUUGCAUUUUUUCUACACAUAUGGAAGAAGAAAAACAACUAAAGGACGAAAAAAAAAAGUCAAAGAAAGGCACCCAAAGUAGUGCUUGGUCUCUACCAUCCUAUUUCCUAUCUAAUUACUACUUCCCUUCUGCGGCUGCCUAGAGGAAGAAAGAGAAAGCAGACUUCAGGUCUUGUUCCAUCUCCUCCCUUUUCGGCAAUUCCCCAAAAGUAGAAAAGUUCCUCCGUUUACCAAAAUGCCCCUGGAAUGAGGACUGCUACUUGAACUCAUUUUCUUGAUAACUGUCAAAUUAGCACUUGUUAUGGUAUUUGCGUCUACUUCCUGUAAUAAAUGUAAAUUGCCAAAAGUGAGUAAACUGAUAAUUAAUUUACAUCAGGUCAGGUAAUAGGAAAAAUUAAUUAUAAAAUAAAUGAUAAAAUUGCAACCUAUCACUUAGAAUAACCAGAAAUAAAACAAAACAAGAAAUGAAAGAAAUAAGAGGGUAGCAUAGACAUUUUGGAUUUUUCUGUUAAUUUGGAUGAUUUCCACCUACGGUCUAAUUUAAUCCAAAACACAAAUGGAUUAUGUGGAGAUUUUUAAACAAUGAGGGAGUAUCGUGACCGAAUCCCAAACCACAAAGGGGAUUUACUAUAUUUUACUCUUAAAUUUUGGUUUCAUCUCAUAGCAUACAAGAGUACUAUUUCACUGUCUGUCGACCAGGGAGGAGGGUUGGGUUGGGUGGUACGGGGGAGGGAGUCUAAGUAAGAGGUCUCAGGUUCGAAUCCUCCUGUUUAUACUAAAAAAAAAAAUUUACUAUCUGUCGACAAAGAUUUUCUAUGGUUGAUGUACCAUAGGAAAAAUCUGCCUAUACAAUUAUUUGGAAAAAUUAUCCAUCCAAACAUAGUCACGAUAGCAUUUUUUCAAAAACACUAGAUGCAAAAUUGUCCCCUUAAACGUGGAAAUUCAUGAUCUUUCCUCGACUAGUCUACUUGUCAAUUUUUGAAAAAAGAAUACUCACGCCAAAAACACGGCCUCUUCAUCUGCAGAAUUCUAAAAAGUUACGUAAACUCUAUAAACAAGUUGAUAGGUACAAUCGUACCCAAGAUCAAGUACAGAUAGUUGUACAUUCACUGCUGCAAUAACUAAUCUGAUGACUUACAAACACAUCAUGGUCAAUCGUUGAAUGGUAAUGAGUCUUUUGUUAUGCAUUAGUAUUAGUGUGUACACUCUAAUAGAUUGAUACUUAUACUCUUUAAAUUAUCAUAAUAAUACCCUUAAUUAACUUUAACCCUUAAAAAGAAUACGUGUUAAUACACGAGAGUGUGUAACCUGAAUUGUUACUUAUACAUUAGUGUGUAAUAGAACGGCAAGCAUUAUGGUGGUCAUUGAGCAACUUAUAGGAGAAAUAGUCCUAUAAGCUGUUCAAUGACCAAUCACAACUUGCUAAUUGGAUGACUAAUAUAGCUCUAGCUGUAAUGUUUUAAUUAAAUUCCACACUAACGUUGGGAUGACUUUUUAAUCAAAAAAAAAAAAGCCUUAGUUCAAGCUUUUCCCCUUAUUGUGCAUUUUUUAAAACAUUUGAUAGGCACUGCAAAUCUGUCAUUUUGGACAUUUUAUUAUUAACUAACAAUGAAAGCCGUGGACAUCAACCCAUAUCCAACAAAAUAUUAAAUUAAUAUUAGAAAAAUUAUUAAGUAAUUGGAAAAAAAAAAGAAGAGGCUAAUUUUCAUUGAAACCCACCGACAAACUAUCCGUGUCCAUAGCUUUUGAAUAGUGCAUUCAACGUUUAAUUGUAUGGUCCAGUUCAUUGCCGAUUACAUGGAGUAAAGAUUGUGCUCUUUCCUUUUUCACCCCUUUUGGAAUCGAUACUGUGGAGAAUUGGGUUUUUCCCUCCUUUUUUUCUUUUCUUUCCUUCUGUGCUUUGCAAAACAUACGUAAAAAUAUGAAAUCCGAAGCAUUCUUUAAUUGGGAUUAAGUAUUGUUGUUGAAAUUAAAAAGAAGAAAGAAAGAACAACAAAAAUCCCAAUCUGGGUUGAUUGUUGAGCUCUAGAUUGGCUGCAUCGUGCUUCCAUAGAAGUUCUCUUAGUGUGAUACGCUGCUUUCAAUCAGUUUUAAUAUUUAAGUAGAGUGCAAAAUAACUUUACUAUUUAAUGGGUUAUAAUGCACCAUUUGGUACCUCUCACCCACCUAUGAUUUGAUUUACUACUGGCAUGGUAAUGGACAGAGUUGGGGGAGCAGGAGGAGGGAGAUGGCGGUACCAGUCCGUCAACCACAGCACACCCUCCCUCGGACUUUGCGUGGUAGCGAAGUGGAGGCAGAUCGAGCACACAUGCACUAACGCCUUAAGUAUGUACAAUAUAUGUAUGCCAAAAGCAUAGCCAAGCCUACCAGCGCAUUUCAAUAAUAUAACCCGGAAAUUAAGGGCAUUGAAUUAAGUACGAUGAAUCAUAUUGGUGCACAAUUACAGUUUGAAGCUACCGAUUCGAGUAAAUUUAAGCGUAAGCACAAUCAAUCGCCAGUCAAAUGCUGAAAUAUGCAUAUGCAUGGAUGAAUGUAUGGGUUUCUUAGUUCCAGACCAAAGGCCAACAAUAAGGGAAGGAAGGACAGUUCUCAUUUUUAGCACGGACAAGGAGAUGAAGAAAAGUGUAUGUAGCUUGAGACAGAACAAUGGCAUGUGACCGCUCCUGAGACCACAUAACGUGGGGUGGGGAUGGGACGGCCAAGAAUGAAGAUGCCUGUCGGUCUCUCCGUGCUGCUACCAUAUGAAUCCCCCGUUAACCAAUUCAAGAUAAGCCUGAAGUUCUUUUCAUCCCCAAACCCUGUCCCAUCUGUGUAAAUCCAACAUCAUCAUUUACGACCUGCAACUCAGGUUAAGCAUGUUCUAUUGAGAUUCAGACACCACCCUUCAAAAGAUAUACUACUGUGAAACCAGCAGCUUAAUAUCAUUGUAUAAAAAAAAAAAAAAAAGAAAGAAGAAAAGACAUGAAAAGCAAAUUUUGUGGGGAUAAUUUCAAAAUCUCUCCUAAAGUUUUUUACUAUUUUACUGGCCUCCUUUCAAAUUUUAAAAAUUACACCAGUCUUCCUUGAGAUUAUUUAUCUUGUAACAUUGAGGUCCAAUCAAUAAUUAAAAAAUGAUAUUAUGAGAGAGAAAAAAAAUAAACUUUAACAUCAUAAAUAUUCUUAUCAACAUAUUAAAGUUAGUUACUGAAAUUUUUAUGGUGUUAAACUUCACUCUUUGUAAUAUUUUAGUUACAGAUUUUUUGAUUACUUGUUGUUGAUUUUUUUUUUUUUAGUGUAAACAGGAGGACUCGAACCUAAGACCUCUCACUUACACUCCCUCCCCCCGUACCACCCCAACCCAACCCAACCCUCCCCUCGUUGUUGAUCAUGUUUGACAAUGGAUUUGUAAUUGAAAAGAACAAUUUGGAUCUUACAUUGAGUGAAAUAUAUAGAAUGAUAUACUAUUUUUUAUGGCAUAUGUGAUUCAAUCCUUGAUGAUAAAAGCAAAUUCAAGUGUUUUCUUUAAUGUUUGUGCUGAUAUUAGAUUAAUUAAAUAAUUUAGUAGAUGAAGGAAAAUGGUGAAAUCAUAUUAUCUUCUCUUUCCUAAUAUCACUAUUUAAUUAUUGAUUGAACUUAGAUAUUACAAAUAAUAAAUCUCAAGGGAGAUUAGUAUAAUUUUCAAAUUUUGGAGAGAAGCUAAUGAAAUAGUCAAAAACCUUAAGGGAGGUUUACAAAAUUAUCCCAAAUUUGUGGGAAUUAGAAUAAUUGUACUGGACGGCACUGCCGCAACAGAGGGAAAGAGGAGGAGGUGCAGUUAACUUUUUGUUGUUUGAAAUCCUUGGUGAAAUAUUACAGAAAGACAGAUAAAACAGUUAGUACAUAGAUGUAUAUGACAGGGAAAAUGGUACGUCUGUUAAUCACAUUUGAAACACUUUCAUUGGUGAAUGACGAAAACUAUCAGGCUUGCCCAAUAGUUGAUCAUUGACCAAGACAAAUCUUGCCAUGCUAGAGGUACCAUCUUUUCGUACCUCUUUAGUGCACAGGACAUUCCUUUGUUUCAUCUAGCUAAUAAUCUACCAACUCAUUUCUUUGCAAAUGCACCUUUUAUGGUCACGUCUACGAAAGCUUUACAGGAUCUUUACCCAAAAAAUCAAUUCACCGACUCGCAUUUGAUGUCAAAAUUUCUUUACUUUACUCCAAGAUUGACUGUUAAUAAUAAUGCCACUUUGAAUUAUCACACCAUCCUUCUUGAUAGGAUUUGUGCUAGAGGUAGGGAGGGAGUCGCUGCAGCCGGUCUUCUCUUCAUAGACAGUACAAUAUUGCGAAAUCGAUCGCAUUCACGCAAUAUUAUAUUUCCAAGUCGUUGCAUGGGUAAGCUGCCAAAAAGUACGAACACAUGUUAUUAUAUAGCUUAAGAUUCAAAACUUUCGAGCAUAACCCUCCACCUAACACAAUUGAAUAAUGGAUAUUCACGAUUGUCAAAUCUGUCAAAGUACAGUUUGAGGACAACCCAUUCCAACCUGCAAAAGGUUUUUUUACUUUUCUAAAGUUGUUGAGAGCUGUUAAAAGAUUUACCAUGCUUACAUCUUCCGAGCCUUGGGAGUUAAAAAUGAAGGCACUGAGUGCUAUAAAAAGGGAAUAGAGGCUGCCUAGAAGCAUACCAGCCUAAAACAAGGAUUUGUAGUUAUGAUGGGAAGCAAAGCAAAAGCAAUGGGGUCUGGGCUGACUCCUCUUCUUGCCACUGUUUUAGUGGUGUUUGUUGCUCUUGGCUUGCCCUCAGAAACUGCAGCUGAUGAUCACUACAAGUAUUCAUCUCCUCCUCCUCCUUACACUAUCCCUCACCACCACCUCCAGUGCAUAUACCUCCACCUCAUCCUGUUUACAAGUACAAAUCUCCACCACCCCCACCACCACACCCAGUUUACAAGUAUAAGUCACCACCACCACCUCCUCAUCCGGUACCACACCCAGUUCCUCAUCCGGUGCCACACCCAGUUCCUCAUCCGGUGCCACACCCAGUUUACAAGUAUAAGUCACCACCACCACCUCCUCAUCCGGUACCACACCCAGUUCCUCAUCCGGUACCCACACCCAGUUUACAAGUAUAAGUCACACCACCACCUCCUCAUCCGGUACCACACCCAGUUUACAAGUAUAAGUCACCACCACCACCUCCUCAUCCGGUAUACAAGUAUAAGUCUCUCCGCCACCAACACCCAGUUUACAAGUAUAAGUCACCACCACCACCUCCUCAUCCGGUGCCACACCCAGUUUACCACUACAAGUCACCACCACCACCUCCUCAUCCGGUACCACACCAGUUUACCAUACAAGUCACCACCAAUCCUCACCCAGUUUACAAAUACGAGUCUCCACCACCUCCAGUUUAUAAGUACAAGUCACCACCACCUCCUCCACCAGUUUACAAGUAUAAAUCUCCUCCACCACCACCACCAGUUUACCACUACAAGUCUCCACCACCUCCUCCCCCAGUUUACAAAUACAAGUCUCCACCACCUCCUCACCACUACUAAGCAAUUGCUUCUGAGG
Molecule: long non-coding RNA, 119435 nt
Filed under: Coffea arabica (coffee)
Lineage: Eukaryota; Viridiplantae; Streptophyta; Magnoliopsida; Gentianales; Rubiaceae
Description: long non-coding RNA (CARA_LNC007267)
Rfam family: Plant small nucleolar RNA R71 (bases 112219-112325)
Source: RNAcentral